RNAcentral lists this long non-coding RNA (117570 nucleotides) under Glycine max (soybean). RNAcentral describes it as "long non-coding RNA (GMAX_LNC002890)". The record is from RNAcentral. Lineage: Eukaryota; Viridiplantae; Streptophyta; Magnoliopsida; Fabales; Fabaceae.
AGAAGAAGAAGAAGUAUUGAGUCUUAGAGAUAAAGUUUGUUAAAUAUUGAGAGAAAAAAUUUUUAACCCAUAAUAGUUAUACCUGACUUGAGUAGGAUUGUUUCUGUGAUUGAUACUUGUGGUCUUUAACGUAAAAUAACUAAAAUUAAUUUAAUUUAUGAUAUUAUUAACAAAGUAAUUUAAACUAUUUUAUAAUGAAAAGUAUAUUUAAUAAAUUAAUUUUGAUAUAUUUUAUUUUAUAUUCAUGUUAUAAAAAUUUAAUAUUAUUAUAUAAAUAUUAAUCAACAAAAUUUUAGUAUAGGAACUUAUUAAACAUAGAGUUAAAAUAAUAUUUUAUAAUAAAUAUAUUAAUAAUUAAAUUUAAAUCAAUGUUUGUUUAAAAUUUUUGACUUCAUUAUAUAAUUAACUAAUUAGAUUUAAAUUAAUAUUUAUUUAACAAUUUCAACUUCAUAAUAAUUAUUUUUUCAAAAAAAGAAUAAAAAAUGUAAAAAAGUAAUAGAAAAAAUAUAAAUAGAAACAAAAGAAACAUAAUAAUAAAAGAAUUUAAAUAAAAAAGAAAAUAUAUAAAAAAUAACAUAAAAGAACAAAAAAUAAAGAAAAAAUAAAAAAAGGAAGAAAGGAAGAAAAAUAGCUGAAGAAAAGAAAAGAAAAAAAAAAGGAAGGGGAAGGGGAAGGGGAAGGGAGUGAAAAUAGCUGAAGAAAGAAAAAAAGAAAAAGGAAGAAAGAAAAAAUAAUAAGAAGUAAGAGAGAGGAAAGACCGUGAGAGAACGGAGCGAAAAAAUGAGGACAAGAGAGCGGGAAAGGUAUUUGAUGAGUAAGGAACACGUGGUCUGGCCUUGGGGGUUUAAGUUUAAGUAAUAUUUAUUUAUUUCAAUUUAAUUUAAAAUCCAUCAUAACUUAAUUUGCUAAAGAAUCUUUAUAUAUAUAUAUAAAGUUGAACACAGUAGUCUCUAUUUUCCCUCUUAAAGUAAGGAAUUUUUGAUCAUUUUUUCAAAUCUUUAAAUAUUUGAAAUCAAAACUGAAAUAAAAAAUUCAAAUCACAUCAAAUUAUUUAUCAUUACCAAAAACAAUUAUCUGCCAUCAAUUAUGUUCUAGUAGUAAAAUAUUAUCAAUUACGCAAAUUAUUUUCCUCUAUUCAGAAAAAGAAGUCUUAAUCGAAAAAAAGAAAUGAUUCGAAAAUAUUGUUGACGUACAAAGAAUUUUUAUUGUCCCCACUCACCCCACAAUAUCUUUGCUGGGGACAUUGACAUGUCUUUAAUAAUUGCAUCUAUAAGUGUCCCACAUAAAUAUGUUUAGAUUAUUCCUGCAGUCUAUACCUUAUUAAACGCUUCUAUACUCGAGUUUACAUAUAUAUCAACUGCACAACGAUUAUUUAAGUUUAAGAACUAAUGAUUUCGAAUUUUUUGAAUAUACAUACAAUAUUUGGAGAAAUUUUUUAUCGCAAUAAUAAUCUUACAAGACUUGGACGGGGUUCAAUCCCAUAGAACCGUAGAACUUGUGGACUAAAAAGAAUUAAACACUUCCAAUUCAUUGUCAUCCAUUGCAUUUUGGGAUCUUGAUCCUUUCCAUAAAUUGCUUGGUGCGGCUGUUAAAGAAAGUUUAUUUUCUUGCAUAUUAUCUAUAUAUAUACUCUGUAUUUUGGUAGGGCUGGUAUGAGGAUCAUAUUAAUAUAGAUCAGUUCAUGCAUAUAUGGUAACCUGUAAGCAGUAGUACAGAGAUAAAGUAAUCGUACGUCAAUUAAAAAUUAAUAAUAAAAUUUUAAUAAUUUCACAAUUUAUUAUACUUAUUUAUAUAUCUAAUAUCUAAUUUAGUCUUGUUAGACUAAUACACUUUAGAGAACUCCCUCUCCUCUCAUCUUAAUAAAGUUUUUAUAUAAAAAAUCUAAUUUCUAAUUAAAAAUUAAAAUCUAAUAUUAUACUUUUAUCGAUCUUUUAUAAUAUAUUUCUUAAAGAAUUAAAUUUUAUUAAUGACAAGUUUGCUUAAACAUGCAGCUAAGUGAAUUCGUAUGUAAAUCAUCCCUGCAUGAUUGUUUUUAUUAUUUUGAUAUAUCAGUUUUAUAGUGUUUAUCCUUGUAUAUACUCGUUCCCUUUUGUACCUUUAGCACAUCUUGUGCUGCUAAUAAUACAUAUUCAUUGUUGAUAAAUUUUUUUUUUUAUCAAAGAUGAGAAUGCAAUAAGCACACCAUAAAAAAAUAACAAAAAAUACAUAAUUAAUUUGACAUGAGUCGACACACUUUUUACUUAUGACCAUGAAAAUAUCUUAAUAAAUAUUUAUAUAUUAUCAACAUAUAAGAAUUACAAAUUUUUCGAAUAAACUUUAAAAACCCUCCUUAAGCACCCUACAAACUCAAGUUUCUUAUUUAAGAUUUAUAAAAAAUUAUAACAAUCUCACUUGUAAGAGAUUCUCUUACAUGCAUUUUUUAAGCUCAGAUCUUUUUUCUUUGAUACAUGAUUCUGUCUUUUUGUUGGUACAUGAUUCCUUUUAUAGUUAGGAUGAUUCUCAUUUCAAUUACCUUUAUUUAUAAUGAUGAUGAAUUACUUAAGAAUUGGAUAAACAUUGAUUAUUUUUUUUUUUUUACUACAUGAGUAUAGAUUAAUUACUUAUAAAUUUUGAAAAUUAUAAUUGACAUUCCCUAUAUGUAAUGGUUGGUCUAACAGUGAAAGGAGAAGAAAAUGAAAAAAAAAUAUUACAUGUACAAAAUUAAUAAUGCUAACAACUAAUAUUUAUCAAUAAAAAAAGAAAACAUACACAUUGUACUUGCAAAAGAGAUGGUUGUGGCUCAAGCACUUGUAGGCACGCACAUUGAUGAACGUCCAUUGCUAAAAAAUAAUGAAUUAGUGAUCAAAUUUAGUGAAAAAAAAUAUUUUUUUCAUAAGUAAUUUCAAGGUCACUAAAUUUUAGUGACAUUUAAAAAAAAAACUUAUUUAGAUUCUCUUGUCAUUAAUUUUAAUUUUUCUAGUAAUAUUCAUGUUCAACGAUAGGCCAUAUAUCACGUUCUCCGCAUACAUUUGCGCUUUCUAGCGAUGGAACUCAUGAUUUUCAUUUUCGACAGGUGUUGGAUCAAAAAACUUUGAUAAUUGAUACCAUCUCAAGAUUCAAAGUUAAUUUCUCCAUAUACAAAGAAGGGGAAGAACAUGAAACUGAGAUAGAUAGGCAAAGAACACAGAAUGUAAUUCCAUUAUUCGAAUAUAUGAUAAGAGAAAAUACAACCCCAGUUAAAAAAAAAGAGAGAUAAUACAACCCGCCUAUUAUAGGAUGGGAACUAACAUAUAAAAUAGAUAACUAUAACAACCUAACAUAAUUGAAUGACAAUUUAGUUACAACUUCCAAUCUAAUUAACAAUUAACAAAACAAGACAACUAAAUGGCAACAUUAGGUUAGCAUGAAUGAUCUCUGUGUUGCAAGCUCUAAACCUUGUACAUGCAUGUUGGCCUUUGUUUGAUGACAAAAUUCCCCCACCAUUUCAUAAAAAUGUCACCAUGAUAUCCUUUGAUCUAAUAGGAAAAAGGUAAAGCAUACCGAUGAUGAAGAUGUGUAAUUCCGAUUCUCCGUCACUAAUGGAGAAAAUUCGUCAACUUAUACCUUAUUCCUUUAUAUGAUUACUAUAUGGAGAAAGCUAGAAUGCCAUUAACUAGCAAUUUGAUCUUUAAUUAUUUUAUAUUGGGGGGAUAUUUGAAUGUUUCAUGUUUAUUUCCGCGUUCUUAUGUACUUAUGGGCACACAUUAUCAUUUGGGCCCGUUGUUCGUGGGAUGUAAUGAUUUUCUCCCGAAUUAAUUAAUUGUAUGAUCCAAAGUGUUUAUAUCCUUUUUUUUAGUAGUUCUUUUGUUAAGAAUUUUAUUUUACACACACUUGUCCCUUGUUUGCCGGAUAUAUUGUUUUUAGUGGAUCUAAAUGCAUUGUUCAAGUUGGCAAUAAGAAUUUGGACAAACAUCAGAAAAUGUAUGGGUGUGAACAUAAAAGAAAUCAACAACACACACAAUGUUUAGCAAAUACCCUUUACCAAAACAAGGAUAUUAAAUUUCCAUGUCGCUUAUUAUUCUCACAACUGAGUUCUUACAAUAAUAACAAAUGCCCGAUCUCAUUUCGAAGAACUUUGAUCAGCUACAAAAACAAAGCAAACAAAAUAUUAAAUAAAAUCAACAACAAUUUUUGCAUUUUAUUUCAUGCCAUACAUAGCAGUACUACCUAGCUGGUUGGCUUGUGUUAUAUUUCACUUGUAGAAGUGUCUGUUAUCUUGCAUCUGAAGGAGUUCCUCGAGCAACUUAUUAUCCAAGUACUCCAACUCAAAAGUGUCAUCAAGAUCACCACCUUGCAUUAUUUCUCCAGGUCUCACAAGGUGGUUAUUAUCAUCACCAGAAUAAUUAGAAGUGAAAGAAGAAGAAUAAGAAGGAGGAGGCACAAUUAGAGGCAUAGGCAAAGAAGAGUUUGGAUUAUGAGAUUGGUACUCAUUUGGGAAGUUGAGAAUUGCUCUAUGACCACGAAAAUGAAAAGCAGCAGCAUCAUAAGCUCGAGCAGCUUGUUCCGCAGUGUCAAAUGUUCCAAGCCAUAUCCUUGUCCCUUUUCUCGUAGGGUCACGAAUCUCUGCUGCAAACUUGCCCCAUGGCCUUCUUCUAAUCCCUCUAUACCGAACCUCACAAUUCCCAUUUGAAGCAGAUGAUCUUCCACCCUCCAUUGUUAUUCUCUUAGAACUUAAUAAUCAGAACCACAAAAAGUAUAGAAAGAAAGAAAGAAGGAAAAAACGUUGCUAAGUUAUUAUUAUCUGUGUUAGAUAUAAUGAUUACUAUGUCUUCUAGCUAGCUAAGUUGAGGAAGGUGUUAUAUUGGAUGGGGCUGGAUAUGGAUAUGUGAUAACAUCAUUAUAUAUUAUUUAUGUAUGCAUGUACGUGUUCUUGGUAUGAGGCUUGACCACAGGGUCGUAUUUGACGGUUUGAAAUUCAACUUGAAUAUAUUCUGUAAACCAUAAUAUUAAUUUUUAGUGUGUUGAAGUUGACCUUUCUGAGAAUAUAAUGUAUGACGAUGGCCAAGCACAGCGCAGGGCUUAUUCGCACUUGUAGUACGUUGCUAUGGCCAAGCACUUGGGUGCAUCAAUGUGCAUGAUAUAUUUUUUUAUUUAUGAAAAGAAAUUCACUGAUCUAACUCAUCUAAGUGAUAAGUAUUAUAUGCAUAUAGAUUAUAAAAUAUCAAUCAAAAUACAUAGUUUAAAAUGUAUAAAUCUCAUUUUUCAACUCUCUCAAUUAGGCAUUCUUAAUAGUAUCUCUAUCUAUAUAGAUGUGCAUUUCACACACUACUUAAGCAACUAACUAAAACAUUCUCCCAACCACCUCAAAAUGCUCAUUUUUUUAUAUCUUUGAUUUUGUUAAUUAUUUAUUCCUCUUAAUAUAUUAUCUUUUAUCUUUAUUUCUAAACUGAACUUCAAUAGUUUUUAAAACUGUUUAGAAUUGGAAAAAAAUUAUAUCUCAAUUUAAAUUGUUUACCAUAACUUCAAAAUGUUAUUUGUAUAUUUAAAAAUAUAUAUUUAUUAUAAGAUGAUUUAUAUAUUAAAAUAUUUAUAUGAUAUAAAAUUUAAUUGUAUAAAAAUAAAUCCUUAUGAUAUGAAAUGCAAGGGUUAAAAUAUUUAUUAUAUUAUAAUUUUCAAUGCAGUCUUUACACUGUUAUUAAUUCCUUAAACCAUCUUAAGAAGACCUUAUCUAUAAAGUUUCUUCCCUCAAACAAGUUGCAAUAUUCAACCGAUAAGAAAUACGAUGCAUUUAAUGUAAAACAGUAGAAGUCUUCCAUUCAAAGGGGUAAUAAAAGCCACUAUCUACCAACAUCGCAGACAGAUAAUUGGUUGAGACCAUUCUCAUACAUAAAAAUUUACUAUUUUUUUUUUUAAAAAAAUAGUAACGUUCUUUUAAAAAAAAUAGCAACGUUUGAUAAAUAUAUUAAAAUAAGACUAAACAUAAUAUAUAUAUAUAUAUAUAUAUAUAUAUAUAUAUAUAUAUAUAUAUAUUAUUUUACAAUUAAAUACAUUAUGAAACAUAAUAAAACAGAACAUAAAGUUAAAAAUAAUAUAUUUUGUUUUAGUAAAAAAAUUAAAAAAUAAAGCAAGACUUGCAAAACAAAACAUUUUAUUUCAUUUAUCUAUGCUGAGAUGACAACGCUUUGACAUAACCAAUGUAAUUAUUUAGAGUCGCCAAUUAAGAGUUUAGAAAAAGUGAGUUUUGAAUACGCCAUUGUUAGCCAAAACACAAAAGAAAGGUAGCAAGUUACCAGAAAGAAUCCUUUGAUAAUUUUAUGUGGUUAAGUAGGGAUUGUAUCAUUGUCAAGUAAAUUCAGUGGGAAUAUUUUAACAUAUAUAUUGUUCCCUAUUCAAUUUCAUCAAUCUUUUGACUUAAUUUUCGUUAUACUAUAUAUAAAAUUGUACACUAUUCUCUUUACGGCAUAAUUAAUUAUUUAAAUUACUUGCAAUAUCGUCCAAUCUAGCUUUGGCUGAUGUUCAGAUGACGCUUUACUACGACUAAGGUAACAAUUAAUCUUAUGUGGCUUGAAAUUGCCAAUGUGCUGAGCUGUUCACCUCCACAAAUAUCGUAAUAGAAAGACACGUGUGCGCUGCGUCCCAUUCAUCUUAUGUGGCUUGAAAUUGAUUUUGAUAAGUUUCGAUUUUAGGUUUAGUGUAUAUAUUUUUUUAUAAUAGAUUGGAAUUACAUUUUAGGUCAUUUUAAUAUAUAUUUUUUUAUCUGCAAAAGAUUAGUUUCUUAAUUUUGAGGGUCAAGGUUCAAACUGAUCAUUUUUUCCCACUCCUUCUCCUUUCAUUAUUAUUAAGUCACUCUUAUGAUUCUUUCACUUCAAUGAAUUUAUUAUUUUAUAUUUUUAAAUAUAUUUUUUAAAAAUAAAAAAUUAUUAUAUAAAUAUCUAAUUAUAAUUCAUGUAUAAUAAAUUAAUUAAUUUUUAAAAUAUUUUUUGAAUGAAGAACCUAAAAGCUCAUUGGUGGGACCGGAUCCCCCUUACAUUGCUGCUUUUGUCCUCGUUUGUAUUUGUUGGGCAAGCCUUUCCUCUUUACUGGCUUAGGUUGUCCCAGCCUGUUUCUGUUUUUGCGUGGGUUUGAUUUUGGUCCCCCAUGUUUAUUUUGCUUUGUUGUUUUUUCUUCACCUUUUUAAUAUAUUUCUGGUUGUGCUGUUUUUGGCACAACCAGUUUUGCUUAUAUAUAUAUAUAUAUAUAUAUAUAUAUAAAAAGAAUAUUAGCUUAGUACUACAUUAAUAAAUAAAGUUGGUCUGGUAAUGUCUCGUAAAUUAUUAGAUCAAGUUUAGAUUCAAACAAAUCUCUAUCAAAAUUAUAGGUCAAGUAAUUAAAUUUGAGCUCAAUGCUACUUUUUUUGUGUGAAUCAGAUGGGCUAACGCCCCAAGAGAGAAAAACAGUUGCAGAAACAUAUGUUAAUACAACGAGAGAGAUAAAAGUCAAAUAAAAUCAAACAUCCUCUGACCAUAAUUUGUCAAUAGGUCAGCAACUUGAUUCGCUUCGUGCAAGGUAUGAGACCAUUGUAAACUCCCUCCAAUGCAAAUGAAAUGAAGAAUCCGUUGAACCAUAUUGGGCCACAUGUAAUUCCGGAUAGCUGUGAAUUAAAAAAUAAAAAAUAAAAAAUUAAUCACCACCUGAGAAUCAGAUUCCAUUGUCUGAAUCCUCUACUCCAAGCAAUUUCAAUACGAAAAAAUGGGGGAGAUAUGAUAUUUCUUUUGUAAAUUUCAAAUUUCCAUUAUAAGCUUCGAUCAAGACACCGCAUAACUACAAGAAAAUAAUUUAUUGGUCUAAGCGUUACUAAAACUUUAGGGAUGAAUUUUUAAAAUUUACAUAUAAAUUGAUUCAUCACUAAAGUUAACCUUUUUUUAAGCACUUCAAAACAAUUACUAUUUAAGUGUUUGCCAUCAUAAAAAGUGAGAGAAUGUGAAGUAUGCUUGAAAGAUGAUGAAGGACUUGAAGAUCUUUUGAAUCUUGAUGAUUGACCACCUCACACUAGGUGUGAUGGUUUGAUGUAAUUUUUUGCUUAUAUGUGUGCGAUGUCUCUUAAAGUUUUUUUUUUUUUUUUGCAAAAAAAAAUAUAUGGCUUUUAAAACAAACAACAUUAGAAAGGAUACCAAUUAGGUUAGCACUCUUGUUAUUGCUGUUGGAAAGCAACACAACCAAUAAUAUAUUCCAAUAGAAAGAAAGACAAAACACGGGGGGAGGGGAAAUUAGACCAUGGAUAAAACACUAGGUGUCGCUUAAAGUUAUUAAUUAGCUUCUCUUAUGUCUAAUCAACGCAAUUUUGAAUUAACAUUCUCUUAGGUGUUUGAUUAUUUUUUAUUUAUGAUAAACAUUUCAUAUUGUCAGUCUUGUGACUUAUGCUAAGCCAAUGCUAAUUCCAGAUUUAACAUUGACUUUUUUCUUAUCAUUACAUUUAACAUUUAACAUUCACUUUUGCACUACAGAUUUGAAUUUUGACCAGCUUUUUUUUUUUUUUGCAGUGACUACUAUGGGUUACACUAAUUAUUACAUCAUGCUUUUUUUAAAGAAUUUUAUCCUAAAACCUAUUGUUGAAUUGAUUCUUUUCUUUUCAAAUCGAUUAUAUCUACGAAAUCUUGUAUUAAUAUACAUUAAAAAAAUGGCAUACGUAGUAUAUGCUUUAAAAAAAUAUAAACAUAUGCACUCUUUGGUUACAUAUUUAUAGUUGCUGAUUUUUUACCCCAAAAGUCAAAAUAGUAUAUAAUUAUUAUAAUUAACGGUUGGAUCGAUAAAACUAUUGAUAGUGUAUUAGCAACACAUUCUUAUAUGCCGUUUUCAAUACCUCUUCUCUUAUUGGUUAAAAUUUAUAUUGGUAUUACUAGUUAUUAGUUUUGAAAUAGAACACACAAAAUAGAGAAUAAGACUCAUUAUUAAAAUAAUAUUCCCUAGCUAUGUUCUAUAUAAGACUCUCUUCAAAAAAAUUACUUGUCCAUUUUAUAAGACCUUUUCUCUAAUUUUUUCUUGUAUUAAUUAUUUUUUUAAAAAUAUUCUUAGUUAAAAAAUAAAUGCUGAAAAUUAAUAAGAUAAAUUCUUUCUCUCUUAUUAGAAUUGAAGAAGAUGAAUAGCAAUUAGGUGGGAAGUAAUCAAGUAGAAAGAGAAAUAUGAUUAAUUUUAAAAAUGCUUAAAUAUGUUUUUAAUAUCACUCAAGUUAACAUUUUUUUUUGUCUCAGUAAGUUCAUUUUUCUAAUUUUAGUUUCUAUAAGUUGAUAUUUUCUCUUAUUUUGAUGUAUGUAAGUUUAUUUAUUUAUUUUUAAUCCUUGUAAAUUUGUGCUUUUUUAAUUUUAGACAUUUAAGAUUUUAAUUUUUCAUUUAUAGUCCAUAAGUUUGUGCUUACAGAUACUAAAAUUGGAAAAAUGCCUUUAUAAGGACUAAAAAUAAGUAAAAUAUCUUAUAGGAGGCAAAAUUAAAAAAUCACAAACUUAAAAGGACUAUAAAUAAAUAAAAAUUUACAAGGACCAAAAGUGAAAAAAUACGAACUUACAGGAACUAAAAACAUAUUUAAGUCUUGCAAAAAAUAUUGAGGGCAAUUUUGAAAGAGAAAUAUAAAUUAUGAUAAAUUGUCACUUUCACCCCUGAAAGUGUAAUACAAUAACAAUUUAAUCCUUGAAAAAACGAAAAGUUUUGAUUUUGUUGUUAAAUGUGUAAAAAGUGAGACAACUAUACAUCAUGUUCACAACUUAAUAUCAAAUUGAUACCUAAUUUUUAAAACUCAAUAAUGUUAAAUUGAUUCUCAAAAAAUAUAACUUAAUGUUAAAUUAGUACAUAAACAUUACAACUUAUUGCCAAAGUCGUCCACAAAACUUGACAAAACAUAAUUGUCAUAUUUUUUACACAUUUAAGGACUAUAAAUUAAAAUUUGUCUUUUAAUUUUAGAAACCAAAUUGUCACCUCUUUUAUACUUUUAGUGAAGAAAGUGACAAUUUUUCCUAUAAAUUAUUGACAAAUUUAAUAUUACUAACCAAAUUAACCAAGUUUUUAAAAAGGUUAAUUUAAGGAAGUACGACCCCCUAAAAAUAAAAGGUUUAAUUGUACUUUUGGUUCGUCAAGUAUUGUAGUUGGUUGAGUUUGGUCUCUCCGAUUCUAACUGUGCAAGUUAGGUACUCUAAGUAUUGGUUGGCAUAUCAGUUUGGGGUGAGGAUACAUACCUUAUUAAGAGCUGGUAUAUCAAUUUGGAGGGAGGAUGGAUACCAUAUUAAGAGUUGGUAUGUUAGUUUGGGAUAAGGAUGAAUAUCUUGGUAAAGAUUAUGAUCAGAAGAGUGAGAAUAACGUUUUGAGGGAAGAUCCUAUAGUAUGAGAAACCUGGUGAUGAUUAUAGUGACUAUAGUUAUGAACCCAAAGGAAAACCUUGUUACAUCCUAGCAGUGAUCUACACCUUCCUACGUUUUUGGGAAAACAUUUUGAGAUGUUUGUUAGACAUCGGAUGGGUGUGUUGUUUGAAAAACCUAGUGUAAAAGUGCUUUGAUGUUUUAGAUCUUGUUGGAAGUUUUGAUUUAUCAAUGUUUUUAUGUGAUUGAAAGCUCAUUGGAAAAUGGAUUAAAACGUGGUUUAUGUUUUUAAUUUGUUGAAAUUUUAAGUUCAACCCUUUUGUGUUUUGAAAGCUCUCUUUUGAAAAAUGGAAUUGCAUGCUUUAUGACAAAAUGAGUUUAACCUUCAUGAAGUUGUUUGAUUCAUGUUUUGGAAAGGGAAUAGAUUUAUGGUAAAGAUCAUAUUUUUAUGCAAAAAGGUACACAGUACUAGCAAGAUGAAAAAUUAGUUAGAGACGUUCUAUUUGGGAGGAUUAAGGUUGGAGAAUUUGGAUAAAUCACUCGGCAAAAAGGGAUUACUUGACCAAACGAAAAACUGGGAAGGAAAGUAUCACUAUGGACUUUAUCCCACACAAGUCUAGAUCAGCUAGGGGAUUGUGAUACUAUAUAGGUGUUUGUCAAUAGGUUAAGGAAGUGUGCUCGCUUCUUACAACAAACUAUAGAGAAGAUCAAGUUGAUUCAAGAAAGGAUGAAAGCAUCACAGAGUCGAUAAAAGCCUUAUGCGAACAUGCGGCGAAGACCACUAGAGUUUGAAACGGAUGAUCAUGUGUUUGUGAGGGUUACACCUACAAUGGGUGUAGAAAAGGAAAUCAAGUCCAAUAAGCUUACUCUGAAGUUCCUUGGACCUUAUCCGAUUCUCAGACAUGUAGGUCCUAUGGCUUAUGAGAUGGUUUUGCUACCUUUCUUAGCCAACCUACACAAUAUAUUUCAUGUUUCACAAUUGAGGAAGUAUAUUCCAGAUCCUACACAUGUUUUAGAAGUGGACAUAGUGCAAAUGUGUGAAGAUUUGACCUACAAGACUCAACUUGCAAGAACAGAGGAUCAAAGGAUCAAACAACUUAGAGGCAAGACCAUCAGUUUGGUCAAGGUAAUAUGGAGCGACAAUACGGGAGGUAUGACAUGGAAGCUUGAGGACAAGAUGUGUGAGCAGUAUCCGAGACUAUUCCCUAAUCAGUGAAUUUUUUAGGACAAAAAUUUUCUUGUUGGGGGAGUAUUGUAACAUUGUGUUUUCAUAAUUGGUUGUUCAAGUGAUUUAAUUAAAAUUGUAAGAGUAAUUAAAUUUAUAUUUGAGUGUCUAUAAUUAAUUAAUGAUUGUUGUGAUGGUGCUUUGCUUAUAUUUGUAUGUGUUCAGUGAGUUUUUGGUGAGUUUGAGCCUAGAGAAAUAUAGGCUUGUGAUGGUUAGUGAAAGGGGUGUGAGUUUAGCAUAUACUUAGGUGUAGGAAGGAAAAACCUUUUAAGCCCUACAUCUCCCUAAAACCCUUUUUUGUGUUGAAACUCUCUCUCUCAACACACCUUUCUUCGCAAUUCUCUCUUCUCCAAGAAAUCACUAUUAGAGAACCUUGAACUUUGCUGUUAUGCAAAAAAAAAGGCUAUUUCUCCUCUCUUUAGUGGUUCUUGAUUGGCCUUAGGUGAAAUAAUUUCCCCUUCUUCCUCUCCCUAAGUUAAUUUUCAUUUUUCUUAGAGCAACCAUGCACUUUCAUGGAAAAGCUUGAUUUUAAGGGGUUUUAAUUCUAUUUUUGGUUGACUUUGGGGUUGGGUUGAUGCUGGUAUAGUGUGGUUGUUGUAGGAUUGAAGGAAAGUUCUUCACUUGGACCCAAAGCUCACUUUUUUUUCCUUUCUUUUUCAAAGAGUCGUCAUCUAAGGUUUAUGUAGGAAAGGGAAGCUUUAUCAUUUUCUAUGCUUAGGUUGUUGUAAAUUAAUUUCAAGGUUGUUGGAAAAUAAAUCAUGUUUUUUAAAAAAUGAAAAUUUGAGCAUUUGAGGUUUUGAGUUUUAAAAUUUGGAUUCUUAUUUAUUUGAUGAAUAUUGAUUAAAAGUUCCUAUUUGUGGAGUGUUUUGAUGUUGUUUAUGUAUUUGGAAUUGAUGGAAAAGAGUUUGAGUUUGUUCUGGGAUGAUUUGGAAGUCAUAAGAGACAAUUCUACAAAAAUUUUGAAAUUCUACAGAAUUUGCGACUAGUGAAUAUUUUCGCGUCCACUAUCCAUUGUCACAUCCAAUGUCUAGUGUCACAUCCAAUGUCCAAUGUCACGUCCAAUGACCAUUUUCACGUCAAACAUCCAGUGUCGUGUCUAGUGAUCAUUUUGAGUCUGAUGAUCAAUUUUGAGUCCAAUGAUUAGUUUUGAGUCCAAUGACCAUUUUGAAUCCGAUUAUCAAUUUUGAGUCCAUUGAUCAUUUUGAGGCUAGUGAUUAGUUUUGAGUCUAGUGAUUAAUUUUGAGUACAAUAAUCAAUUUUGAUAUGAAUGUGAUUAAUGUUUGUUUUCCUUGCAUAAAUUAACUAUUUUGAAAUCUUAAUGAAUUUAUGAUGAUAUGAGAUGGGUUGAGAUGAUGUUAUUUUAAUAUUAGAGUUGACUUUAUGUUGAUAUCAUGAGAAUCACAUUCGUAUGAGUUUUUGGUGAGUUGUUUGCAAGAAUUCAAAGAUGUUGAAAUGUCUUGCUUUACUUAUUGAACUAUAGGUGGGUUCAUGAGUGUGAUGAAUGUAUGAAUAGUGAUUCUAUGAUGUUAUAACCUCUUUAUGAUAUUGAGAUUGGUGAAUGAAUUUGUGAUAAUGUAUGAUAUUGAUUUGAAUUAUCAUAACAUACAUGCAUUGAUGAAUGACAUUACAUGUGAGUAGACACGUAAGUUGGGAGUGCUAAGAAUAUCCUCAACCUAGUGUUGGAGGUUGUCGUGGUGGCUAACGUUGAAGGGGCCUAUAGAAUGAAUGGGUGGACAAAUCCCUAGAUAGGUUAAGGUCUUUGCAAGUCUUACCAAGGUAAGCCACUAUCCACACUCAUCCAUUUUCGAUAAAAUCACACUUCUUCUACAGGGUUAAUUCAAGUUUCCUUGAAUGGUCAGAUCAUAGAGUGCGACUAUGUUAAAGAAUGCACUUGGAUUAACCACUCAAAAGGGGAAAUCUUUCGAGAGUAAGGAGUCAAAAUCUUCUGGGAGUAAGGAGUCGACAUGGCAUAACAUGAUAGCUAGAUAUGUACAUUGAUAAUUGUGACUUGAGAAUGAUGUGUUACUUGUGGAGUUGUAUUAGUACAUGACUGUUGGGAAAAUGGGGGAUUUCUAUAUCUCUUUUAACAUAUUGAUCUUAUAUUUAUUUUAUAUAUUAUUUUUUUAAAAUGAGCUUACCCUUGCGUUUUUUGUUGAGCUAUGAUGAUUGUGUCAUUUGAUAUGAGAGCAUAUUAUGAUGUAGUUUUUUAGGAGCAUGUCACUCAUGGUUGAUGUGUACUUGGUGGUAGACUUAGGGGUGAGAUUCGACUCUAUCAUUUAUUUAUGUUUUGUCUUGGUAGGUACCUACUUAGUGUUUAUAUAUUUUCAUGGAUCUAUGUCGUAUUUAUUUCCUAAAUUGGACCCUUGAGUUUUGUUUGGAGAUUUAUUUUUUAUGUUUGAUGAUUUAGUGCCUUGGAACACACUUAUCUUUAUGUUUUACGACUGAUCUUUUAUGGAUGAAGUUUAUAUGAUACACUUGUAUUCUUGAAAAAAAAUUACAUAUAUUUUCAUUUAUUAAAUUAAUUCAAGAGUUUUAAAGGAGAUAAAAAUAAAUUUUUCCACAUUAAAGUCUUAAUGUUUAACGUAAUGACAUUUGAGGUCAUUACAAGUAUGACAUAAUUGAACUUUUGAUCUCUCAAAAUUGUGAUACCAGAGGGAUGAAAAGUUUAAUUAAUAAGUCACAUUACUAUUUGUUAGGAAAAUUAUUAAAAAAAAUUGACAGAAAAAAAAUAUCAAAUUUGCAUUACUAAUAUUACAAUAACUAGAGAACAUAAUUCACAUUUUUUUUUUGAAAGGUCCUAAUUCACAUAAUUAAAAUUUGAUUGACCAAAAUAACAUAAUUACGAUAUUUUGGUAGAUGAAAAAUCCAAUUAAGCCAAAAAUAAAAAGGAUCUUACCGACAUUUUUUUAUAUAUAUAUGCAUCAACUUACGUAUCUCGAAGCUCAUUCUGAUCAUGGUUCUAUCUCCUCCCUCCUUCACAAAUAAUGCGACGAGAUACAUUAUACAUUCAACAAAGGCUUCUAUAUGUUAUUCCUCUUGACUUUGAAUUUUGAAAUUGAGUCCGGACGAUCUGGUGGACCAGCUGAUCCUUGUCUGAAGCAAUUGUUAAAUGAUAAAACCAUAUAUCCGUCCUUAUCAGUGAAAUGAAAUGUCAAAUAUGUUCGUUGGUGACAAUGCAAGUUGUAGAGAUCAUAAAUGCAAAGAUGCAUGUAUCUUCUUCCGUUUAUAAACAAUUCCAAACAUUAAAUAGCAGCAAGUGGCAGAUGCUUUAUUACAAGUUGCUGAUCAUAGACGCCCAACAAAAAAAGUUUCAAUCAUUCAUAUCUAUAUCAAUCGUCUGCAUUCUCUUAAUAUUUUUAAAAUCAUUUAAACGGUAUCCAUUAUGAAUCUUUUUCAUCUUUUGAUCAUAGAUAUAAUGAUUAAAAAGAAGAGCGUUGAUUUUCCUAUAUAUAUAUAUAUAUUACUUUUGUCUUCCAGAAAAACCUUAUUUUAAAAUACCUAACAUCAGUAAGAUUUGAUGGUUAAAUAAAUUUCUUUCUAGCAACAUCUCAUGGUUAAAACUUGUAGAACUUUAUACAGUAAUAUCAACUUUCGUGUGAAGAAAAUUAAAUGAAAUUUAACAAAGGUUUGACAUAAUACAGUGUUAAUUAACUCGUAUAUAUAACUUCUAAGAAAAUUAAAAUUAACUCAUAUAUAUGCCCUUAACUUGGAGCUACGGGGAAAACAGGGCACGCUGGCGGCUGAUGUGACAUGUAGCAUGUGUUUUGGGUCCCAACUGUUUAGGGCAAGAAAAUUGGAAUUCACUAAUUUAGAUAAGACAGAGGCAGGUUCUUCGAACGGAAAUGUCACGCAGACACCGGAGUGCACUCAACUAUAUUCUCAUCCUAUGGAGUGAAGUCAUAUGAAUACAGUGUUACAUUAUGUACCUCUUAAUUUAAAGUAAUUAUGAGAAUGUUAAUUUAGUCUUCUAGAAUUAUGUACAUUAUUAUAUUAGUUUUAGAAAGAUAUUUGUUUUCAAUUUUAUUUCAUAAAUAUUUAUAUUAUUUUUUGACAGGAAUAGUUCUAUUAUUAUUACUAUGUUAGUCCUUUUAGAAUUUUAUCAUUUAAUUAGUCACUAAAAAAUUAAGAUAAAAUGGGUUUUUGGCAUUUUAAAUUUUAUGAUGUGGAAUUAGUUUCCAAAAAAUUAACCCAUUCUAUUUCAGUCCUUCAAAAUACAAAACCAAUCACUAUUAGAGGGACACAACAUACUUUACCAAAAACUUAAUAUAUUAUAAUAUUAGUCUUUAAAGGUAUAAAAUGUUACCACUUUUAAAGGACAAGUGUAAUAAUACAUACAAAUAUGAAGGGCCAAAUUAAAGAAUUUACAUUAAUUACUAAUGAGAAACUGAUAGAUAAAAUAUUUAAAUAAUUCUGUUUUAUUAUGUUAAGACUUAAAUAUAUGUUUGUCUAUAUAAAAUGAGAUAGUUUUAAUUUUGACCCAGCAAAAAAAAAAAAUUGUUUUUCAUUCCUCUGAAAUUUAAAAUGACUAUUUUUUGUUUUUAAAUGGGUGGUAUUUAGUUUCAGUCCUUAUGAAAAAAUUAUUUGAUUUUCAUCCCUCCAAAAUCUGAAUUUUCAAUUUUUUAUCCCUAAAAUUCACUUCUAAGAUAGAUAAAUAUAUAGCACUCACUUGAGAAAAUGAAAAGGUAUCGCUUGCUAACAAGGAACGGGACAUUAAAAGCAAAUUAAUUUCCCACUUACAGGGCGUAUGCAACAUUAUGGUGUGUGGUGACAUUAGUGGUGUGUGUGUCAAGUCACAAGUGAGUGUUUGAGACAAAGCAGCUUGUGAGAGUGAGAGUGACACUCACUCAGUCUUCCUUUCUUAUGAAUUCAACACUCACGCGCCUCUCAUUAGAGGACUCGCCAACCUCCCUUCUUCGCCCUCUCCAGUUGCCCACGUUUUUUUAUUAUUUCUUUCACGCACGUGACUUUACCAAUUAGUUCUAGUACCUUCAAUUUUUUUUUAAUUAUGUUUAUUACUAUUUCUAUUCUUUAGAUCAACCACGCCAGCCUUAUUUUAGUUUAAUCAAUUAUUUUGAAUUUAAUUUUUAAAAAUAUAUUUGUAUUAAAUAGUUUAAAGAAUUUUUUUACUGCUUAUGUCUAUUUUACCCGAGUCAAAUUAUAUUACUUCAAUUCAAAUAAAAUAUAAUGAGAGAAUAUAUAUUUGAUUUUUUUUUUGUAAAGUUUAAUUUUUUUUAUCAAUAACAAUUAUAUAUGAGUGAAAUUAAUUUCUAAUUCAGUAGGUUAAACAAUUUUAUAUAAGACACAAGACAAAAGAAAAACUCAUAAAUUAACAUUUUAUUAAAGAGUGUAUUUAAUUUAAAGAACUUGUCUUGUAAAAAAAUUAAUACAAAUACAUUUAAAUUAAAAAAAAGUAUUAAAUAUUUUGAAAGUCCUCACAAAGUAGAAGAACUUCUUUUAAGGUGGUUUAACAUUUCCUUAGAUCCUUAGGGCAUAUAUAGGUCCGCUCUUUAACAGUAGUGUUCAAUAACAUAAAAAGUAGAUAUCCAAAGACAUCCUCCUUGACCAAGAUUCCAACUUUACCUUUAGUAUAAUUCAUCUAUUCAUUUUUUUAUUAAUUCCUUUUAUUUAUCCAUUAUCCAUGGAUCUUUUUGGUCAUCAUGUUUCCUUCUUUUCAAUUGAGUAUAUAAAGGAGGCAAGCACCCCAAACAUUUGUUCAAGCCCACAAAAGCAUACCACACAGUCUCACACAUCAAGAGGAGAGGGAAAGAAAGAAAAAAAACAGAAAAACAAAACAGCUGAAUUUGGUGUCUAGUCUACAUUAAGAUUGUCAAGAGAUGGAUUUUGAUUCAUCUUUCUUCCAAUACCAAAACUUUAACUCUUCCUUUGUAAAUUCCUCUGUUUGUGCAGAACCAUUUUCUUGGGAGAACUUUCUUUUCUUCAAUGAAGAAAACACCACCACCACCACCCUUAAUUCCUUCACCAUCACUGACCACUCCUCACAAUCACGAAUCAAGGAAUCAUCAUCCUCAGAUUAUUCCAACUCUUCGGGCUCCUUGGUCAGCACUGAGUCACAACUAGAAGUCUCAUCCAAUUUAACUCAUGCAAGCCAUCAACUCGAAACACAUGCAUCACCACAACCACCAAAAGAAGGUAACAAAGACAAGAGACCCUUCAGAGGAGUGAGGAGAAGGCCAUGGGGAAAAUUUGCUGCUGAAAUAAGAGACUCCACAAGAAAUGGGGUCAGAGUUUGGAUUGGCACAUUUGACACAGCUGAAGCAGCAGCACUGGCUUAUGACCAAGCUGCUUUGUCCACAAGAGGGUCCAUGGCAGUGCUGAAUUUCCCAGAAGAAGUGGUGAGGGAAUCACUCAAAGACAUGCAGAACAAUAAUAAGCCAUCAUUGGAAGAUGGUUCCUCUCCAGUGUUGGCACUCAAGAGAAAACACACCAUGAGGAGAAAAUCCAAAGCCACUAACAAAAAAACCAAAAGGGGUCAUGGAAUGGAGUUAGAAAAUAUUGUGCUUUCACAAAAUGUGCUGGUCUUGGAGGACUUGGGUUCUGAGUACUUGGAGCAACUUCUCAGCUUGACUUCUUCUGAUGAUGAUUUCCUUUGCUAGUAACUAAUUAGUUUAAUUUAAUUAGGUAAUUUCCUGCAUUUGAAUUUUUUUCAUUAAUUAAUUUAAUUAGGUAAAUUUGUUGUUGUUGGCAUUCGGAUUCGCCACGUUUCAUCAUCUCUCUUUUGGUGGUGAUUUGUUUUUUCCGGUGUCGUCAUAAAGUAAUGAGAGAGAGAGAGAGAGAAGAAUGAAUAAGGAGUCCAAUUGUAUAAACAAAUGCCAUCAAGGAAAAAAAAAAAUCAAACAAUUGAUGUUGAAAUUUCUGACCAUGCUUUCUUGUACUCGAUGGAAUUCUUAAAUGAGGGCAGAGGGAUGGAAUGGUGAUCGAUGACAUUGACUGCCACGUUUAAUUUUUCCCUUAAUUAAAAACUUAGUAAUUAAAAUGUCGGCUUAAAUGUUUUUAGUCUUUAUAAAGUUAACAAAUUUUGAUUUUUGUCUAUAGCUAUAAUUUAUUUUAUAUUUUCAUUUUUCUAAAGUUUAAAAAAUACUGUUUUGGAAUCCUUCUAUGAAAUAAGUGAAUUUUAUUUUAGUUCCACUAAAAUAUUCUUCUUUAAUUUUCAUCUCUUCAAAAUUGAAAAUAAUUGAUUGUUUUGGAUCUCUAACAUUCAUUUUGAGAUAACUAGAUGAUAUUUAUUUAAAAGAUUUUUUUUUUUUCAAAAAAUAGAAGUAUCACAUAUGUUGACAUAAUACUAGAUGUCAUCUGAAAUGGUUAUUUAAUCUUUCGUUAAAAAUAUAGAUAUAUAAGAGUGAUAUCUAAGCCCUUAAAAUGUUAUAUAAUUAAUUGAGAAUUUUUUUGAUUAAUUCUUGUACGUACAAGAGAAUUUUGUUAUCGACAAAUUUGUUGGAUAGUUUUGUAUAUAAUAAUAGUUUUGAUGAAAAUAAGUCUUGUAUUAAUAAUAAGAUGAGGAGUAAUUAAAUUAUUUUUUAAUUAGAAUCUUUAUCUUUUAUUUUGAUAAAAAUUAUGGGAUAAAUUUUUCACCUUGCCGGUUAGUCCAACCUAUAUAUUUUUUUUAAUAUUUUGAUUUUUUUUAAUUAGUGUUAGUCAAAUCUUAUCUACUAUAAAAGACAAAAUUUUUCACCUUGCCGGUUAGUCCAACCUAUAUAUAUAUAUGUUUUUCUUUCUUCACCUUUUCCUCAUCCUUUUGUCUGAGACUAAGUUGAUGCGAUUUAAUUAUAUGUUAUUUUGUCAUUCAUUUUAAAAGAGCUUACUGUACUUUAGAAAAAUUUCACAACUAAAAGUUAGCAUUGUGAGGUGAAUAAACCUUCAAAACAUUGCUAACACAUACCUCUAUAUAUAAAAAUCUUAUCCUCGUUUUUAGGUUCAAACCAACCCAUGCAAGUGAUGAGUAUAUACUAAUAAAUCUAUAUUAUGUUGUUAAUAUAUACCUCAAUAUUUCAAAUAUAUUUUAUAAAACAUAAACGUGGAUAUGAUUGAAAAAGUAAAAAUUAUUUUUUUAAUCACUAUGAUGAUAUCAAAUUUUGGUUUUAAUAUUUCUAAAAAAAAUGGUUAGUUUCCUAAUUAUUUUUCAAAACUGAAUACUUUCGGUAUCUACAUUAAUUGUUAUACAUCUAUUAAUUAAUUACAUGUCACUUUUGACUUACUUAUAUGGGUUGAAAGUCCUUUAACACAUGAGUAGUUAAUGAAUUUGUUGGAAAAAAAAAUAGUACUCACUUACGAAAUUAAACAAAUCAAAAAUUAAAUUUUAUAUGUAUUGAAACUAAGAUUUCACAUAUAUAUAGAAUCCAAAAAAAAAAUUACGAACUAAAAUUUAAAUAUGUAAAAUAAUUAUAAGGGUGAAAGAGAGAGGAAAAUAUAUAUCAGGAAAAGGCACAUGCCAUUCGAAUAGAAACGUAUAAUAUAAACAUAAUCCACCCAAAAAAUAAAAAUAAAAUAUAGAAGCAGGUCAAUAUAAAACAAGUUCAAAAAACAUGAUUUAGCAUCUAAACAACCUAUCUUAUACGUCUUAUUAUUUGAAAAGAAAGAUGAAGAUGUGUGUUGUAUCGUGGAACUCUAAUAUGUUCUUUUGUAAAAAAUAAAAAAUAAAAAAUAGCUUCACUAAGAAUUUGACUCCAUAUAUAUACAUAGGGAAGUUUGAAAAUAAUUUUCUGAAUAGUUGGUGAUAUAUCAGCAUAAUUUAGUUAGCUCCAAUAGUUAUAGUUUUGACGUUAUAUAUUUCUCGUUUAUCGCGUGAAUCGAAGCCUCUCACCAAACCCUGCUAGAGUCAAAUUCAUCAAUUUUGUGCCAUACGCCUACAUUUUUAUGAAUCCUUCCAGAAGCAAUAUUAGUCUUUUUAUAGUUUCCAAUCCAUAUUUAUUCAAACAAAAUUUUCUAAAGGAGUAAUCAUUUUUUAAAAGAGACAGAUGGAAAGGCAUGUGGAGAAGUACAAUUAAAAAAGAAAAAAGAAAACCUGUUUGUUUAUAUUUGUAUAAUAUUCUAACAAAUUUAUUAUAAAAGAAUUUAUCAUCAUAAUGAUUUUAGAACUUGAGGGUUUAUUUUUAAUAUUUUAAAGUGUAGUUGAAGGUUUGCUGAGAAACUUUUGGCUCCACGUACUGUUUUUUUUAUCAGCCAAAAGAAACAUAUAUCAUUAAAAGCACCACUAUUUUUUUAUAGAAAAAUUAAUGCCACUAAUAAUUUAUUGAAGUAAUUUUGUGUCAGUUUAUAUACUUUGCAAAUUAGUAAAUUAUUAUUUUUACAGAAUUAAUUAGUAAAUUCAUUUGUUCUUUCGAAUUUUUAUCUUCUUGUUAUUGAACAUUCAACAAAUAAAUUAGACUGAAUUUAUAUUUUUAUAUAUACAAAGAGAUAUGUGUGGGAGGGUACAUCUCACUCCAACUGAAUGGACAUAGCAAAAGUUUUCCUCCCAAUAUUAAUUGUGAUUACAUAUCUAAAGUUUUAUCUUAAAACCAUUGAUUAAAAUGUAAUAAUUUCAUAUCAAUUUAUUUAUGGGUUUAAUAGUAAUAUUAAUGGAUGUCAUUUAACUAACGGGAUAAUCAAUAACAAUAUUGAUUAAUGGGGAUAUUAUAUUCUUCUUUUUUAUUAAUAUGGGGAUAUUAUCUCAAUUAAUACUAUUAUGAUAUGGAUAUGUAUAUUGAUUAGUUUUGUGUUAAUUUAAGGAUCUUGUGUAGGACAAUGGAUUAAUUAGUUCAUUUCUCACAAUAUAAAAGAAAAAAGUUACUUUUCCGCAAUUAACAUUGAUUUUCUUUCCUCAAUUAAACUUGUUUAAAAUAAAUUGUUGCAACGACCAAUUAUUAUCAGUAACAGUUAAUAGUAAAUAUUAUCUUAUUAUAUUUUGAUCAUAAGCUUUCAUUGAUUAGUUUACUCUUAACUUAAAUCCUACAUAAGUAUAACAAAGGUUAUAGGUUCUCUUAACUUUUUUAUUUUAUAAAAAAUAAGGAAUUUUUUAUUGUCAAAAUUAAUUUCUCUUUUUCAUUGCUUAAAAAAAUAUUCAAAUUGUAAAAAUAAAAAAAAUCACAAGAUAGUGAUUAUAUGAUAAUUUUAUCUUCAGUAAUCAAUAUCAUCAUUAGAACCACAAGGAUAUGAUGAAAAGUCCAGCGCAACAAUUAAUUUGUUUUAAAAUUAAAAUCUUCUGUUCAAAACUAAAAUACAUCAGUGUAAAAAAUAACUAAAAUCAAUCAAACCAUAAUAUUCUCCUAUAAAAUAACGUUGAUUUUUUUUUUCAUUAUAUCCACAGACAAUGAGAAUGCAUUUAUCCUAUUAUGCAUGUUAAAAAUAAUUUCUUAUAGCACUGUUUACUUCUUUUGAUUUUCAAAAUUAAAUUUUUACAAUUCCUUAAAUAAAAAUUAUUUUUCUUAUUUCCAAAUUUUUUUUGGUCUAUUCUAAUUUCAACAAUAAAUUUUCCUUUUGACUAGAAAGUUGAUUUCAAAAUUAAUAAUUGUAGGGGCUCAUCCUAUACUGUGAUUUUAGGUAAAUUUUGAUUUUGAAUAUUUCUGUGGCAAGGAAAUAGUUCGUAAAAGAAUUAGGGAAUUUAAAAAAAAAAAUUUAUAGGACACAUAAUUUGAUUUAAUAGGGGUAUUAAAAUGGGCUAAGUCAGAUUAGUUGACUAAAAUAGCUCAAUUAAUUAUGUAAGUUAGACUCUGAAAAUUGAAACACAAUAUUAAUUUAGUCUAACCUAACUAAAAAAUUAGCUUGAAUAUUCGGGCUGGACUAACCAUUGGCUUGAUAUAAAUUAUUUUUAAAAUUUUUAUAUUUUUACAAUUAUUUAGAGCUUUAUUUAUUUGAACUAUUUUUUAAGUAAUAUAAUUAAAAAAUAAUAAAUAAAAGGGAUAAGUAUAAAAAAAAAAAUUGUGUUGAGUUUCAUUUAGAUUAAAUAUAGUAAACUUAUCGAAUAUUAACACGUAAUAUAUUGAUGUAAAAGUUUGGAAAUAUUAUAAUUUGAUAGGAAAUUAAUUAUUUUAUAUAAAUGGCAUAUAGAUAUUAUUAACUUGACUGAAAUUCUUUCCUCAACUUGUAAUUUAAUUGGUCCAGCCUAAAAAUAUAUUAACCUAUAAUGGAACAAUGUAUACGAUGAUACUGAUUUAAAUUCAUGCAUCUAUAUAUAUAGAGGUGGAACAUUAGCCAAUUACACCAAUACAAUGUAUGCAAUAAUAUGAUAUAGGGAAAAAAUGACAAGAUAAAAUCAAUCAUUUUUUUAUUUUAAAUUAAAAUCAACUUACGCAUCGCAAUUUUCUUUAAAUUAAAAUCAUCAUAAACUUAAAAUGCAUAGGUACAUUUUAACUAAUAAAUUUUUUAUUAUUUUAUUCAUUUAUUUUCUUAUCGUACAAGUAUUUGUCAAAAAACUAUUUAAACUAGAUCUAUAGCAAAUUUUGAUUGAGCGUGCGGAGGUUAUUACUUUAGAUUGUUUAUAAAUAAUAAAUAAUAUGAAAUUGACGGAUUGCUUGCUUCAUUCAUUAUAUUAGAGAAUCUUUAUUAAACCUAGUUUGAAUAGUUUGGUAGGCUUGAAUGGGCUGGGCUCAUUAAACAAACAUACAAAAUAAUAAAAAUUGAUGAAAGGAUUCUUUGGCAAUUGCUAUUUCUACCCCCUCUACUUUACUUGUACACUACCCCUUCUCAUUUGUUUUCCUAAUUUACCCUGUAAAACACAGUACUCCCUCGUCUCUAUUGCAGAAAGCAGAGACCCUUGGCAUUUUCAGAACCCAGCACCAGAAACGCGCAAUCUAUCUAGAUGCAAAACCGUCUUCAUAAUAAUGAGGAUGGAAAGAGAGACAUAGAUUUGAUUAGAUCGGAAGUGGGAACCUGAGGGAAGAAGUUGGAAACAUUGAAGCCCUUAGCGAUGAGAGCGCGAGAAGGUGCUUGAGUUGGCAAAGAAGGCCAUGAAUAAAAAUGAGGAGUUCAGAGUAAUAUCUCUAGACCAAGUAAUUAUUUAUAAUUAUUUUUUUAUUAAUAAAACUACUUAAUCUUAAUAUAUGAAUGAUUAUCGUAAAUCAUUUAAGUAAAAUUUUAAUUUUAUUUCAAAAAAUUAGAGAAAAUUAUUUUAUAUUUAUUUUAGAUUCAACCUCCUUGACUUAAAAAAAUAUUGAAAUUAGCAUAAAAUUUAAAUUUAAUUAGUAAAUUUAUGGUUGAUAUAUAAAAAAGAUAUUUUGACAAAAAAUAUUAAUUGUAAAAUUACACAUUUAACAAAAAUUUUAUUUCAUGUUGAUAUUUUAUAUACAUAUAUUAAUUUAAAUAUUUAAUAAAAAAAGUCAAUUUGAAAUUUAAAUAUUUAAAAUAUGAAAUCAUAAUUUAUAUUUUAAAAAAUUUAACAAAGUAUAUUAAAUUAAAAUUUGAAGUAAAUUUAGUCUUAGUAUUUUGAUAUUAAACACGCGGUUUCUGGCAUCUUCGUGAGUAGUAAGUCAUUGCAGCAGGAAGUGCUCCAAACAUAGUCUGCUUGUGGAACAGUUGAACCCAACACAUCAACCUCACGGUGGAGCAUCAAACUUGGCCUUGAACAAAGAUGCUAUGAUAAUAGGAAACACACCUCCUGCCAAAAUUCCAAAUCCUUGCAUAGCAAACACUGCAGCUAUAAAGGCACCGCAAGUCUUCUUAUUAGAAUACUCAGACAUUAUGGUAAUCUCCACCAAUGCCAAAAUCAAGCCAGAAGCGGAAGAAGCAAAGAGUUGUCAUCAUAGUCUUUGCAUCUCGCCCGAAGGAAAGACACGAAAUGGAAGCUAUUACCAUAAGCACGAGGGUCAUGCCAUAGACCUUUUUUCGGCCCAUUUUGUCGCCGAGCCAGCCAAAGAAAAGUUGCCCGGAAAGUGUUCCAACAAAAGCUACACCAUUAACUGCAGCUGACACAUUGGGAGGCAAUGGACCAGGCUUUGCAGCCCCAUCAACGUGGUAGUAAAUGCGGCCAAGUAGCUUUGUGACAAGUGAUAUACAGAAGAGAUCAUAGGCAUCAGUGAAGAAGCCCAUUCCAGCAAUGAUGAUUGCUGUGAAAUGAUACCAUUGUGUUUUUGCUGCGUCCAGGGCAUUUAGCACCUCAACUUGCUCCUUUCCCAUCACUACCCAACUUUUCUUCCAUCUCCAAAAUUGCUUCACUUAUCUCUGCAAAAGUGGAACAGAUUGCAAGAUGUUAUUAUGUUAAACUUGCCUUGCAUCAAGCGGGAAAACACAGCACCAUUAUGAAAUUGAAGGGUAAUUUUUAAUCAGUGAUUAACAUGUGAUGGCUAUGAACAUUGUUGAACCUAGCAAAUCAAUAACGAUUAUACUAUGCAAGUACUAGAACCAUCCAAAAUAAUUCAAUCAAGCAAUGAGAUAAUCAAAUUAUGAUCUGAACAAAGAUAUAGCUACUAUUGCAGAUUGUGGUUACAGAACAUUAGAAAGGUAAGUGUUGAACAAUAUGAGAAAGUAAACACCCGGUGGAAAGAACUAAAUAGUAUUUUUUUCACCUUUUAAAUUUCAUCUUGGAGGAAGAAUGAGCUUGAUUAAAUAGAAAGAACUAAAUACUAUUUUUUUUUAUAAAAAAAGUAAAGAAAUCUCUAAAUGGACUUGAAAAUUUUCAUUUUUCAUGAAAAAAAAGAUAUGUCUAGUACUUAAGGUAAAAGUACUAAGUAUACCCAAAAUGUAUUGUUACUCGAUAUUUAACGGGUACGGGUACCUUUGACAAAAUAAUGCACGCAUUCCAAACUCCAACUACAAUAAAAUCUUAUUCCCUUGUUUAAGAGUAUUCAAACUCCAUUCCGAAGUUUUAAUGGAACAAAUGUCUUCCCAGAAAGAAGUCCCGGAAACACAGACACUAUCACACCCUCUACCCCUCACAUAUAUAUUAAUAAAGGAAUAAAAAUUCAAAUAUUAAUUAAAAGUAUUUUUAAAACAUUUUUAAAUACAAGCUUUUCAAAUGGGUAAAAGGCUCACAUUCACUUUCUUCUGCAUCAUAUUCAAACUUGUUCAAAUAAAUAAUAAAGUCAUCUCGACUCAAAGAAGGUCAUUUAAGUCUCAUACAAUUAAUAUAGAAUCUAUAUCCUAAUGUCACAUCCUAUUAGAGCGUGGUGUUCCCGUGUCCUCUAGCAUGAGGUUCUUCAUAGUCAUCCACCUAUUCAUCUGCUCCCCCGAACACAAAGUUCAAGAUCAUCACAGGAUCCAAACACAAACAACAAACCGGAAGUGAGUUAUCACAUUUCUAACUACUAGAGAGAAACAACACAACAUAUAGUAGUCAAAUACAAUUUACUUAGCAUAUCUCACAUUAUUUCAUCACUUUGUCAUUCAUCAAUCACACUUUUCAUCCAUCAAUCACACAUUUCAAUCAUCAAUCACUAUACACAUGAAUCACACAUUCCGAUCAAGACAUAAUAACACAUCAAUUUCAUAAUAAACAAUUAACAAGCGUAUGCGACAGUUAUGCUAAGACUCAAGCCUAUAUGCAAUGUGGUACUAUGUCAGUGAAAAACCUCGUCGGGCGCCUAGGAGUACAUGACAAGACAAACCACACAAUAAUAAGUCAAGUCACUCUCACUAGGUAAUAUCAUAGGGAGACCAGUCAGGGUCACAGUAUUUUGCGAGAAUGCUCCAACCAUAUGAGAUCAACAUAGGCUUAAAGGAACACUCAAACCGUGUGACCCCUAAGGCCUACACUCCGAAGAGUCCGUCAGGGCCUCUCCCUCCUGAUUCAGGUCCAACCCAGAAAAUAUUUUAGCACACAAACUCUAUCUAUGAACUAUACAAAACACAUGACUCCUCAAUUGUUCUCAAAAUAAUUUUAACUCGUCGCCCUUUAAAGGUCUUAUCAUUAACUCGUCGCCCUUAAAGGGACUUAACAUUAACUCGUCACCCAAAAAGGGACUUAGCAUCAACUCGUCGCCCUAAAAAGGACUUAACAUCAACUCGUCGCCCUAAAAGGGACUUAGCAUUAACUCGUCGCCCUUGAAGGGACUUAUGAUCGUGUGAUUGUAUAAUUCAUAGUUCACAACUCAUUGCACAUAUAUAUCUCAAUCAUAUACAUACUUAAUUUAUCACAUACACUUAAUCCCAAUCACAAUGGUAUAAUCUCAAUUUAACAUGUUAUCACACCUCAUGAAUCAUAUACACUUUACCUAUGAAUUAUGCAAUACACACAUCUACUCAAUUGUUUUCAAAAUCAUUUUAACUCGUCGGGUUUCCACAGUGGAUCUCAUCACAAUACUCGUCGCGCUUAAAGGGUCUUACAAUUGUGUGAUUGCACAGUUCAUAGUUCACAACUCAAUACACACAUCUCAUCUCAAUACACAUGUAUUUCAUCAUCCGUCACAUGUUCAAUUUAUCACAUACUCAUAGUUUGAAUCAUCGUUUCAUAACCUCAACAUAACAAUUUAUACAAAAGAUUUUAUCACAACAUGGAAUGUAAAACCUGUGAAAUAGUUCCUCAUAAUUGUAUCAAAAUCAAUUAAUCAAAAUCAUGGGUUAACACAAAGACAUCAAGAGCACUCAAGUUUAUCAAUCAAUUCUCAUCAGGACAUCAAUUGGUACAUAGAACACAAUAAUUCAAUAAACAUCCCAAAAUAAACCCAAAUUUAGUUCUCUAAGGAUCCCUACACAGGUUCAUUCUAACCCCAAUUGCGAUAAACUCAUUCCUUACCUCUGAGCGGACUCACGUGUCUUCAGUCAACGAUAGUAACAUCUCUAGCGAUUCCCUGAGAUUCCUUCAGUUAUUCCUCCGACUUGCUCCGAUAGAAUUCCCAAACGUCAAGAGACGGAGAAGAGAUUGAAACCUCCACUUGUACUGUCUUCAUGCGAUUCCUUUUUCUCCCUCCACGAAUAUUAUCUCGAAAAUCCCAACGGUGGAAGUGUGCGAAAUUGAAUUUCGAACAACAUAUCCAAAUUUUAUGAAAAUCCAACGGUUAACGAAAUCGAGAUCAUAGUUUUACCGAGACAGUUUUGGGUUUCUGCGGGAAAUUAAAAUGCUACAAUGCGAAGGGUUUUCCUCUAAGCUCAGAUAUUAUUUUGAAAUUCUCAACGGUGAGAAUGUUCGAAAUUGGGUUGCGAACUUGGUACUCAAAUUUCACAACGAUCCAACGAUGAAGGAGCCCGAAAUCGUCGUUUUUCUGAGACAGAUUUGGUGAGCUGCGGGAAAAAGAAAGGGUUUUGGGAGUAAGGGAAAAACGAAAAUGAGGCACCUGACUUAACAUAACUAUUUAUACCUGGGGUACUCAGCCUAUUAUUUGCUCUAUAUUUAUUUAUUUUAUAAAAAUAAACUCUAUUUUAUUUUCUAUCAAACAAAUAAAUGAAAUACCCUUUUUAUUUUCUCUCAAAUCAUUAUUUUAAUUAAUAAUUAUAUCUCCUUAUUUAUUUAUUUAUAAAAAAAAAAAAUUUCGUACCCCAUUGCCCAGAGUCUCUUCGCUAUGCGAAGGUAUAGGGGAGGGAUGUUGUACGCAACCUUACCCUUGCAUAAAAGAGGUGCAACACGAGGACUUCCCAGGAGGUCACCCAUCCUAAUACUACUCUUGCCCAAACACGCUUAACCGCGGAGUUUUGAUGGGAUCCGGUGCAUUUAUUUUAUUUAUUUAUAAAAUCUCAUCAUUUUUCUAAAACUCUAUUUAUUUAUAAAUAACAAUCCUUUUUAAUCUAGAUUACAAAAAAUUAGAAUGUUACAGACGCAUUAUUGAUCAGAAUACACAUUUUUUGGGUAUACUAAUAUAUCAAGUAUAAACCAACUAAUAACAACCUAUGCACAGCCUAAUUUCUUUAAACUUUAAAAAAAAAACUUUAAAAUGAACGUUUUUUUAUACAAGUGAUUUUAUAAGAAGCAAAUAAGAUUUGCUUAGUAAAAUAAGCUAACAUCUAUUUUCUUAAAGAAAAAAGAUGUUUAGACAAACACACUAAAAAAUAAAAAUAGUUAUUUAUUUUAUUAAAAUAAAUACUUAUUGUAACAAAUAAAUUCAAACAAACUAACUCUUCCUCUUAACCAAAUUUCUUAGUGAUUUUGGUUGAAGUAUGAAAAGACUUUGUUGCAACCUUAAGUGAUGUUUACUUGGAGAGACAAGUGAAAUAUUACUUGGGUUUAAGCUUGAAGAUGUUUGUUGAAAAGAAUAUUUGUAACUUUGUAUACAUGCUUUCAUUUUUCAUGCUCAGACAAUAAUUUGAUCAUAUCCUUCCUAAUAUUUACAUAUCAUAUUCAAAUUUUGUCAAGCUAAGUCAUGCAUAUAUGUUACAUCUACCCAGACAACUAAUGAAAAACAAGAUUCAUAAAUGUAGUGAAAUGGCAUGCACAAAUAUAAAUUAGGAUAAUAGCUAGAAGAAAACACAAGUUUAUUAACGUAAAAAAAAUAGUGAAAUGGAAAAAAGAAACAUAUAGAGUGGACGUAUAAAAUAAUCAACUUGUAGUCACAUAACGCAUGCAUGGAAUGCGACAUUAGAAGGAUUUAAUAUAAAUAAGACAGAGAAUAUACACCGGGAAAGGGACGAUGCUUAUGAAGCUGAGCUGAGAGAAGUUGAGAAAAAAUUGGAGACAGAAAGCAAAAGAGAAGAAUUGGCUGUACGCAAAAGAUGUGAAUGGAAGGCCAAAGAUUUAUAGGCAACACAUGUGCAAUAUAACUGAGGGUAACGGAAAUAGAGGGUUAUUACCUUCCGGUUCGAGAGAACGAAUUGUUUGAGUAAUAUGAAAAACGAAGAAGAAGAAAAUGAAACCCUAAUUUCCCAAUUGAUGCCUUCUAGUUCUAGGGUUCGAUCCCCAAAGUCUAGUUUGGCCUGCACUCGAUUGUUUCACAAUACGGAGGAUUAACCAGUCAUAUUACACCAAAUCAGCAAUUGCUAUGAGAGUUAAGAUUAGAUCACCACUAGAUUCAAGUUGGGCACUUCACAAACGGUGUAGAUUUGUGGCUCUAGUUAACUAGUAUGUAUGUGUUAAAGUUUUUUUAGACUUCCUUGAUAUUUAUUUAUUUAUUUAUAAUUAUAGGAGUAAUUAUUAUUAAAUAUUAUAUUAUUUUAAAUAUUUUAAAAAAAUAAUUAAGUAUUUGAAUAUACUAAAUAUUUAUUUUUUAUUUAAUAUUUUAGUUGAACUUAAGAGUCUGAUUAUUUAUAUUUUGUAAAAAGUUACUUAAAAUAUGAAAUAAAAAUUGUAUAUGUAUAUCUUAAAAAAUUAUUUUAUUUAAGAAUUUAAUUACAAUACAUUUACAGUAUAACUGUUAUCCAACAAUAAAUUGUUCUUAUCAUAAAAUUAUUGAUUUUUAUAAAAAAAAAAUAUUUUAAUAAUCAUAUCAUAUAUAAGAUAUUUUUUAAUUAGUUUAAAACAUAAAAUAUUUAUUUUACAAAAUAUAAACAAUAAAUUCUUUAUUUAAAAUUUAUAAGUAGCUGUACGAAAAUUCUUAAAAAUUUUAUCAUAAAAACACUUUUUUCAUAAACCCUUCAAAUUUUCUAAUAAUGUAUUUUAAUUGAAGAGAGAAUUUGAAUUCAUGAAGAUAAAAGACAAUGAACCGGUCAAAGAUUAUUUGGGCGGAUUAAUGGAUGUCGUGAUUCAAAUGUACUUCUUGGUGAGACAUCAUUUACAAGUUAGAAGGUUGUAGUAAAAAUCAUAAUUUUGGUUCACAACAAGCUUGAAGCCAAGAUCUCUGCAGUUUAAGAGACGUAUGACUUGUAAACUCUCAUAAUUACAUAAUUACAAGUUUAUGCACAAGAGUAAAGAGUUUCAAUGAAAAGUGAUCAAGCUAUUGAAGAUGCCUUCCAAGCAAAACACAAUAGAAGGUCUUCCAAUAACAACAAAGGAAGAGUUGAAGAUACUUCAAGAAAAGGAAAGUUUUUGCACCACCAACACAAAUGAUUAUGUGUGAUAACCUUAAUAGAUACUGGCAAUAGUAGAAGUUUCUAAAUGAAGGGAGUAUAUUUGUGGCAGAAAACUCCACUUUUUUUGUCUUAAGGAAUUCACAAGAUAAUAAUACAUUUCUGUCAAGACUUCUGUCGUUUUUGAAAUAUUCCACAAGAGAAUAUAACAGAACAUGUGCAAAGGAAAAUGCCCCAUCUCUAGUGCCCACUUCGCUCCUUUCCACCUCUAUUAUUAUUAUUUAUGUUUUGGGAAAUAUGCUAUUUUGGUUGCAUGUUGUACAUAGUAUAUUUUUUGUGGCAUUUGAUAAUAUGUUAACAUAAAGUAAACAUAGCACAUGAGCUUUAUUAUGUAUUUGAAAUAAAAAAUGAAACACAAAGGUUAUCUUGAUACAAAAAUUUAUAGAGUUGACAAUGAUUUUAACUUGGCUUGGAACGUCCAAGUUGUCCUGUCCUACCACCAUAUAGUAUUUAACUAACUUGUUAGUGUUAUCCCUUUUUCUUGAGAAAUUCAUAUGAACUUAAUUUGUCAUUUUAUGUGGACUAAAUCAUUACAUAUUAAUUAUUAUGUUACAUUCAGUUAUUUCUGAUCUUUGUAGGACCAAGUAUUUUUAUGCUAGUAGUAUUAUUUUAAUCUAUUGUGAGGAAGCUACAAGCUAACAAAUCACUUAUCCAUGAUAAUUAACUUGUUCAGUUGUUUGGGUUCCACAAUGAGUUCAUGUUCUAUUUCUCGAUGCUUGAAUUCUGUCUUUCCCUGUGGUCCUACUUGAUGAUGCAACAGAUGGGACAUGAGUAUCAUCAUCAGCUCACCGCAACAUGAAUCAACAUCACAAACUAAAACUAAAAGUAGAAGAUGCCGAUAGCAAUACCACAGUAGCAGACCACAAAGGAGGCAGCAUUAGGAAAUGGACAAAAUAGAAUAACAGAAUAUCUUCUAGAUACUACUAACAAAGAUUUGUUCUUGAUACAAAAAUCAUUGUCAAUUUUAACUUAUACAAAAAAUUUAUUUUAUUUUAUUUUAUUUUCUGUUUCUAUAAAUAUUUAUUUAAAAAAUUAUCCAAACUAAGCACUAAGAAGAUUUAAUUUUAAAGGUAGAGCAGUCUGUCUCUAAGAAACUACAGCUAAUUGAUAUACGAGGAACAGUGUCCCUAACAUUCAUCUUCAUACAUUCGAUCUCCACCUUGGCUACCGGUAGCAUGGCAAAUAGAUAUUAUUGCAGGGACCACUAUGGCAGCUACAAUAGCUGCAACACCAAAAAGCAAUGCUACAGUGUUCAAAUGACUGCUGCUCUACUGAGCCACUAGAGCGCCAAAAACUCAAGACAGAAGGAAACAUCAAUCUAUAAGCAUAGGAACAAAAAUUAGUUGAAUUUAUUUUCUUGUUCUGUACAGCAUUGCCACUACACUAUCAAAUCAUGCUAGAAAAAACAAGUUUAAUACAACACCCGUGCCGUGCCUUAAAAACAAGUUUAAUACAACACCCGUGCCGAGCCGCAAAGUAACAUUUACCGUAUCUCCUGACUGCCUUGCAAUAAUACAACAGGUCACCCGUGCCGUGCCUUAUAAUACAACAGAAGGUUGGAGCGGCAUUUUCAAUCACAAGGUCAGGUCAGGAUCAUCUUCAUAAUCAAAAUCUUGUUCACUUGAAGCCCUUGCUCUCUUGGCAUCUCUUGCCCCACCUCUACCUUUCUUUGGUUUACCCCUAUGGUAUACAUGCAGAUAUUUUAGCUCAUACGGGCAUGCAUUCUUUACAUAAGCGCAAAGAUUUAUGGAACAGUUUCUGUAAACUAACCUAUUAUUUAAUUAGUUAAUUCAAAUUUAAUAAUACAAAGAUAAAUUAGUUGAGUGCUUACUGUCCAUUAGCAUAAAUUCCUCCACCUUUUGAACGACCAGGACCAUAAUCUGGUCUACCAUCUGAGACAAAAUACAAUGAAUGAACAACAAAAUUCAUACCAAUAAAGUAAUAGAAACACUUGCCUAUAUGAACUCACCAUCUCGUCCAGCUGCAAGAUCUUCUGCCUGUAGUAAACAGGUGAAGAAAAUCCAUGUCAGUGUUACAAGUCAGAAAUAACCAUUUGUUGAAAAAUGCUGACACUAAAUAAAUAGACCUUGAAUAAUUAGAAUUGGAUGAAAAAAAAAACAUAAAAGGAUGAUUUAUUUUAAGGAUAGGUGUCAAUAGAAUGGAAAGAUAGAGCCUGGAAAAGGAUCCAGUCUUGAAGAGCUUAGAAAUCUAUGUUCACCAACUUGAAACUUCGAUGUCUCCUAUCCUCCAUAAAAGAUGUUAUUAGUCAAAGUUUACAUUUUGAUACUCAAGUUUUAAGAUUUCAAAUAUAUACUGCUCUAAUUUGGUAACAAGCAUGACGCCUGUCAAAAUUGAAAUCAAAUGACAGGACCUGACCUAAGCACAUGUAAAACAUUUAGCUUCUCUUCUUUCAAUGGAAAUAGACUUCCUCAACCGUAUAUGACAAAGAAUACAGUACAAUCAUAUAUCUGACAGUCUAGCAUGAAUUGCCAAGUUCAAUUAUUGUUUCAUAUAUUUCUGCAAAAGAAUGCCUCUGCAUUGCUUUCUGCUCCAAAUUGAUCAAAACGGUACCAUCAGGUCAGGCAUUCUUUGCCAAACUUCCUCUGCUAUUACUUUUGAGUUUUGACUGGUUUAAUCGAGAUAGCACAGAAUUAUGGAUGUACACUAGCCCAAAAAUGUCAGAAACUAAUGCAUCCAACAUGUCCUAAUCGCUCUUAUCUUCCCAGGAGAUUAACAUGCUGAUGCUCUCAUUAUCAAAAAGUACUAUGACCAUUUUUUCUAACAAGGGUGUAAAACUGAACAAUAGAUGAACUGCAAGAAGUUAUCUUUUUACUAUCCUGACAGAGAAAAAGUAUAUAGUGUUCACUAGUGCACAUUCUUUUUUCUAUUGCUGGUUGGAAGCAUAUCACUGAAUAUCAGAGAUAUAGUACAUACCGCUGGCGAGGUCACUGAAGAUAAUGAGAAGAGCCUAUCUUCAGGUUGAAACUUUCUAGACCUCUUCAGGCUGCCAUGAAGAAAUUCGAUUCACCAAUGUCAUGCAAACAUCAACAUGGAGCCAAACUAUGAUAAAAAUCAUAUCUCACUUAAAACAAUUGAACACAUGCAUGCACAAAAAUUAAGUCAUCUCUGAGACCCUGAUACAUAAAAACACAGAAACACAUAAAUUGAUCAUAAGAAAAUAAUCAUGAAUAACAAAACUACACUUCAUAAACUGUCCUUGCUUCUCAACAUUUCACACAAUUCUAUUUCAUUAUCUAGAAUCUUGGUAAGAUUGAAUUAUCAGUGCAUCUAGGCAAGUCCCAGCAAUGUAUCACUUUAUAUGGAAUAUCAGGGAUCAAUACAAGUAACAAAAGUACCAGACUCUAAUGAGUUAGCUUUUCCAAACCAUCAAUGAAUCAAGAUUUCAGAACACCCAAAUUGAGGCCCAAUAAAUAUGGUCUGUGAUCAAGUAUAUAACAGAUCACAUACUUGAAACUUGAAAGUUCAUCCUUACACUUCCUAUUUUCCUUAGGAUCAAGGUUAUCAAACUCUCGAGUUAACUUCCUAACUCUUACGAGUUUACAAGUUCACUUACCCUCUACAAGUUGACUCAUGUGCAAACUCUCUUUUUAGUAUACUCUGGGUAGACUCUAUGCAAACUUGAUAGACUCUCGAGUUUACCACCGAUUCAUUGAGCCAACAAGUUAAAAAAAAUUAUACCAAAACACAAGGGAUUUUGGGUUGUUUUGUGUUUGUUUAGGGUUCAACAUACCUCUGUUUGGUAUGUUGUUCCAGAAUAAAAAAACCCUCACCUCUAACAACAUUAAACCCUAGUUCUCCAACAACAUCAAACCCUCAAUGGGAAUACUCUACCACUACUAUCACAUCCGCAAGUUAUCUAAUAGUGAUGCAUUACUAGAAUUGGUUAUUUAAGUAUUGUGGAAUUUAUGGUUUAUUAUUUUGUUUUAUUAUGUUGUUAAAAUGUUUACUUGGUAUGUUAUUGAUAGGUAUUUUGUUAUUAUUUUUAUAUGAAAUAAACUCUUAUAAGUUUAUGAGUCGAGUCUAUGAAACUCCUACGAGUUUACGUAGAUUCUUGAGUUUGAUAAUGUUACUUAGGAUUAUAAGAAUCACAGAUUCUGACAGAAAAUAUGGGUGCUAUUUCUUUUCAGCAGAAAUGAAAUGAACUCCAGAAACUACGAGUACAGAAAGAAAAGGUUGUUUGACAACAAGAAGUCAAAAUAUGGAAUAAAUUAUCAGUGUCUAGAGAAAACAUAAAGAAAGAGCACCAGAGAGAAAAAAAUCCCUACAGUGCAGUGUUCUUCGAUGAAGAUAGGAAACCUUCAAAUCCUUUUAAUACAUUACCACACUGUCCAGGAUCCUGUAAGUAACUUGUCUCCAUAUCAUACACCUGUGUUAAGGGGAAAAUAUCAGCUACUGCUCGCUACGAAUCACAUGGAAUGUUCGUUUUACGCAAGUAACUUGUCUCCAUUUCACUUUUAUGUAAACUUGAUCAACUCAACCAUGGGAAUGGGGUUUGAGCAUCAUAGACACUGCACCAGAAGUGCAUCACUACAUGCCCAAUUAAGCAAUAGACCUCAGUUAUAUUAUAAUUUAAAAUCACGUGAAGUGCCCAAUUUUAGGUUAAAUUACAUUUUGCCUAAUUAUCCUGUUGCGUACGGAAUUGGUUCAACCAACCAAACAAUAAGCACACACAUUUUAAUAAUUUUAAAAAUUUUAAAAAUCAGUUUUUUUAUAGGAACCAAAAAAAAUAUCAUGGUAACCGUUCAUACAUAAUGAGAGAAAGUUUUCGCCCCUUUCGAAGGGAACCCAGAUGCGAACGUUAAAAAAUUCACCUGCUUUUCAAUGCUGCGAAGAUCUUCGUGAAGUUUGGCUCUCCUACUAAGCAGAGAAGCUAACAUUGCCGACGGGUUCACCGUACCCUUUUGCCCUAAAACAGAACAUUAUUUUAUAAGUUUAAUAAUCCGGAUUAAAAUUCAAUUCAAUCAGAGGGUAACGGAAAUAGAGGGUUACUACCUUCCGGUUCCAUGUUCGAGAGAACGAAUUGCUUGAGUAAUAAGAAAAACGAAGAAGAAGAAAAUGAAACCCUAAUUUCCCAAUUGAUGCCUGCGCUCGAUUGCUUCACAAUGCGGAGGAUGAAACCCUAAUUGCUUCACAAUGCGGAGGAUGCCUGCCCAAUUAUGUUAUAAGGUAAGUGUUGAACAAUAUGAGAAAGUAAACACCCGGUGGAAAGAACUAAAUAGUAUUUUUUUUAUUUUAACAAAAGAAAUUGAUAAACUCACCUUUUAAAUUUCAUCCUGGAGGAUGAAUGAGCUUGAUUAAAUAAAAAGAACUAAAUACUUUUUUUUUUUAAAAAAAAAAAAAGUAAAGAAAUCUCUAAAUGGACUUGAAAAUUUUCAUUUUUCAUGGAAAAAAGAUAUGUCUAGUACUUAAGGCAUAUGUACUAAGUAUACCCAAAAUGUAUUGUUACUGGAUAUGUAAUGGGUAUGGAAUUCACUGUACUCUUUUACCCUAAAACAGAACAUUAUAUUAUAAGUUUAAUAAUCUGGAUUAAAAUUCAAUUCAAUCAGAGGGUAACGGAAUUAGAGGAUUACUAUCUUCCGGUUGAGAGAACAAAUUGCUUAAGUAAUAUGAAAAACGAAGAAAAUGAAACCCUAAUUUCCCAAUUGAUGCCUUCUAACCCGUCAUAUUAGGCCAAGUCAACAACUGCUAUGAGAGUUAAGAAUGAUGUUGAGUGAAUAUAAAUUGAGAAAGGCAUGGCGAUUAGAUCAUCAAUGGAUUCAAGUUGGGCGGGCACUCUCACAAACGGUGUAGAUUUGUCGCUCGACUGCUAGUUAACUAGUAUGUAUGUGUGUUAAAGUUUUCUUAUACUGUAUUGAUAUUUAUUUAUUUAUAAUUAUAGCAGUAAUUAUUAUUAAAUAUUAUAUUAUUUUAAAUAUAUAAACAAAAUAAUUAAGUAUUUUAAUAUACUAAAUAUUUAUUUUUUAUUUAAUAUUUUAAUUGAACUUAAGAGUCUGAUUAUUUAUAUUUUGUAAAAAGUUACUUAAAAUAUGAAAAAAAUUGUAUAUGUAUAUCUUAAAAAAAAUUAUUUUAUUUGAGAAUUUAAUUAUAAUAUAUUUACAGUAUAACUGUUAUCCAAUAAUAAAUUAUUCUUAUCAUAAAAUUAUUGAUUUUUAUAAAAAAAAAAUUAAUAAUCAAUCAUAUAUAAGAUAUUUUUUAAUUAGUUUACAACAUAAAAAUAUUUAUUUUUCAAAAUAUAAACAAUAAAUUCUUUAUUUAAACUUUAUAUGUAGCUGUACGAAAAUUCUUAAAAAUUAUAUCAUAAAAACACUUUUUUCAUAAACCCUUCAAAUUUUCUAAUAAUGUAUUUUAAUUGAAGAGAGGAUUUGAAUUCACAUGCUCUUUCAAUUAUUACCUCUAUUGACCAAUCAAUUCAACCAUAAAGUCAAGCUAGGCAAUGGUGAUACUGUUCAAGCCCAAGGAAAAGAAGAAAAAAACUAUUUAAACCAAGAAAUUUGAGAUAGUUGUCAAAAAUGUUCUUUACAUUUAUAAUUGGAUCAAAAUUUGUUUAGUGUUGCACAAAAACUAAUACAUAGAUAUGAAGUUUUUUCAAAGAAAAAUAUUAUUUUAUCAUUAACGAUGAUAUGGAAUUGAGAUGACAAAUAUUGAAAUGAUUAAUAAUCGUUUUUAUUAAAAGUUGAUUCAAUUAAAAAUAGUGAUUUUAGUGGCAAAAUUGAUUAGAGUGAUGAUGUUUAACAUGAAAGAUUUGGUCACAUUAAUUUGAUGUCAUUAAAGUUUAAAAAAAUAAGAUGAAUUUGAGAUGAUAAAUUCUUAUAUUAUGAUUUUUGAACACACAAUGAGUUAAAUUAAAUGUAUUUCACAUAUUUUAAAAAUUAAGUUUGAAGUUUAUAGAGUAAAAACUUAAGUUUUUAUGACAAUUUUAAAGAUGAAUGAUAGAGAUAUGAGAUUUUGUCUUAGUUAAAUUUUGAAUUUAGAAUAAGUUUUAGAUAGAGUUUUUUCAUUGUUGUAGAUUUUAUCUUUAAUCUUUUGUUGUAAUUAGUUAGUUUAAAUUUCAAAUAAAUUAGAUAAAAGAUUAGAUUAUUUAGGAAGUUCACAGUGAUUGUAAGUUUAUAUAUAGACAUUUUCAUCUUAUAUUCCAAUGACUAUUUUCCUUCAUUUUUUUUUUAUUUCUCUAAUUUCUUUCUAAGUUUCAAUAUUUUCAUACUUUAUUUUAUAAAAUAUUUUUAACAGGUAAUUGAUAAGAUUGAUAAUAUGAUAUGAGAUGAAAAAAGAGAAUAAAAGAAGAAAUGUUAAUAAAUUGUUUAUAAAUAAUAGGUGUUCAAAUUUUCUCGAUCUAAUAAUUUUUUUAAAAAAAUAUAUUUUUUAAUUCUUACAAUUUUUUAUUUUAUUUUUAUAAAAUUAUAUUUAUUUUAUUUUUCAUUUCUUUAAAUAACACUUUUCACAGUAAAAGUAAAAAUUAAAAAUAAUUUAUAACUAAAAAUAAAACAAAUAUAAUUUAUAAAAACUAAAAAUUGAAAAAUAAUUUUACAUGAUGAAAAAUAAAAUAAAAAUUAAAUUGUAAAGAUUUUUUUGAAGAAAACAACAACAACAUCCAUUUCUUCCUGCAACACCCAGGUUUCCACGGCUAAUCCUAAUCUUGGGCACUGGGUUGCAUCUCUCGUCAACGCUGUUCCAGUAAUCAGGUCCACAGCUCAAAGUUCUUACCUUUUCUGUCCAAAUUCUGAUUCUCUUCAUGGAUUUCCCGUUCCUGGUAUCUACUCUACCUUUUUCUUUUUCUCUUUCCUUUUCUUUUCUUUUAAUUUUGUUUUUUUUCUUGCGAAACUAGGAAAAGCUGAAAAUUUGGAAGAAAAAAGCAGAGCAAGAAGAAGAAGGUCCUCCUCUGGUGUGGUUCGAAACCUCUGCCACUGUUUCUCGCCGCUUCCAGUUUGAACCCAAUGGCCAACUUUCUGUACUCUCCAACUACUCACCCUCUUUACAAAGUUGUAAUUUUUAAAUAAAAAAAAGUUAGGAGUUAAAAUAUUGUUACUUGCUCUAAGGAAAUGUUUUUUUUUUUUUUUUCCAAUGGUAAUUACAAAAACAUUAUCUUAUUUCACUUUGUUUCAUUUUAUCCAAAUAUUGGUACAAUGGUGAAAACAACUUGUGAAUUUAUUUAAAGUGUCUUUUGGUCUCUCUGUAGGUAACGCUUGUUGGUGAUUCUAGGCCAUUAUACCACAGGAUUGUUGACUCUUUCUUGAAUAAAUUUUUCCCUUCAGGAUAUCCAUACAGGUUCUUUGGUCUUUUCCUGAGUAUGUUGUAUGCAAUGGUUAUUUGUUUGACUAGCUAAUUUGUUUUUUCAGUGUUCGCCUUGCAGUGUGAAUGAAGGUUACCUCAGAUACACGCAGUUUCGAGCACUGCAACACACUGCGAGUGCCGCGCUAUCAGUGUUAUCAACUCAGGUCUUCUUCUAAUAACUUAAGAACCUCAGCAAAUCAUGUAACUGCUUUCCUAACGACGGAUGCUAAAUUCUUGUGGAAGCUAGGUGCAUUUUGGUUUUGAUUAUCUUUUGGGGGAAGUUGCUUUUUUUUUCUUUUCUUGUAAGCUAAUUCAAACACAGUAGAUGUUGGCUUGUGCUAGCAGAUAUAACUAAAAUUGAUUUAUAAUUUUAUUAUGAUAUAUAAUCAAGAGAAAUAACUAAUUAAGAGGGAUCUAAUUUGAGCGGUAUCGCCUCUUUGCCAAACCCGAAGGUUAAAGUUAAGAACAAAAGAGCAUUGAUUAGUUUGAGUUGGUGUGAGAGUUUGUGAUUGAGAGCUACUCAUGUUGAGAGAAAAUGCUAGUGAAGGAAAUUGGAAAACUAAAGGAAUAGUUAGUGCAAUGAAUCACAAAGAAUUAAUCAUUUUUAUUUAAAGAAAGCCAGAAAGACUUUAAGAGUGGAUGAAUUUUGCUGGAAAGAGGAUUGCUGGCAUGACUUGAAUGUUGUUGAAGAUGAGGUGGCAUGAGGGUACAAGUAAUGAAGAGCAUGUAGCAGUCUUAAGGAUCUAGCUAUCCUGAUUUGGCAAUGCUAUAAUCUGUGAGCCCAUUUUAAUAUUUUGUAAUGCCUGUAUAUGUAGAACAUUCUUUUUAAUAACUGUAAAUUUUUACAGAAGGAUCUCCACAAAAUAAUUGAGUUUGAAGUGGGUGUCUAUUAGCAGACCUCCAACAAGAGGAGUCUAAAUUUUGAAGAAUAAGGAGUGUAACCAUUUAGUCUGCUAUUAUACAGAGUUUGUUAUAAGGUGGCAGGAGGAGAUUGGGGGGAUUUUUUGCAUAAAGAGAAAGGGGAGAGGCAAGGUGUCACAAAUUCCUUCAGAGAGUUAUACUUUUGUAUUGCACAGUGUUCUUAGUCUCUGCUGUCUUCUCUAUAAUACUCUGAUACCAAUUCCGAGAUAAAUUAUCUAGCAAUAGGGAUUACAUCUUUGCCUCAUUUUCUUGUCCAAUUCUGUUAGUAUUUUUGUUCUGUAUGCUCAUUCUUCUGCAGUCACUGCUAUUUGCUGCAGGCUUGCGGCCCACUCCUGCACAAGCGACUGCUGUUAGUUGGGUAAUUUGAUACUACUUUGUAAUUGACAAUUUCUCAGAACAGUUAUGCUGGCUUGCAUUUAAUGUAUAAUUUGUUUCUCGAUGUGCAGGUUUUAAAGGACGGUAUGCAACAUUUAGGGAAUAUAAUAUGUAGCAAGUUGGGUGCAAGAAUGGAUUCUGAGCCUAAACGUUGGAGAAUCUUAGGUUUUCAUUUAAGUUGGAACUUUUCACUUUUUUUUUUAGUAUCUCUGAUUUGUCAAGUUCUAUGGUGUAUGACUGUGAUAAGCCUUCUAUUUUGCAGCUGAUGUGCUCUAUGAUUUAGGGACUGGUUUGGAAGUUCUUUCUCCCUUGUGUCCACAGUUUUUUCUUGAGAUGGCAGGCAUAGGGAAUUUGGCCAAGGUACACACUUUUAUUGAGUUUUUAAAAUUAAUUUACAUGGUGAUGGUGACAUUUGUUGUCAUACAAAUUGGAUACAAUACUAGUUGUUUAUUCUCAUUCAUGCCUAUGUGUAUGUCAGAACAAGAAACAUUUCUUGUUCGAGUGAAAGUAAUUGGUUAAAAACCAUCUUAUGUUGGGUAUAAACUUACCUUUUCUCUCAUUUUGGAGUCAACAGGGGAUGUCAAUUGUUGCAUCACGAGCUACAAGAUUACCUAUAUAUUCUUCAUUUGCUAAAGAAGGAAAUCUAAGUGACCUAUUUGCUAGAGGGGAGGCUAUUUCAACUCUCUUUAAUGUUGUUGGAAUUGGAAUUGGAAUUCAAUUAGCAUCUACUGUAUGUGCGUCAAUGCAGGGAAAGGUAUACCCAUACCAAAUUUUAGCAACUCAACCUAUCCUGUAAAAAAUUGUGAUUUCUGUUAGGUUUUGUGAUAACCAUGUUGGUUAUUUGCAAUUAGAAGCAUUAUUAAAAAGUAUGACAGCAAAGAACUUUAUUAUUUUAUCUUCUUGAGAUAGAAAUAAUCUGGCCAUGUACUGAAAUAAUAAAUAUACAUUUAUUUAUGAAUCCAAACUGACAGAUUAUGAAACAUUUCUUUUUAGUUGGUUGUGGGGCCUCUACUAUCAAUUAUACACAUAUACAGUGUUUCUGAAGAAAUGAGAGCAACUCCUGUCAAUACAUUGAAUCCACAAAGGACUGCAAUGAUUGUGGCUGAUUUUCUCAAGGUGUGGUUUGAUUUUUUUUGUAAAUGAAUUCUCUCUUGGUUUCUUUAUUUGUAAAACUGAAAUGCUGUUGGACUGUUAAUUGAGUUCAAGUCAGGCUGGAAGUGUAUCAAGCCCAGCUGAUCUAAGAUAUCGAGAAGAUUUGCUAUUUCCUCGAAGACUCAUAGAAGAUGCUGGAAAUGUAAGAGUUGGUAGGGAUUUGCACAAGGUUAUUAAGCCUUCAAGGCUUCUUGAAUCAAAACAAGUAUUCCCUGGGGAGAAGUUUAUUUUAAAUGGUGAUAAUAGGUGCAUCGACAUGGUAUUGGAGCAGGAUGCUAUCGGCAAAGAUGCAUUGAGAGGGUGGCUAGUUGCUUCAUAUGCUGUACAAAUUGGCAAGUCCUCUCACGAGCUCAGUACCAGUACCCUGCUACAGGCCUAUGAGAAAAUGAAUGAGGUCUUCCCUGCCUUUAUAAAAGAAUUACAGUGCAAAGGGUGGCAUACAGAUCGGUUUCUUGAUGGAAGUGGUUGCCGCUUUGCAUUGUAGUGUACAAAUUAAUCCUAUAUUGGCUUUAGUAGGCCUUUUACCUAUUGCGAGAGAUUUGAUGCAUUACAUGUGAUGGUUCAGGUUACUUCUUCAAGUUAAUCUUAAUAUAGCUGUCUGUAUCUAACUAUCCUGCUGCAGGAUGAUCAACGGUCCAUAUCCUGAAAUGUAGGAUGCAUAUAGUAGCAAUUGACUUUGUUUUCUUCUCUUGGCUUGAUUUCAUCUCAUUAAUUCUAUUUUAUUGAAUAAAUCAUCUUUGACUUAAUGAUAGUGAAAAAGAGGCUUUUCCAUAAAUUGAUAUAAAACAUCAGAAUGUAUUUAUGAUUGACAUAAUUUGAUAAAUGAUAUAUACCCUUGAAAGUUGAAAUAGUUUGUGGGAUGUCUUUGAUUUAUGAGAACAUAGGAAUGUAAAGAGAGAAAGUGGAGAAUCAAUUAAAAGAUAUAAAAGGUGUCGAUAAAACAUCUGAUAAUGAUUUUGAUAUGGAUUUGUGUCUCUUAUUCUGAUUUUGGAUCUGGGUUUAUUUUUUAACUGAGAUUGCAUUGAUUGAUAGAGGCAUGCGGAAAAUUUUAGAAAGCCAAAACAAUUUCUGGGGUUUUAUAACCGUCAGAAAUUGUUUAUUUCAUUUUAGCAAAAUAAUUUCUAGUGAUUUUUAAUUGUCAGAAAAUUAAAUGUCACUAAACACAAUUAAAUUAAUGUCAUGUCAUCAUUUAAUGGUGUUUUUGAAGAACAGACCAAAUACAUAAUUAAUCCAUUUGAAAAUUUUAAGAACAGGCUUAAGUAAUCUUUUGGGUCCCAUGAAAUAGCAUGUUUUGAUUUUACUCCUUUAAAUAUUUUUGUUUUGAUUUUAGUUCUUUAAAGCUUUUUUUGUUUUGUUUUAAUUUUUAUUGUUAAUUAACAAUAUUAAAUAAUGAUAUAACAAUCACGAUAGUAACUUAUUGACUUGUUACGUCGUGAAGGAGUAGAAAUAUGAUUAACACAAUCUUUUUUUUCGUAAAUGUUUUAAAAUUUUGAUAUGUUCAAAAUAAUUAUGACAUUAGACUAGUAGGUGAAAGAUUUAACAAAAUUUAGAAAAAUAAAAUAAAAUAAAUCCAUACUUAUCAUAUUAUACUCUUGGGUGAUAUGACAUGUUAAUAAACUACUAAUAUCAAUAUAUCAUUAGUUAAUACUAUUACUAUCUUACUUGAUAAUUGAGACUAAAACUAUCAAUUUUUAAAGGACUAAAAGAUAAACAAUUAAAUUAAUAAACAUCCUAUUUCAUAUUGGUUUAUAUAAAACAUAAAGCUUUAGAUAGGAAAGGAGUUCAUAAACAUUUCAUCCAAGAAGAGAGAAUGUGAGAAACAAAUAGAAGUUAAAAGUCUAGCAAUACAAGGUGAUUUUAUACUUAUUCAGUGAAACUAAAGAACAUUCAAUUCUCAUUUAACCUAAUAAAAGUCAUGCUAAUGAAAAGAAGGUUACAAAAUAAAUAUUCUUGAUGUUACUCUUGAUUACAACAACAAUCUCAGCCUGAAAUAAUAAAAUUGAAGGAUUUUUUUAUACGAAGUCACUCUUGUCUAUUCCUACCAACAAAGUGUUAAAAAAAAUUACAAAAAUCUACUCAAGUGAGAAUAUGUAAGUUAAUAAGCACAAAUACAAUGACUUUGCAAUGCUAAGGGUAGAAUGUUUAAUCACAUAUGUUCCAUCCAGAAUAGUUUAUCAUAAUAGAAUGUUUCGUCCAAUAUGAUUGUUAGAGACACAUAUUUAUUCUUUUCAAGUUUUUAUAUAGGCUUGAACGAAGAUGUAUGUAUCUAUUGUGUGUUGAAGCCCUUGAAAUUUUUCUAAUCUGAGUCUUCAUUUCAUGCACAAAAACUUGACACGUUUCCACUUUUUCGCAUAGGAGAGAGAAAGUAUAUGUCCUUUUUUUCUUAAAAAGUACUGACAUUUUUUGAAGGUGUAUAUUACUUUUGUAUUUUCCACUUCAAUCUUUCCUAUGCACUUAACCUCAAAAAUAUAAUUUGCUUUUGAUUAAAGGCUGUACUUAUACCUAGAAAUCCUAUCUUUUCAUUAAAUACUUGAAAUUCAAACUUUAGAACAUAUUUAAAAAAUAAAAGAAAUAUCAUAUGAAAGGAAUACAAGAACACUUUCACCUUUAACAUAUGAAAAGAGUUCUCACCACGUGAUCUUUAGAUGGAGAAAAACUUAAGUGAAUAUAUACAUCAAGGUGUAAGUUUUUCUUAAUAGUGAUUGGACGUUGAAAGUUGGAUAUAAUAAUAUAGUUCAUAAAAAUGCAUUGGACACAACUUCAUUUGUAGGGCUUCGACACUUGAUUCUUAUAAAAGCUAUGGACGAAAGUCCAUUAUGGUGCACUGUACACAAGUUCAACUAAAACAAUUUUUAGCGUCUAAUGCGUAUAUAAUUUCAAGAACUAAGUCUAAAAAAUGUUUUCAAGAGAUACACAAUUUAUUAACAAUUGAUCAUUUUUUAUAGAAGGCUUAAAUAUAUUUUUUCUUAUAAUUUAACAUUUUUUAUUUUUCAUACCUAUACUUUUUUUUGUUUAGUCCCCACAAAUUAUGUCUAUUUUUUUUUUUUCAUCUUUAUUGUUAAUCGUUGUAACGAAAAAUAAGGACGUGAUAAAUGAAAUGAUAACAUCAUCUUUCCAUGUCAUUACUUGAUGAUAUCAUCUUAUCACGCUAUGAUAUAGAAUGUUACAUAAUAUUAUCAUUAAUUUACAAUAACUAAAAUCAAAACAAACAUAAAUGACAUGGAUGAAAAAAUAUUUAAAUCUUAGUCUCAAAAAAUAUAUAUUUAAAUCUCAAAUUAAAUAUUAAAAUAAAGGCUUACAUAUUAAAACAAAGGCCUCCAAUUAUAUUUUAAAAUUUAUGCAUUUAAUAAUGUGAUAUAUUUUACACCAUCAAACUUUUGUAAUUUCCUACCAUGAAAACUAUGGAGUGCGUGGUUCAAUUAGUAUGAGAUUUUUUCACUUUAAUCAAAUGUGUUGAGUUUGUAUUUUGAAUAUCCAACUACAUUAAACAUUGGUACGAUAUGUGGUCGUAAUAUUUUUUACAUCCUUUCUAUCAUUAAAUCGAAAGACUUGAUUAAGAGAAAAUAAAUUUGAAAAAGAUAUUUACUUCGAUGAAUGAAGAAAAAACAAGUUCUCUACAGAAACUAAGGGGGAGACAAGCAGCAACAAAAGUUGUCCUAACGCCCUCAUUUCUAAAUGAUGCGAUUUUUACUCUGAAAUUCAUGGAUCGUCUUGUUUAGUACCUUUUUUAAAGGAAGCAAAAGAUUAGGAAUAUCCACUUUUCUAGUCUUUUUCUUUUUGGGAGAUUAGAAACGAUGAACUUGAAUAGCAAGCAUGCCUCGUGCUCAUGAGUCAUGACUUAAAAGAGAAUAAUAAUAUAUUUUACUUGUACCUUUUUUUUAUUCUUUGCAUCUCUCUUUUGAUUGUUUUUAAUGUUUUGAAAAUUAAUUUCUAAAAUGCAGAAAAUAAUUCUAAAAACUAAUUUUGAGUUUGAAAAAAAAUGCCAAUAAAAUAACCCAAAAGCAUUUGUUUGAACUCAUUAAAUAGCCAACAAAAUGUCAAUUGGGCUUUGCAGCUCUUUCCACCCAUUUUUAUACCAAGUCCAUCCUUAAAAUUUCAACAUAUAAACUGACAAAAUUACCCUUAAUAAAGAUAUUUUCAUUUUAUAUUAUGUGCGUGGCAAAACACAAUGAAAACAAGUUUUUGUUAUGUUAAUUUAUUUUGUAAAAAUUUACCACUACAAAAGCAUAUUUCAUUGUUUAUUUCAGGUGAAAUAGACAACGUAAACUAAUUUUCCUUGUGUAUUUAAAAAUUUAUUUUAUAAUUGAAAUUAAAUUAAUUAUAAUAUAAGUUACAUUUGUAUUAGUAAACAAAUUAAUUAUGAUACAGAUUAUCCUAAUGAUUGUACAAAUUACACUUUCUAAAAUAAUCAAAUCAACAGUAAUAUAAUUUUAAUUAAAAUUGAAUUAUAAUGACAAUUUACCUUUUAAAAGAACAAUUGAAUUAAUUAUGACACAAAUUAAUAUCAUAAUUAAUUCAAUUAUUAUUAGAAAAAGUAAUUUUAUAAUAAUUAAUUUAAUUACUAUUAUAAUCAUAACUUCUAUCGUAAUAAAUUCAAAUUCAAUUAAUAAAAUAUCAAAUUUGUAUCUUACUUAAAAAGAUUAAUUUAUAUAAUCAUUAAUUUGAUUACUUAAAAAAGUUACUUAUAUAUAAAAUUAAUUACACAAUAAAAGCAUUUUUUUUCAACCUUUAAUGGGAGCAGAAGUUCAGUUGUUAAUAUUGAUUUUCGUUAAUAGACAGACAUCUCGAGUUAUAAGCAAUUAAAGCACACAACUUGAGCGAUGGAAGACAGAAAAUAAAGACAAAACUUGAAGACUGACAUUUUAUUAAGGCGAUUCAAAGGUACAACGCCACUCAGAUAUUAACAUAGGCUGGGUCGGAGGGUGGUAAAUACAUAGGCCAUAGUUUUAUUAUUACACAAAAUAUAUUCUGCUGUGCACAUGGUCAGCCCGUAGCGNNNNNNNNNNNNNNNNNNNNNNNNNNNNNNNNNNNNNNNNNNNNNNNNNNNNNNNNNNNNNNNNNNNNNNNNNNNNNNNNNNNNNNNNNNNNNNNNNNNNNNNNNNNNNNNNNNNNNNNNNNNNNNNNNNNNNNNNNNNNNNNNNNNNNNNNNNNNNNNNNNNNNNNNNNNNNNNNNNNNNNNNNNNNNNNNNNNNNNNNNNNNNNNNNNNNNNNNNNNNNNNNNNNNNNNNNNNNNNNNNNNNNNNNNNNNNNNNNNNNNNNNNNNNNNNNNNNNNNNNNNNNNNNNNNNNNNNNNNNNNNNNNNNNNNNNNNNNNNNNNNNNNNNNNNNNNNNNNNNNNNNNNNNNNNNNNNNNNNNNNNNNNNNNNNNNNNNNNNNNNNNNNNNNNNNNNNNNNNNNNNNNNNNNNNNNNNNNNNNNNNNNNNNNNNNNNNNNNNNNNNNNNNNNNNNNNNNNNNNNNNNNNNNNNNNNNNNNNNNNNNNNNNNNNNNNNNNNNNNNNNNNNNNNNNNNNNNNNNNNNNNNNNNNNNNNNNNNNNNNNNNNNNNNNNNNNNNNNGGAAAGAACCUCCGAAGGGAUUGCCCUAAACACAUCCUUAAUGUAGCUGCUCACGGCGUUGUGGUGUGUCUUGAACACUACGUAUUCCAAUCCUUGUUCUCCCCCUUGCUCAGCCACCACAAAGUUCUGCGGCACCACUAGCAAUUGUCCCCUCCUUAGCUCACCGUCGAACACUGCAUUCCCUUGGCAGUUCACCACUCUAACUCUUCCUUUCCCUCGAGUCACAUAGAUCACACUGUUCGCGUUCAAGUUCCAAUGUGGAGAGUAAAUUCCAUUCUGCAUGCAUGGAUAUAAUAAUACAUGUUACAUAUUAUUAUUAUUAUUAUAUAAAUGAUAAAUGUUUAAUUAUUAUCAAAUAAGAGGUAAUGAUAUAUUUUAAAUUAUAUGUCGAAACUCACUUUAAAAAAUCAAUGCACAAAUUUAGAAUACAAACAAUUUUACUCCAUUAUAACUAUAAAAUUACCUCUACAUAACCUCUAAAAAUCAGUUAUCUAUCAAAGUGAGAUUUAAUUUAAAUGACAUUAAAAGGAACCCAACCCUACAACAUACUUGUUAACAUUUUUAUGUCUUCUUAUUGUAUCGUAUAUGACCUAUGAAUUAUGAUUUUCCCCCUCUUUUAGUGCUUUCUUUUAUUUCUUUCUCUGAAGAUACACUAAUUAACACUGAAAAUCCACAAAAACACUACUAUGGUAGAUGUGCAAGUAUGCACGUAUAUUAGUUUCAUGUUGAUUACUUGUAAUAUGAAUGAAGUGAAUUACAUACCCUGUAGAGGACAACAUAUUGGGCACUGAGUCCGAAUUGGCGGAGGGCUGGGAGGGUGAGACUGUUGAGGGUGCUAAUGCGACCAGCUUUUGGGUUGUAGAAGUCAGCACGUGAAGGGCGAGCAAUGUUCUCGUGAAGCUUCAUGGUGCAAAUAUUUUCCUCAACCCCAUUUCUAGUCUGACAUCCUCUUCCACGUGGUUCUUGUUGUUCGGGCCUGCUUGGUCGCUGUGGAGGGUGAUCAGGACGAGGUUGAUCUUCUUCUUCGUCCUCGUCCUCGUCAUCUUCAUGCUUUCCAUGGCUUGGUCGUCGUGGAGGAUAAGAGGGAGUUUGUUCAUAUUCUUCGUCUUCAUCUUCGUCUUCGUCUUCUUGUUCUUGCCACUUGGGGCUGAUAACGCUGAGGCCUCCCUCCACUGUCACGAUCUGCUUCCUUUCGUCAUCUGGAGACCGAAGUUUCUCAGCUGUGUCCUCGUUGGUGUUGAAGGAUUGUGCUAAGAAAUGUUUGCUGAAGCCACUGAGCACACUGCCACCUUCUUCCUCCUGCUGCUGGUGUUGCCCCUGCUUGCGUCCACCAUGACUCUUCUGCUGCUGCUGUUGUUGCAUGGUCUCUGGGUGCUCUAUAUCUGGGUUCCCAGCAAGGUAAAAUACCUUGAAAGUAAUUAAAAAAAUUAACAUGUGAGGAGAACAUGUUUUUUUUAAUAAUAAAAUAAUAGUUAAUAGUAAAUGAAGUUCAAUUGAUAUCCAAUCAUGAUACAAGUAUAUAUCCAACUAUUUUAAACACUCCAUUAAUAUAACUUAUUUCUCUUUUCUUAUCACAUUAUAAAUUCUAUCCUAUUUAUAUGUAUUUUUUUCUUUUUCAUUUCUCCCUCUAGAUAUAAGAUAGUGUUCUUCAAACAUUUUUCAUAAAUAAUAAAACAUAACAUCCAAAUGAUGUGAUAUAAAGUAUAUUAAUUAUUUUAUUACUUAGUAUAUUUAAUAAAAGAAAAUAAUAAUAAAAAAUAUUUUGUUAGGUGUCUUUUUAAGUGUGUAUGAUACUAUGCAGUGACAUGUGUAUCACUGCUCAUUAUAAUUACGUACUCUGGGGUUUUGAUCAAGCUGAUUGUUGAAGUUGGAGGUGUCAAGAAGACUGAUGGCAACAACUGGUUCAUCGCCAGUGUUAUAGGUCCAGUAAGGAACACCAGGAGGAAUCACUAGUACGUCUCCUUCAUUGAAGUGACGAAUCUUCUGGUGACUGUCUUGUAGUUGCUGCUGCGACCUUGAGCCUCUUCUGCUUGAUUGCUGUUGUGGCUUCUCAAACGUCUCAGGACAUCCCGGAAAUGCAAAUCCAAUUGCUCCCUUCCCUGUGCAUCAAUCAUCAUCAAGCAAAACAAUCACAUUAAUUAUCAACUAAUUAACACUCUUUAGUCAUCAUAAUUGUUAAGAGUUCAUUCAUAUAACUUGUAAGAUAGUUAGUCAUCAAAUUGUGAUUAGACAUAUAGAUAUAUAGUAUUAUUAUUAUUAUUAUUAUUAUUAGUUUUAUUAGAUGAUACUAUGCCAUAAUGUGGUGUUUAAAACCUAGUUGAGAAAAACAAAUUCUACUAAAAAUGAUUAAUCAAAUUUUCUAGCAGAGAUUAAUUAUAAAAAAUUUAAUAAAUAUUUCAUAUUACUAUUAUUGUUAUCACGUUAAGCUGAUAAAUACUUCUUACUAAUAUUACGCACCUUGAACGACAAUGAUCAUUUGGGGAUAAGGUGAGUAAGAUGGCAAGUGGAGGCCGUUGCGGUUGAGGGUGCGUUUGGAAACAGUGACACCGGCGCAUUGCAGCUCAGGGUGUUGAGAGUUCCAUGUUUCAAUAAGACCACCUUCGGACUCAACGCGGUGGUCGGGUUCCAACGCGUUGAGGUUGUUGAGUUGGCACUCGUUGAACUUGCUGGAGGUAAUAGCAAAGCAUGCACUCGACAAGAGUAGCAAGCAAAGGGAAGAAAGAGAGAGAGUGAAGAAGGGCUUCCCCAUAUUGAACUAAGGAAAGUGUUAAUAAGUUUGAAGGAGUUGGUGAAGUGGAGAACACGAAGAGUGGCGAUUUAUAGUGAAGAGAGGAGAGUGAGUGAGGGACACGUCAAUGAAGAAGGGUUUCUGAGUUGGUGACAUUCUUCACCUUGCAUGGCUAUUGUUUCCAAUUUUGUUACACCUCAUACAUAAGCUAUGCUUCGUUUAUAUCUGCAACCGUACAUGAACAACACCAAAAUUGCAGGCACCCUGAAUGGUCCCCCUCUACAGAUUCUCCGCGUCUCAAAUUCUAUCCUCCUUAUACAAUAAGAUCAGCAUUCUAUUCAGUGCAUCAUAUUUUUUUUAUACAAUUAAUUUCCUUUAUAAAUGAGAUAAGGAUAUGAAAAAAAUGUGAAAUAAAAUAAAUAAUAUUACUGUAAAAGAUAAAAAAAAAGGUUUUAUAAACUGUUAAAUAAUUUUUUUAUAACCAUACUAUAUCAUCUUUUAUAUAAUGCGUUAAAUAUUAAAAAAGAAAAUGACAUCCACAAUAAUCUUAUCUAACUCCUGCAGCAUAAUUGUCUCUGUAAAAGAUAUAUAUCAAAUACUAUGAUGUUUAAAAUCUUUCUCAAUUUGAACUGUUUUACUGUAUAUGCAGUUCGUCACCAUAUAUAAGGUUGGCAUGGAAAAGGAGAAAGAGAGAAAUUGCUGCUUCGAAUCCAUUCUAUUCACAUUUAUAAUAAAAACUAAUAAAUUAACAUUUAUUUAUAAAAAAAAAUUAAUGAUAAAUUUUUCAAAAUUAUAUAUAAAUUAUUUUCACACUAAUUUUUUUUAAAUGUCACUUAGAUUUAAUCAUAAAUCGAAUUUUGAGUAUAUAAUUAUAUUAAACACUUUAAAAAAAAAGGUUUUAUUUCCCAUAAUAAUUCUCCUUGACUUAAAUAAGAUUACCUCCUUUUAUGAAAGGAUACCAAUGCUUUUAAACUUAAAAAUAAAACACUUAAUAAUGUGUCAAAAAAUCAAACACUAUUUUUAUGCCUAAUUGAUUACAUGACGAGCGUGCAUGUUAUAUUAGAUAGACACGCGUUUUACUAGAUUAAAUAUUUUUUAGUUCUUCAAAAUUUAGUAAAAUUCGUUUUUGGAUCCUCAGGUUUAAAGUUAAACGUUUUCAUUUAUAAUUUGAGAAAUAGACUUGUUUUCAUCCUUCAUACUAGUGACCAUAGGUGAAAUGCUAAUGUGGUCAAUGGAUUCAAGUCAUAAUUCGAUCACCACGUCAUUUCCGGUUCAUGUGACCUAAUGGUGUCACAUUAAAGGAACGAAAACUGAAUUUUGCAUUUAAGAGGGAAUUAAACAUUUAGAUUGAAUUAUUAAAAAGAUUAAAAUCGAACUUUAUACGAGAGUCCAAAAGUAUUUUAUUAUGCUUAUAUGUUAAAAUUCAAUAGAAUAAAUAAGUACUCUCCUAUAUGAAGAACCAUAUACUAAUUCCGUUGAUUGAGUAUUAGCUAUGUACUAACAGAAAUAAUUUCCGUUUUUCCCCUUUCUCUUUCUCGUUCUUGGAAAAGUGUGUGCAUGAUUUUUUUUUUAUGAAUUCAUACUCCAACAAAUGGUAUCCAGAGCAGGUUGUUGAAGGGUGGUCAUCGAUCGAAAGUGAGGUGAGUGAAACCUAAACACGAGAGACGGUAAGCGAGUGAAAACACGAGAGACGGUGAGGAACCUUAUCAAUGGCAACAACGAACGAAAACUUUCCGGCGAACUUUCCGGUUCUUGAUGGGAGAAAUUACGAUCAGUGGAGUAUGAAGAUGAAGGCGAUCCUCGAUUAUCAAGAUGUGUGGGAUCUGGUGGUGAACGGACUUGAUCCGCUGCCGGUGAAUCCAACCACUGCGUAACAAGCGAUAUAUAGAGAUGCGAAGAAGAAGGAUUGCAAAGGUUUGUGCAUUCUGCAUCAGUGUGUGAAUCAAGCAAUUUUUGAGAAAUUUGCGAGAUCGGAGACGAGCAAAGCGGCGUGGGAUGUUCUCGCGAGCUCCUACGCCGGUGAUCAGAAAUUGAAGAAAGUACGACUUCAAACUCUAAGGUGACAGUAUGAAUUGCUAGGCAUGGAAGAGAGUGAGACAAUUGCUACCUAUUUCACUCGUGUUCAAACCAUGACAAAUCAAACGCCGGUGAUCGGUGCAUUCGCGAUUUGAUCAUGUCACGGUAGCGAUUGAAGAAUCGAAGGAUCUAUCAACGCUAAAAUGGAGGAGCUCAAGNNNNNNNNNNNNNNNNNNNNNNNNNNNNNNNNNNNNNNNNNNNNNNNNNNNNNNNNNNNNNNNNNNNNNNNNNNNNNNNNNNNNNNNNNNNNNNNNNNNNAACUCUGGUAGAGGAAACUCUAGUAAUAAUUACAAUAGUGAACAAAAGAACAAUAGCAGUGAAAAUUAUAGAAGAAGAGGUGGAAGAGGUGGUAGAGGAAGAGGUGGAAGAGGAGGAAGAAAAAUUGAUAAGAGUCACAUUCAAUGUUAUAAUUGUGAGAAAUACGGUCAUUUUGCCGAUGAAUGCUAUAGUAAUCCAAGCCACCCUGAGGCAAGAUUGGCUUAAGAAGAAGAUGAGAAGGAGGAAAUUCUGUUAAUGGCAGUAGAGGAGGAAAUUGGUGAUGAUGGAGUGGAAGAAGUGAGAAAGGAGAAAGUAGAUAUAGAAGAAGUGUUAUAUAUGGUGACUGUGAAGGAUGAGAGUGAUCAUGGUGAUAACUGGUUCCUUGACACUGGGUGUUCAACACACAUGUCAUGAAAGAAGGAAUGGUUUGUUGAGAUAGAUUUCACUGUCAAAAGCAGGGUGAGGUUUGCUGAUGACAGGACUAUGAAGGUUGAAGGUGUAGGAAAGGUGAUGAUCAGGAAGAGAGAUGGAUCUAAAUGCUUUAUUUCUGGAGUGUUGUAUGUUCCAGGAAUGAAGAGCAAUCUUCUGAGCAUUGGACAGCUACUGGAGAAAGGGUACAAGAUGGUGUUGGAGGAUUGUGCCAUGAAGGUGUAUGACAAUGAGAGGAGAUUGUUGAUUAAAGCAAAUUUGUCAAAGAAUAGAACAUUUAAAGCUGAGCUAGAUGUUCUAGUGCAACAAUGUUUAGCAUCAACAAUUGACAAGGAAGAAUGGCUAUGGCAUUUUCGUUAUGGUCACUUAAACUUCAUUGAUCUGAAUAGGUUACAGAGUAAGGGAAUAGUGAAAGGAAUUUCUCAUAUCAAGGUGCCAAAUGAUGUAUGUGGAGAAUGUAUAAAAAGCAAGAUGUCCAGAAACUCAUUCAAUCAAAAUGUAUCCACAAGAUCCAAGAGGAAGUUGCAAGUUGUUUUUUCUGAUGUAUGUGGACCAAUUCAACAUAUGACUCCUGGAGGUAACAAAUAAUUUGUUACAUUUAUAGAUGAGUUUAGUAGAAAACUUUGGAUUUACUUGAUUAAGAGGAAGAGUGAUGUGAUUGAAGUAUUCAAGAAAUUCAAAGUUUCAGUGGAGAAACAGUGUGGAAAGAAUUUAGAGAUAUUAAGAACGGAUGGUGGGGGUGAAUAUGUAUAUGCUGAGUUUGCUGAAUUUUGUGAGAAAGAAGGCAUCACACAUGAAGUAACACCUCCAUACACUCCUCAACAUAAUGGAGUAGCUGAAAGGAAGAAUAGAACUUUGUUGAACAUGGUGAGGAGCAUGUUAAAGAGCAAGAAACUACCAAAAUAUUUGUGGGGAGAAGCUGUGAACACUGCUGCAUACAUCUUGAACAGAAGCCCAACUAGGAAAUUGGAAAAUAUAACACCUGAGGAAGCUUGGACAGGAGUGAAACCAAGUGUGUCUCACCUCAGUGUUUGGAUUUAUUUGUUAUAGACAUAUACCUGACCAACUGAGAACUAAACUUGAUGAUAAAGGAGAAAUGAUGAUAUUGAUUGGAUAUCACUCAACUGGAGGUUAUAAAUUGUUGAAUCCAGUAAACAACAAGAUAGUGAUAAGCAGGGAUGUAGUAGUGGAUGAAAGCAAGGAUUGGGAGUGGAAUGUCACACCAGAGAUAGAAAAAUAGAAUCAAGUUGAAUUGCAACUUGAAGACAGUGACACUGUGACUGUGCAAGAAAAUGAAACUGGAGAAGGCAGUGCUGAGGGGCCAAGAAGAUCUUUGAGACAGAGACAAGUCCCUCAAAGAUUAAAUGAUUUUGAAUUGUUGAAUGAUGGUGCAAUUAAUGAUGAAGGUGAGCCACUCACAGUGGAAAAGAAGCAGUGCAGAAUAAGAAAUGGAUUAAAGCUAUGAAUGAAGAGCUUAAUUCCAUAGAAAAGAAUAAUACUUGGGAGUUAGUGGAACUACCAAAGAAUAAGAAAGCCAUUGGAGUGAAGUGGGUGUAUAAGGUGAAAGUAAAUCCCAAAGGAGAAGUGGUGAGGUAUAAGGCUAGAUUAGUAGCAAGGGGAUUUCUCCAAAGGCAAGGCAUUGACUAUGAAGAAGUAUUUGCACCUGUGGCUAGAUUAGAGACAGUGAGAGUGGUGGUGGCACAUGCAAGUUUGAGAGGGUGGAAACUACAUCAACUUGAUGUAAAAUCAGCAUUUUUGAAUGGUGAUUUACAAGAGGAAGUGUACAUUGAUCAACCACCUGGGUUUGUAGUGAAAGGCAGUGAGAGAAAGGUGUUCAAAUUGAGGAAGGCUCUAUAUGGGUUGAAACAGGCACCAUGUGCUUGGAACAUGAAAAUAGAUAAGAGCUUGACCAAUUUGGGUUUUGUGAAAUGUAGGUCUGAGCAUGGAGUGUAUGUGAAGUCAGGGGGUGAAGACAUUAUGAUGCUAUGCCUUUAUGUUGAUGAUCUGUUAUUGAUAGGAAACAAUGAAGCAAAAGUGAAUGAAUUUAAGAAAAAUCUGAUGGAUGAGUUUGACAUGACUGACCUGGGUGAGUUGUCAUAUUUCCUUGGAAUUGAAUUCAAGAAGUGUAGUGAAGGAAUUGUUCUCACACAGCAAAAAUAUGCUACUGAUAUUCUGCAUAGAUUCAAUAUGCAACACUGUAACAGUGCUGAAACACCUGCAGAAGCUGGAUUGUGGCUCGAUAGAGAUAAUGAAGAGGACUUAGUAGAUCCUACUGAGUUUAGAAGGAUUGUUGGGGCAUUGAGAUAUCUCUGCAACACCAGACCUGAUCUGGUUUUCAGUGUUGGUCUGAUUAGCAGAGUUAUGGACAGGCCUAGAGUAUCACAUCUCAAUGCAGCAAAACGAAUAUUGAGAUAUGUGAAAGGAACAAUUGGUUAUGGAAUUUCGAUGCCCAUUAACCAUAGUGAAAAUACAAGAAAUCUAUAUGGCUAUACAGAUGUUGAUUGGUGUGGAGACAAAAGUGAUAGGAAGAGCACUGCUGGGUUUGUUUUUCUAAUUGAUUCAGCACCAAUUUCUUGGAGCUCGAAGAAGUAAUCUGUGGUUGCACUUUCAUCGUGCGAAGCUGAAUACAUUGUUGCUGCAAUGGGAGCUUGUCAAGUAGUGUGGCUUGAUACUUUGAUGCAGGAACUGAAGAUCAAAGAAGAAGGUCCAGUUGAGCUAUAUGUAGAUAACAAAUCUACAAUCAAGUUAGCCAAACAUCCAAUUGCACAUGGAAGAUCAAAGCACAUUGAAACCAAAUUUCAUUUCAUAAGAGACCAAGUUGCGAAGGGGAAAUUCAAGUUGAAGUUCUGCAGAUCAGAAGAUCAGCUUGCAGAUAUAUUUACCAAGUCCUUGAAAUCUGAAACCUUCAAGAAACAGAGAAGCACGCUGAAUAUUGUUGAUAGCAGGAAACUAGCUUAAGGGGGCGUGUUAAAAUUCAAUAGAAUAAAUAAGCUAGUUAUUGAUUGAUAUAGAUAUUGCCACGUGUAAUAAGUACUCUCCUAUAUGCUGAACCAUAUACUAAUUCUGUUGAUUGAGUAUUAGUUAUGUGCUAACAGAAAUAAUUUUCGUUGUAAUUGUUUUUCCCUUUCUCUCUCGUUCUUGAAAAAGUGCGUGCGUGAUUUUUUUUGAUGAAUUCAUACUCCAACAUUAUAUAAAUUAAUAACUUAGGUAGAAUAAAGAAAGAAAGAAAAAACUCAUGAAGUUGUAAUUUAAAACAAUUGAAGUCGUGUUUGAGUAUACCACUUUUACAGAAGAAGAAAAAUCAUAUUUGGAUUGAAGUGGUGUUUAAUCAUGCGAUUUUUGUAUACAUUUUCUUACAUGAAUCUUGAAAUUAAGAAGUUCACAACCCUUGAGAUAAGUUUUGGCUUUAUAUCUCUUUCGCUUCCUUUCUCAUUAUAAAUUAUUCUCGCCAAUUUCAACCUUGUUGGAAGCACUAUGCAGACAUUUAUUCGCAGAAGCCUCUGCUAAUGGCUCACAGGUUGGUUCAAACCAGAGUCAUGUUUCGCAAGUGGUUCGGUCUCUGCUAUCUUCAUUCACUAUUCAAGUUUUGCUAGCAUUCAUCGGAGCAAGCAUGUGGUGCCAACGAAUCAUCGUGAACGUCAUUUCCGUUGCUGAUUUCCUAACAGUUGUCUCUGGAAAUAGAACAUGAACUACACCACAAUAAUAUUAGAAAAACGUCAUUGUUCCAGUCUUCAGCAAAAUGCAUAAGGGAAGAAGCACGAUUAGGGUUCCAGUCUAUGCUUCCCAUGGAUCAUGCCGCCGCCGCAUGAAGAUUAUUAGGAAAACAAACUUCUCUUUAAUAUUCUGUAAUGGUAUAUAUAUAAUUCAGAAGAAGCCAACAGCUAGUCAAACCAUUUAAAUUAGAUAAAUGAUGGUGAUUAUCUCCUGGUUGAAAUUUAUUGUUAAUUGUUAGUUUUGGUCAAUCAAGAAAAAAAUCAUUAAAUAAUAAAUAAAUCCUAUCAAAAUCCAUAAUUUUUGAUAAAUUUUUAUUAAAUAAUAGAGAUAGUAUUAAAAAGAAAAUAUCAGAGAAAAAAUAUUUGUAAUAUUUCUUUUUAAAUUAAAUAACAAAGUCAUGUUUUCAUGGAAGACAACUUCAACCAUUUAAAUUUAAAAACAAAUCAUAUAUUUAAACUCGAUUUUAAUUAUUAAAAAAAUAAAACAAAAAUUAUAUUUUAAAAUACUACUUCUUUGUUGGAAGUAUUUUUUAAAAAACGACUUAUCUAUCUCUAGUAAAAAAAUUGAAAUUCCACCCAUUUUGAUAAUUUUUUAAAUAAUUAUCCCCAUCACGUAAAAAAAGUCUAGAUUUAUAAAUGUAACACAUAAAAAAAAUACCAAAUAAUGAUUUUUUUAAUGUUACAUUAUAAUUUGGAUAAAAAAACUAAAAUGAGAGAAAAUUUUCAAUAUAUUUCAAAAAAAAUAAUAUAGAAAAAAUUAUUACACAAUUGUAUAUAUAGACUUUUUUAUAUAAUUUUUUGGACUACUUUCUAACUUUAGAACAUGUGUCACACUUCUAAAAUGGGGAAAGAAAAAAAUGAAAUUCUCCGGUUUCAAUUUUGAUCAAAGCUCUAUCAGGAAAAAAAAAUGAAAUUCUCCGAUUUCAAUUUUGAUCAAAGCUCUAUCAGCCACUAGCUAGGUUCUUCUAGUUUGUUUGGAUAAUUUUUUUCUAUAAACAUUCAAACAUGAAAAACAAAUGUAAAAUGUGUUAAGUUUCUUCGUCAACAAAAUUCAACUUAAGAAUCUUAGCUUUAAUUAGAAGAAGUUAAAUAAAGAGAGUAUAUUAUAUAUAUAUAUAUAUAUAUAUAUAUAUAUAUAUAUAUAUAUAUAAAGUUUUUUAUCCAUAAGAAUCGAAAAUAGGAUUAAAAAAAUUUCAAUAACUCGCAUGAUACUCAAUCAACUUAGUUAAACAAAUUAAGUGCAUAAAAUUAUUUUAGCUUAUCAGAGAAAGUUGAUUUAUUUUACUUUUUUAUUUUAUUUUAUCAUAAAUAUUGAUCGAGAAGUUUAUCCAAAGAUCACCUUAGUCUACUUUAAGAAGUUCAAUGUGGAUAUUCGCAGCACACUUAUAAACAAGGACAGACGGUAAUUAAUCUCCUAAGUUACUCUUAUGAAAAGAAAAGUAUAAAGUAUUUAAUUAUUAUAUCAAAAUUAUGACAUAAGUAGUUAUAUCUAUCUUUUACAUAAUUGAAAACAUUUAAUAAAAGAACCAAAAACAAUAAUUAGUGUCGCUAGCCAAAUCCAUAAACAAGAUAACAAUUGGGUUUUAAUUGAUUGGGUCUCAAAUCAAAUAAUGGAUUUGUCUUUUCCAUGUUAAAAACUAAUCAGUUGGAAUUCGGAAAGAGGAAAAUAUUCUUUAUGAUCAUAAAUCAUUUAGCUAAUGGUUUUUCAUAAAUCAUUUUACUUUCAUAAUUUAUUAUGAUCAUAUUAUUCUUUUUAAGUGACCCUUGAAAAUAAAGAGUAUAUAUAUAUAUAUGAUCAAUUUUGUUACAAAAUUGCAUGGCCAUCGUUUCCAAUUUUGUUACACCUCACAUAAGCUUUUGUAUUUGUUGGCAUGCUUGUCAUGACCAAAGAAGCAAUUUUUUUGUAUGCUUCGUGUUUAUAACUGAGCAGUUGAAUGAACAAUACCAAAAUUGGAGGCUCUCUUUAGAUUCUCCGCGUCUCAAAAUCUAUCCUCUUCACAAAUAAGAUCAACAUCUCGUUUUUUUUUCCUGACAAGAAACCACCAAUGUUUUUCAACGCACAUACUAUAUAUGAUACUAAUUUCAUCUGCAUUAAGUGACUCUCGUUUAGCCCAAAAAAAUUUAUACAAGAAAGAAAUUAAACAAGUUCAUCCACUAACUCUAGUUAGCUCUCCAUAUAUGAAUGCAACAUACAGAAUCUUUUACUUGUGUCAAUCCUAUGAGUUAAUGAGAUCAACAUUCGAUUCAUAUACAUUAUUUUUAUAUAAUUUCUUUAGUAAAUGAGAUAAAUGGAUAUAAGAAAAAAUGUGAAAUAAAAUGAAUAACAUUGGGUCACACGUAUACAGUAUAAUCACACUUCAGUGUGCAUAUAUAUACGUUGCUAUCAUAUCAUAUUAAACUUACACGUGCCUCGCUUAUAUUAUUCGGAUUGUGAAUUUGGGCUACCAUGUCCAGAAAAUAUAUAGAGGCGUCGAUUUUAUACGUUUAUAUACGAUUGACCCGUAGAUCUAGCUAUCUUGUAAUGUUUGGAUUUCAGGAUUAUAAAAGCAUGCGCAGUAUAGUGAGCAGUGAGAGAAAGAAAAGCAAGAAUAAAUCUUUAAAGAGUGGGACCAUGCAUGUCUGAACUAUUUUAUUAGAGGAAUUAUUGUUACUAAACAUGUUUUAAUUUUAUUUGUUGAUACGAUUCCAGUAAGGAAUUAUGUAAAUUAUUACAUCUAGUAGAGGCUAAUUUUUUUAUUAACGUGUUAUUAGUAAGAAGCAUUUAUUAAUUUUUAUUAAAGAAUUUGACCGAUCUUAAGUUUUUCCUCCCAUAAUCUUUUAUGUUAAUGUUGUUUUUUAAUGAAUGAUUCAGAAGCAAAAGCAAGGAAGGUUACUGAGUGGUUGUCAUUAAUUUGUCUAGGAUUUCUAGGCGGAACAUGAAGCCUACAAAUAUGUUGUUAUGUGGCAUGUGAAAUCUCAAUAAAUCGCAAGAUGCAUGGAUUUUGUGCGUUGCAAUUUCAAUUUUCAUUUUGGCGUUAUUCUAUGAGAAUGAAUUUAAUUUGUAUUGUAUCUGGAGUAUCUGCUUGGGUUGUGAAUUUGAUUCUUUAAUGUCUGAUUGCCUCGCAAAUCGCAAUCAUGUGCCUUGGGUCUCGAGGUGUGCUUGUGGAUGGCGAAUUUUUCAUGCAAAAAAUACAAAAUUAUUCAAAUAAUACAAUUAAAAAAUAUUUACAUAUGAUGCAAUUCACUAUUCAAGGUGAGAAAGUUAUUUUUUUAUUUAACACAUAUUUAAUUACUAAAUUUACAAACAUAUUUUUAAUUAAUUUAGCGUCGGUUAAGCUGAAAAAAUACUUAUAUUAGAUUAUAAAAAAAUAAAAAUCUGCUUAUUUUAUUAAAAAAAAUAUUUUUAAAAACAUAAGUAUUUUUUUAUUCAAAUGUAUUUUGUGUUAUUUCAAUUUUUAUUGAGAUUAUAAAAUAUAAGUACAAAAAUGAAAAAUAUAUUAUAAUUAUAAAGUUUACAACAAAAUAUAAUUAUAUAUUAAAAAGUUAAACAAUAAUUGAAACAAUUAUAGUAACAUUUGUAAUUUUUCUAUAUUUUGCAUAGGAAUAGUCGACAUUAAAUUGAAUACAAAUGUGGUUAAAUAACGAUUGUAUCAAUUAUGCAAAUAAUUUUUGGGUUUUAUUAUUUGAAUAAUUUUUUACUUUUUUUAUUAUUGGGGUGAAAAUUUCUAUGGAUAGCUCGGAUAUGUCAUAGUGUUACCACAAAAUGUUAUUAUUGAGCAUUUUACUAUAUAAGACUAAACUUGGCACAAGAUGUGUUAAAAGUUUAGUAUAAAGAUUACGAAGUCUCAAGUUAGAUAUGGAACUAAACUUGGAGCAGUUAUAAUGCGGCGCUUUUGUUUUCCUUUUGAAUCUUUUGGCUUCUUUCACAAUUUCAGCAGAAUUCUUAAUAUUCAAAUUUCUGAAUUUACUUGUGAUUUAUGAUGCAUCCUGGUAAAGGAGUUUUAAAACUGGUGUAGGCUCAAGGUGUGUUUUGUUUAGGAAAUUAGUUCCAGAAAAUUUUGGUUGAGUUUGUCGCCGACCAAUGUUUUAAUUAACUUCCAUAAGCAGAUUCAAAUUGCUUUCAGUGACCAGCAACCAGAAUUAGACAUGAUUUAUUAAUCAUUUGUUUUUAUUCAGAAAACUUAAUGCACCAUGGUGCAUUUUCCAUUUUGUUGAUGCAACCAAUUGUCCAUAUUUUGACCACGUUCCUAUCUAUCACUAGAUAAACAAGCUGUCCCCCAAAAAUUAUCUCCAACUAAUAAUAUUACACGAUCAUCCAAUUCUAUUCCAUUAAAUUCAUGUGCUUUGAGUUCCAAGUGUUAAAAAAACCAUUAGAAACAUAUAGAUAUGCAAAGAAUCAACAAUUCUAGCAGCCGAGAACUAAAACCUUUGAAUCUUUAGCAGUGAGUAAAACGGGUCUAUUCUGCCAAGCAAUUUCAUGUUGGUAACUGAGUGAGGAAUGUACAAUAUCUUCAAAUCAAAUUGCUACUGUAACAAGAAGAACAUGGGAACAGUGGUUCUAGCUGUAGAUCUAUAGAACAUUUUCUUCUUCUUGUAGGUUCUAUUUUCAACUGUUAUCACUAUCUUCCCAGGUUCACUGAUGUAAAAGGAGUUUCUAGUGCUGCUACCAUCUACACUUUGGUUUUGCAGUAGUACAGUGUAUGAGCCUUCAUCAUCUGGAAUGAACUCUUCCUUGUAGGACACAUCCCAUCCCACCACAGUUACAUCCCACAUUAUUGUCACUCCAAGCUAGACACAUUCCAAAAUCAAAUUACAACAAAUAAGCAAAUUAGUCUUACAUGGUAAAUAAUAAUAAUAAUAAUAAUACUUUUAGGUACAUGUGCAUAAGUGCAUUCAAUUUUGAACCAAAAAAAGAUUCAUGUUGUAUAUACCUGUUGGAUCGGAAAUUCAACUUUAGAAACCGUACUUCCUUUGAUUUUAAGCUCUGAAACCUUAUCAGAAGGCGAGAAGUCUUCAUCAUUGUUCCUCCUUAGACCACCAUAUUCAGUUGGAAGGUGCUCUGGGGCUAUAAACCUUCACAAAUGACAAAUGUUAAUUAACUGUGGUUGAAUAAGAUUGAGAGAAUGGAACACUAAGGUUCAUGUUAAGCACACUUACUUGAGAAGUGUCUGUGUGACCUUCUGUGACCUAGCUAAGAUGAACUUCUUUUUAUUUCUCUGGUUCAUGAACCCUGAUAAUAGCACUUGAGAAGUGUAGAACCAAAAUGGAGCAUAUACUAUAAUCUGCAAAUUAAAUCAAAAAAUGGGGGGAAAGAAAAAUCAAUCAGCAUUCUGCAGUUUCAAUUUAGAUUAAAGCCUAAUAGCCACUAAUACCACUAUGCUCUAUUAUACUUUUAUAAACUAACAUUUUUGUGAAUGAUCUCAGGGUAGUAGUUCUGAAACAAUAUUAGAGCCUUUUUGCUGACUGAGUUGAGCUCCUUGGUUCCUUGCAUUGGAGUGUUCCUCAAAUCAAAAACCUGAAGUAUGGAUUCCACCCCUCCUUCUCUAAAACAAAGCUUCUUCACAGCCUUUUCAAUCAUUUGAAUCCUCCACCUCAAAUACUUGUCACAUGUGUUAUCUGAUCCAAAUGUCUUCUUGUAAACACGCCUGUCUUUGAAAAUCUCACAAGCAUGGUAACACACAGGACGACCUUCCCUAUCCUUACCGCACAAGAAUCCUGCAUUAUUUCCGAACUCAGAACCCAAAUCCUCAUCGGUGAUCCCAUCAACGUUGUUCUCGCGGCGCCACACAAGUGUCUUUUGCAGCAUGUCAAAGGCCUCAUUCACCUUGAAAUCCUUGGCCUUCAAGAAUUUCCUCAAAACAACAUCAGUGCCCUCAUGAGCCUUGCUUAGCAACAAAGGGACACCCCAGAGAGUAAUCUCUCUAAUCUGUUCCCUUGCCACUGCUAUUUCUUGUGGUGCAAGUUUCUCAUGAUCUUGUUCUCCUAACAAAUAGUUCCCAAGAAUGGCAUCCUCAACCUUGCAACGAAACUCGAGCAAUGACUUCUUCAUCUUGAGUUUAAUCUCAGCAGGACUAGGCGCCCCCGCGUCUCCCAAAGCUGUGGCAUCAAGAUCAUCGUCAUCAUCUUCUUGAUCACAAUCAUGAUCUUCUUGGUUCUUCUUCUCUUGGACCUUGAGACUCUUCUCAUCAUUGUUGUUGUUCUUAUCAAAGAAAUUGAUAACCAGGGGUACCCCAACAACGAUUUCCCCAUAUUCAUCAUUGCAACAACAUUCAUUGGCGUCGUUCAUGGUUGCCACUCAAAUGUUGUAAUUAAUUCUUCUCCUGCAUGCACCGAUCCUCCUCCUCCUCCUCCUCCUAGAUUAGAGAGCUCCACAAUCGUGAUUUGGACUACUAUAUCAAGAUUUUUUAACUAUCAGCAACUCAACGCGACUGCAAUUGGAACCACAUGAGCUGCAUUUGUCCGCGAUUUGCCACGAUGCCAACAAUCGCGAUGAAACCACGGUGACCGAUAUUUAAAACCUUAGAGCAUUUGAUGGAGGGAGGGGGUGGAGAAGGAAAGAAGAGAAGAAAGGUGGCAUUUACAUUACAUUAUUACAUGCAUAGAUGCAUGCAUGCAUGAGAAGGCCUUGUUAAUUUGUGACAACCCAAUAAUGUUGAGUGAUGAUGGAUCACUUCCCUCAAAUUGAGAAUGCUCAACCGUUAGUUUAGGUGAGUAGCGCCAAAUAUAGAUCACAAGUAAUGGCUUGGUUUCUUAUUCGUUGGCAAAUAAUGUUUUUGAAUGAUUUAAACCAAGUUGGCAUGGCAAGAGGACAACGCUCUUUUUCAUGCAACAAAAUCAAUUCACACGGGCCAACCUCGUCGUAAUCACAACAAACUUGUAACAUCCUGUUUUUUUCAUAAAAUAAAUAAAAAAGUGUGAGGUCGAGUGUAUUGUAUAAUUCAUUAGCAAUAUUUGCAUGCAAAAAUUAUUUUAAGGGUUAGACCUGAAUUAGGAAAGUGAGAUCCUAAUGGAUUCUUCGAAGUUUAGGCCUUCUGGGUAAAUAUACUCUAUUUGAGUGUUCUUUUAAAUCUAUGUUGAUCUAUAUAGUUAGAGUAUUUUCAUAAAACAGAAUGACCUUGGCUAGUCACCUUAUGAUUUCAUUUAGUGAGAGUGACCUAACAUACUCAUUGUAUGAUGUGUCUUGUUAUCUACUCCUAUGCACUCUAGUGUUGUUUAUAACUGACAUGAUACCACAUUACAUAUAGGAUUGAGUCUUAGUGUAUUUAUUGUAUAACACUUGUGUAAUGAUCAUUGUGACUUCUACAUGAUGGUGGGUAAUAAAUUAUGUGAGUGUGAAAUAUUGUGUUGUACUUGAGAUUUGUAAUGUGAAGGUGUGGAAUGUGAUUUUGUAAUUAAAUCAUUGAGACAAGUGAUGUUACGCAAUGAGUAGUAAAAUGAUGUGAAUUGUGCUAAGUUGAGUUUGUUAUACUUAUAUCAUAUACAUGUGUCUUCAUCUUUACCUGUUUAGGAAUAUGAUAAUUCACUAUGUGUGUUGUUUGUGUAUGACUAGGUGGAUUGUUUUAAGGAGCCUCGUACUGAAAGACGUCAGGAUAUAAUGCUCUGAUAAGAUGUGAUAUUGGGAUAUGAGUUUCUGUUUUAAUUGUAUGAAGUUCCAAACAUGUCAUUUUAUUUUAUUUUAUUUUAUCACUAAACUUGAGUUCUUUUGUAAAUUUGAACGGCCUUAUUUUAAGCCGAAAAUGUUUCAAAGAAGUUUUAUUUGAUAAUAGCAGAGUGAAUCUAAAUCCUUUACCCAUCGUGAAUUUACUUACAAUUUUAUUAAAUAAAAUUAAUUUAAUUAGAUUUUAUGUUAUAUAUAUAUAUAUAUAUAUAUAUAUAUAUAUAUUUCAUUUAUAUGCAUAUCAGUGUUGAAGAUAUCACAUCUUUGCAUUCUUUGCGAUCUUAAAACCUGCCUCAAAAAAAAAAAUCAGGGAUCAACUUUUUAUAUAUCCAAUAGCUUAAUAACCAGGGCCUUGCACUUGCACGCACGGGUGUUGAAAUUUUAAUAUACAAAGUAUUUUUAAAAUUAUUUUAGUGUAAAUAUAUAAUCAAAAUAUAUUGGAUUUGCUCAUAAAAUUAUUUGUCUUCAACAUUUGACCUUCAUCAAACACUUAAAAGUGAAGGGAAAAAAAAGUUAAAUGAUGAGAUAUGCAAGGCGUGGUCAAAGGAAAAUAAAAAUAUGUGAUAAAAGUAUGAAAAAUGAGAUGAAUGGUAAAGAAAGUAAAAAGAAACAUAAACUUACCCAUAAUUUCUUCCUUAUCAUGUCAUUUAAAUGAUAAGCCUUUACUGGAAAAACUAACAGUAGAGUAAUAGAAAACACAGAAGCAUGAUGCGUGCAAGGAUUGUCUAGGAUCACAAAAGUGCCACCAGAUCCUACGGGUAUUCAUAAAAAUAUCCGCUAGCAGGAUGAAAAUUAUCCUUAGAGUUGGAUACAAAACGGAUAUAUACUCAUAAGAACGGAUAUAUACCCAUAAAUUUUCAUGUGUAUUAGUGUGGGUAUGGAUAGUAUACCACCUAUAGUAUCCAACUCGUUUGGCCUUGCACAUAUUAUAUAUAUAUAUAUAUAUAUAUAUAUAUAUAUAUAUAUAUAUAUAUAUAUAUAUAUAUAUAUUUUGUAAAAAAUAAUUAUUCUUUUAUGACUAAUAUUUUAAGUCUCUAAUCUUUAACAAUAUUAUUAUAAGAGUGAAAAAUAUCAAACAUUUAAUUAAGUUAUUAGAAUAUUGACUUUAACAAUUGUUAUAUUGGAUGAUUAUUUUUGUAAUUUUAUUUAUUUAUGAGUUUAGAAAAACCAAUAUUAUGUUUGCUUGUUUUAAUUAAAUUUUAAAUAUUUUUAUGAUUUAUUAUUAUUAAUUUUAUAUGAGUCAUAAAUACCAAUAAGGAUAUAUAGUAUAGGAUCAUAUACGGAUAUUAUUUUUAAACACGAUGUAAAUCUUACCCAAGUCCUAUCCAUUAUCACCCUUUUGAUUGUCUAAGGAAAAAAGAAGUAGAAUAUAUAUUUAUUAUAAUUAUAAUUACCCUAAUAAAAAAGAUUAAUUUAAUUAGUUUACUUUAAAAUAAUCUUAUUUACCUCAAUUAAUGUAUAUUAUAACUACCUUGAUUUUAAAAUAGAAUAUACAUUGUUUAAAAUAGCCUACGUAACAACACUUCUUUUAUAAUAAAAAAAAAUUGAUAAAAGUUAUAUUUGUAAAAUAAAUAUAUUUUGAAAAAAGAAAUUAUAAUAAAUUAAUUAUUAUAUUAUAAAAAUCAAAAUAUGCAUAAUUACUAUAAUAAAAUAUUUAUACUGAGCAUACAUAAUUACUAUAACUACUAUAAAUAUAAUAAUAUAAUAAUAAAUAAUAUAUGUAAUAAUUAGUUUAAUUAUACAUUUCAAAAGAGUUUGAUUUUCAUAUGUUAACUUAUUUAAAUUUUCAAAGAUAGUAAUGCGAGAUUAUCAUCCUAUAAUAUAUUUUUGUCACAAAAUUAUCAUAAAUUUAAUGUUUUUUUUUCAAUUUGAAUCCAUUAUAAAUUUGAAAUUCGGAAUAAAAUAUAUGUUAUUUUAAUUAUAUAUAUAUAUAUAUAUAUAUAUAUAUAUAUAAUAAUAAUAAUAUAUUACAAUAAUCACAUUAAUUAUGUAUUUUAAAAUGUUCAAAUUACCAAUGAUCAAUCAUAAAAAUAGAUUAAUUGUCAACUUAUAUAUAAAAUCCCAGUAAUAUAUUUAUGUCACGAAAUUGAUAUAAAUCUUAAGCGAUUUUUAAGAUUUUGAAAUUUGAAAAUUUUGAAUUAGAAUAUAUUGUGUUAUAUAAAUUAAAAAGUGAUAUUGAAAACACGUGAUAUUAAAAAAAAUUGCCAUAAUUAUAAACCAAUAUCUAUUUAAGAUUUAAUGUUUUAAUUGAUUAAUUUAAUCAAAAUAUGUAUACGUGUUAUAAGUGUCUAUGUUACUAUAAUUAAAUAAAAUAGUGUAUUUUUUAUAAAUUAAAAAAUAAAAUAAAAUAAAAUAAUAGAAUUAGGCAAGAAAAGAAUGAAUAUGAUGAUUUCAACCGUGCACCUAUCAGGUAGGCAUUAUUAACCUUCCUAAUUUUGACCAGCACGGUAUGCACGUACGAAAUGUUAAACUAUAUUUUUCUAUAUACAUCAGAAAUAAAAGAAACGUUAUACUAUAUAAAUGUCAGCUGAUCCUGGGACUAGCUUUUUCAUAGAUUUUUUUUUCUUAUAGAUUCCAAUGUAAGACUUAUUUAAAGAAAAUAAUAACAUAUACCACGAACUAACCAGUUGUUGGUACCGUUCAAUUUAUAAAUGUUAGUGUCAGCGUUAAACUGUAUUUGUAAGGUUUAUUUAUAUAAUUUCUUUUACGAUAAUAUAAGAAAAAAGAUAAACAUAAGAUAAUAUUAUGUGAAUAAAAAAUUGUAACCAAAAAGUUAAACCAUAAACAAAAUUCAAAAAUCAAUGAAGAACAAAAAACAUUUUACACUAAAAUUUAACAUAAACACCAAUCAGAAUUUUGUGGUACAAACUCUCCUAAUCAAUCAGUCUGCUUGGGAAACAAAAUAUAUAAAUUGGAUGAUAGAAUUUUCUAAUUAUAGUUCUCUUCAACUAAAGAAGUGACGAAAGCAAAAAAUAUAAUCAAAGGAUUAGUAUCCACUUGACCAACCGCACGAGUUUAAUUAGUUAAUUAUCAUAUUGUCAAAUAUCAUUUUCUAAAAAUCAAACAUAAUAAGCAAAAAAUUCGUACAAGUGAUAAACAAGGCCACUACUUUAGGUUGACAAUUCAACAAUUGUUUCUUUGCAAAUUACUUGACAAACUUGGCCUCUUCUUUCAUUUAGUUCAUAAAGAUGCUUCAAUCCUUAUGCCUAUUUGAGCUUUAGGGCUAUGCAUCACAUGCAAGAAAGUAAUAGUCAAGCCAGAGAAAAAGUUAAAUGAAUAAAAUAUAAUUCAAGAACGAACGUUUGGACAUCUAGCUACUGUAUUCUACAUAAUCUGAGGAAAUCCUAUUUACAAUAGUUUUAAAAAGAACCCAACUGGUAACUUAAAACACAAGAAAUUGAAGAGGGGUGAAAAGAAGGAUUCACAUUAGUUUGGCCACCUCCAGACAAGAAAUAAAAAUGCAACCAACCUCUGAAUGCGGUACAUAUAACAGGCGGCUUAUCAACUGUACCUUAUGGAUGAAUUUUAGAACUCUCGGUAUUUAGUCAAAUCAAAUGUGAGAGUUCUCGAACAGCUGCAAAUUCCAAGUAAACCAGGUCAAUACACUGAGCUAGUGCCAUAAACAUACUAUUUAAAUCAAUUAAUGAUAUCAAGAAAUUUACCCUCUUUCAGAGUCUCUGUAAACCCCAACUAAUGCUUCGGCUUUGUCAUAAAAGGUGUCUUUCAGUGAUAUCACUAUACUCUGAAAACCAUUUCCACCAUCAGCAUCCUGACUAGUCCUUGCUCCUUCACAAGAUUUUGAACGAAUAAAGCCAGCAACCUUGGCAACAUUCAAGUUGUCCAAUGCAGCAUCAACUUCGUCCAAUAUAAAGAAUGGUGAAGGCUUAUAACUGAAACAAGAAGCAAGUAGGGAACCAUGUUAAUGGAACAUGAAGAUCAGAUAUCAGCAAAAUAGUUUUAGGCUUAUGUGAGAUGUGUCAGUAUAUUAGAUGAAUUUGUGUUAUUAAACACAAAUUCAGAGUAGUUACAAAAUAUUCUUGUUCUAAUAUUAGUACAAACAACUACCUAUGGAUGGAGAAUAGCAAUGCAAGUGCAGCAACUGUCUUUUCCCCACCAGAUAGCUGCUCCAUAUCACGGAAGCGCUUUGUUGGGGGCAUAGCAGUGUACUUGAUGCCAUGUAGAAAGGGAUCAUCAUCAUUUUCCAAGUUUAGGUAUGCUGUUCCACCCAGUGGAUGCGUGUUGCUCUUUGUAAGUUGUUUGUAAAUUUUAUCUAUAUUACCAGAUAUAUGGGUGAAAGCAUCCAUGAACAAGUGGUACCUGCAUCCAACACAAACUUUGGCUUCCUCAGAGGACAGAUAAGAUACAACAAUUAUCUAUUCAAAACAAGCUCCAAAACAGACGGCAAAGAAAACUCCCAUAUAUCUCAAUAUGAACAAUAAGUAACUAGAAAUCAAAGAUACACAUAGAAGUCAAAUAAGGAAAGCAUGUCAACUUUUUCUUCUUUUUUGUGUGUGUGUGUUGGGUUGGGGGGGAUGACAUAAGGUCAUAGUUUUCAGAAUUAGAGAGAUUCGCAAGGGGAAAUGUAGGACAAUACAUUUUCAGCAGAAACUUUUCCACAACCCCUUCAGUGAAAUUAUCAAAUAAUCAAGUCGACCAGGAGCUGAUUGACCUUUUUUAUUAGGAAUCUUUUAACAUAAGAUCAUAUUUUGUGGAUUUUUUGUGAAGUUACCAUCACAAUUUCAAAUUGGAUCUUAAAGGAUGUUGAUGUUACUAUCACAGUUCUGAGGGAUCAUAAAGGUUCUUCUGAAUUCUAUGAUGUGAUGCCAAAAUAGUAAAUGGUGGAAGCCAGUGAAUGGGUGACCACCCCCAAAAUGCUAUAGUGGCAUAGUAGAUUGUGACUUGUGAGGCAGCCCCUGCAGCAAGAUAUUAUCUAGAAUGAAAAUAAUUGAAAACGAAAAGAGUAAAGCACACAAAUAUGUGUGUGGAGUAGCACAUUACAGCAUUUACUCAAAUUUGAUAAAUCACACAAUUUAGUAUAGCAUCAUCUGUUACGCCUUGUUUGGUACGAAGGAAGGAAAUAACUUUUAGUAGAAGGAAAUGGGUUGGUGUUUGGUAGGUGAGACUUAGAGAGAAAUUAAUAUAAUUGUUGUGACAGUAUAAUAUUUCUCACUUAUAUCCACUAAUUUCUCCAUGUCUCUCCUCAUCUCUUCUCUAUUUCUCUUCUAACCAAACACCUUUAAUUUUCACUUUAUUUCUCACUUAUUUCCAUUCAUCCUUUUUUUAUUUUCAUCCACCCUAUUUUCUCCUCUACCAAACAGGGCAUUAAAAACCACUCCUCACUUAUACAAACAACUAGUCAUUUCAUUUUUUCUUUGCAUGUUUUCUGAUGUAAUUUUAAGAUUCCUUAAUGUGUCCACCUAAACCAUGCACACUAUAAACUAUUGGCUAGGUACUAAUGUUAUACAAAAUACAAGUAAUGGCAAAUGAAACAAAAAUAACUUGUACCUUCUCUGCUUAACCUCAUUGAAUCUCUGUGUUUUUUCCCUCUCCUCUUUCCUGACAGCUUCAAACUCUUCAGUUACAACUCUCUCUUUUUCUAGCAGAGCUUCAUAUUGGUCUAAUGCCUUCAAAUUUGGUGCAGUUCUUUCAAUUUCAGAUAUCAAGGCAUCCAUUUUUUGCUUAAACUCUACCUCAAUUUUAUCCCUAUCUGAGUGUCUCCUAUCUUUCAGUGCCCUAUUUAGUUGAUGAAAAUCAAAAGAUGGACCUGGAACUGAGAUAUCAGUAUCCAUAGGAUCCAGUAUGACUGGGAGGCUAAUCUGUUCUAGUUCACACUUUUCUAAUAUCUCCUGCUUUUGCACAUUCAACUGAUCAAUCUGUGCCUCCUGUAAAGACAAUAAAGAUGUUGGCUAUCUAUAUUAUGUCGUGCAAGUUACACAAGAGACAAGAACUGUACUCAUCUAACCUUAGAGUGUAUCAGACGAUUAAGUUUGGAUAUGUUUGUUGUGGCUGCAGAAGCUUUCUUUUUCCACUCUUGGAUUUCCUUUUCACAAUCUUCUGACUUUGAUUUCCACUCUACAAGAGUAAAAAGAGAACAGAGAAAGAAUAAGAUUUCCAUGGAAGAAAAAUAAACAACAAAUUGAAGUAAUAGUGGGUCUGUGUUCCCAUCAAUUUCAAAUAGCAAACAGCAAAGGACUACCCAGAUAACCAAGCUUUCACCCCAAUAACACCCCAAAUCCACAAGGGGAAAAAAAAAGAUAGCAAAUCCAACGAAAAACAACUGUCACAUGGUAUUCUAUCAAUAUCAUACAGCCAACACAGGUUGCACCAAAUAUACCUUUAGCUUCCUCCUUAAGCUGAUUAAUCUCUUCUGUAGCAUUCUCAGCUGCUAACUUUGCUGCAGCCUCUCUGUCCUGUACACGUUUUAAAUCUUUCUCUAAAGUGCCAAGAGAAGCUUCCAAUUCUUGAAUUCGUGAAGUCAUAUCCCGAUUUUGCUCAUACUCCAACCUGUAGAAUAUUUUCCAAAAAUACAAACAAAUCAAUAGCUAGAUGGCAAAUAUAACUUGAAGUUGAGCUCCAAGUAUCUUCUCUUUUUUUGCUCUUUAUCAAUUCUCUUGGGUAAUUGGAAACCUUCUGGACAUAAAAGGAGAUGCAGUACAAUAAACUUCGGGAAAGUGAGAACACUAUAUGCAACAAGGGCCAUAUUCCGUAUCACUUAACAAAAAGCUUCAGUUGAAGAAUUAAUUUUGAUGCAGUACAUCAUAAUUGACUCUUGGCUUCUCUACCACAUAAUCCAUGAUUUGAACCAUGAACCAACCCGCAAGAGUUAUGAAUCUAAAAUUACUAAUGUGAAAUAGAUCCUAACAACAAAAUAGGUAAUAGGUAUCAGACAUUUGCUGACCACCCCCACUUAAACAGUGAAACAAAUAUACAGACCUAGUCUCCAACACAUAAUCCUCCAACUAGUAUUUCUAUCCCCAAGAUAAUAUAGUAAUUAGUUUUUUUAAAAGAAAAAAAAAAGAUAGCUUAGCAUUCUAGACUUGGUUGAACUUCAACAAUUGUAGUUUUCUUCUUUCCUCUUUCAAUAAUGUACUAGUUGUUGGUAUUUAAAACACUUCUAGCAAAGCACAUACAUAUUAUUUGUUUGCAAGCUCAUAAAUGCAUUCACACAUGUAAAAUUAUGUUGGUCAUGUUAACAAAUAACAAGGUGUAAUUAAAGUAAAAGAGAAGGAACACACUGAUAUUUUAAUUUUGAAAGUUGGCUACUCAGGUUCAGCCUCUCCUCUGCUAUACUUUGAGCAGCCUUGAGUCGAUUUUCUUCAUACUCACGGAUGUUUGCAACCCCAACUGACUUGCUGAAGUCCCUGUAUAUCCUAUCAGUAAUUUCAUUUAUCCUCCUCUCAAGCUUACGUACAUCUGCAUUGCUCUUGUUAACAGCAUCAUUUAACUGCAGAGCAUAAACACCAAGUAACCAGUUAGAUAUAGAAGAACAUUGCUAAAAUGAACUAAGGAAAUGUAAAUGCCACCUUCUGCAGUUCUGGACUGAUGCAUUCAAUUCUUUCUUUGAUGGUCUUUUUUUCUUGGCUCAAAUUUGAAAGUUUAUCUUCAAUGCUUCGCUGGCAAAAUUAAAAGCAUAAAAAUAAACGAACAAAAGACAUAACUUCAAACACACAAUCCUUAAAUAAUGUUAGCUUGCAUUUGAUUGGUGCAUGUUUUCAAAAAUAAACCACAAAAAAUACAAUUUUAACUAAUUUUGCAAGGACAGAAUAUGACCAGUUAGAUUUCUCAUGCCUACAAACAAACUAUAGCCAACAGAAUAUGACCAAUUACUUCCAGCUAAUUAAUGCUGAUAUUUUAAUGCCUAUAAUUAUUAAAUUUCAAAUCUAAAAACUUAUAAACAAUUGGAUGAAGUUUGUGCUACUAGAGUUUGGGUGGAACUUAUGCAUCCUCAACAUAUAAACUAGCCAAAAAUCCUAUGAGCCCUGCUUUACUUGGUCAUUUAUUGUAUCCUAGUUGGAAAUUAAAAGACUUGCAGCUUCCAUGUUUGAUUGUACCUUUUCAAUCUCAGCAUAUUGAAUUUUCUUCUCAAGCCCACUAAUUUUUCCAGAUGCUUCAGACUCUUUAAGGUGCAUAUCUCUUAUUGAUCCUAGCUCUUCCAAUUCUGAUUCAUACUGCUCUUUCUUUUUAUUAAGUCCUGAGAAAACAACAUGAUUAUUGCAAGAGCAAAAGCUUUGAAUUAAAUUUAAAAAAAAUGAUAAAAACCUUCAAUUUUCUUGUCAUCCCACUGUUUUGACCUUGCUUCCAUUCCACCACUAGUGCCCCCAGUCAUUGUGCCGGAUUUUGUCAACAGAAUUCCGUCCACAGUUACAACUAAGCAAAUCAAAUUACAUAGAACAAUGUUCACUAAUUUGCAAUCUAACAAGCAUGAUUGUAUUAAAUGCACCAGGAAUGCAUCACAAGCAUAAUAAAUACACAAUAGGAUUCUCCAGAAGCCAAAAGGUUUGUUAGAUAAGAAACAAAAUUACAAAAAAACAAAGAAAAAUCGUGCAAAAACCAGAGUCAAGUAAAAGUUAUAAACUGGGUGCCAAAAAAAGUAAGGAGAAUGAGAAGCCAGAGGGAAAAGUACAUUGGGAUCAAAAUGGAACAACAUCCAACUACUAUCAUUAAGCUCUAAUGGCAUGUCAGUAAGAAGGUAAAGCACCUGUAGAUAAUAGAAAGAAAAAAGGUCUUCUUACCUUUAAACCUCUCACCGCUCCAGCUUAAAAUUUUGGCCUCCUCAAGAUCAUCACAAACAAGAGUAUUCCCAACAGCAAAGAGAAUUGCCUUCUCCAAGGAGGGAUCAAACUUGCACUAGUUAAGUCAAAAAGCUUAAAGCACUUAAGUUUAGAUGUGUAUAAUUAAGUGGUUUGACAAAAAGCAUGAAAUUAAACUUUAUGAUGGGGUAUUCAUGAGAAGGGAAAGAAGAGAAAGUACAAGAAUGAUUUAUGCUCAAUGCUUAAUAGACCACCUAAUUAUAAUCCAAGAAUGCAUCUGUCACUAUAGAAAUUCAUUAAUUCAACAGUAAGUCAAAUAGCAUUUUGAUGAGAUAUGAGAGGAAACUACUGAAAAAAAUCUGCAAAUCUGAAAAAAAAUAAUUAUAUAUCCUAUUAGGGAAAGGCUUUGAUUUUAGUGGGCUACAGGAAACAGCACUGACAACAGAAGCUGUAGCAUAAAGCAAUACACAAUAAGAAGGGAAAGGACAAUGUAAUAAUAGCAAACUGUUAAAAACUACCAAAACCCAGUAACAAGCAAACUCUGAUGAUGUUAAGAUGACAGCAGCUCAAUCCAUCACAAUGACAGACAUGGUUACUCCACCCACAGAAACAGCCAUUUGCAUGAGAAGGAGAUUGCACAUUCCUUUAGGAUUUUGAUCAUACAAUUCAAACGCAGUAUGAAGCAUACAACAACCUUAUAUCACUUGGUGAGGUCAACUACAUGGAUCACACAUCGCCAUUGACCUCAAAGCAGGAAGCAUGUAAGCAAAAAAUAUUUUAUAACUAUACAAUGGCUGUACAAAAAAUUGGAGUUCAUAAAAAGGUAAUGUGUGUACUGAUGGGUGGUCAACCCAUCACCAUUGUGCCUUCCCAGAUUCAGAAAUUUUCAAGCAAUGUGGUUAAUGUCAGACAUUGCUAAUUUUUUAAAUUAGUCAAAACUCAAAACAAUAAAGUCAUGAUGGACAAGCUAUCUACAGAAGGUAAAUAUCAAGAAAACUUCAGUUUCAUUAGCACAAAUUUAAAUAACAAAUCUGCAAACACGAACAGAACCAAAUUCUUCAAAGUAGCCACUGGAGAAAAAAGGAUAUUGAAUCACGUCAAAAAUCAGUUUUGCUGUACCCCCUAAUGUGCGCAAUCUUUCCAUUAUUGGCUUCACCCGAACUGAUUCCAGAGGAAUAAAUGUCUGGGGAGGAAGCCUCUGAUCUUUUAAAUACUGAAAAGCAGAGAAAAAUAUUCCAAUCAAUAUCAAUACAUAUAACAAAAUGAAACCAAUUAUAGAGCUUCAAUGUUCAAACAGGCAAAAUUGCAAUUUUAACACCAAAUUCUAGCUAUCAAGAAUAUUUAUAGCAAUCUGUUCAGUGCAACCAAAGAGCCGUGUCAAACAUAACAUAAAUUCCACUGGAAUGACAGAUGCAGAAAGUGAAUUCUAGUAUCAAGGAUGAAAAGACAAAAAAAUGAAGGUCCACCAGUUUGAAGGCACCAAACAAGCUUAAUACUUGGGCCUCAGUUAACAAGGUUUAUGUAGCACAUGACAUUUUGCUAUUUUGGAAGUCCAUAAUAAUUUUAUUUUAUUUUUGUAUUUUUUUCAGAGCUCAAGGAGUGUUCCUAUGCAUAUGCAUCUUGUAUCAAUUAAUGCUGCUUUGGCUUCUUUUCUUUUUACUUAUUCAUGCUGUGUAAUCACUAAUACUAGAGACAAAAAGGGUAUUCAAAUCAAAAGCAGCAAAAACCAUUAAAUAGAAUCUGAGUUCUAAAAGAUAACUUGGUAAUCAUAAAAUCAAAAGGAUAAAGCAAAAUGGAAAAAAAAUAUUAGGAAAACUUAUUAGGACCUUGAUGCAUUCCUUCCCGGUCUUUUCAUUAUCAACUACGACUGCAUCCAUAAAUUUACCCAUAGCAACGGUAACAGCUAGGUUAUACUUCUUUUGUGUUGGCCUACAAAGAUCAGUCAUGCGACCAUGAACUCCUUGAAACAGGCGUUUCAGAGUCUCAACAGCCUGAGACAACCUAACAUCUCUCUCAUUCUCAUAUCUAUCAGCCUUCAAUUCACGUAGUUGAUUUUCUAAUUCACCAAUUUUUAACUUCAAAUUUUCAUAUUUUUUCCUGCAGAUCAAAAGUAGAACACACCAUUACAAAAAUAGCAUCGGCAAAGUACUUUAACGCAGUGGGAAGCUUUAACAAUUUUUUUUAAAAAAAAAAGCAUUGAAUAACAUGUUGAAUUACUUGGAAUCACGAUGUUUGUCCUGCAUCACGCGUAGUUCUUUUUUCAAGUUUUCAAGGCCAACUUUAUUUUUUGCAGAAUUAUCAAGAAUUUUUUCAAGCCUUGCUCGCAUCUGUUCUUCCUGUGAAUUCAGUUCAGACUCCCUGUUUCUUAACUGUUGAAGAUUUUCUUCUAAGUUCUUUUGAGCUUCACUAUCAGCAUUUAGUUUCCUAUCUAGAAGCUCCUUUUCCUCUCUAAGCUUUGCAGUUUUCAUCCCAGCUUCCUCUUUGCUGUAAUGCAGCAUCAUUAUUACAAAUUCCAAAACAGAAAAAUGUAAUAACAAAUUAAAAGUUAACAUGCAUGAUAAGUGAUAACUACAAAGUACUGACAAAUAAAUUUUUAACUGCUCAGGGAGAACAAAUAGGCUACCAGAAGACAGAAUUGAUGAAAUUCAGAGCAAAUUAUGAAAAAAAUAUUUUUGUUGCUAAUAAGGAAGUUCCAAUUGAGAACACAUGGACAAACUGCUAAUGAGAGGUAAUUGGUUACUGAAUGAAAUACCAUAUACAAGCAACACCAUCUACACAAUUUUGGCUGAUAUUAGUCAAAAUCACCAUGAGUAAAUGUUCCAACUUCUGGCUAAUGACACUUGUUUUCUUUUUCCUUUUCAUUUCUACAUUAUCCAACUAAUGCACAAUUUUAACCCACAUAAAAUAAAGGAUUUUCCUUCAAGUAACAGAAAAUAAUAUACAGAAUUAGCAAAAUAGUUUUACCUUGUAUCCCUAACAGUCUAGCUCACAAAUUAUCUCAACAGAUCGGAAUAAUCAAAUAACAUGAGUACACAGUAUAGUGGCAGACAUGAUUUUAAGUGCACGCCAAAACUCAAUAGCAUUAAAGUUUUCUCUGAGCACAAUGCAAGUAUUCUGUUUCCUAAAAAAAGGAAAAAAAUGUAUAUAUAUACAUAUAUAUAUAUAUAUAUAUAUAUAUAUAUAUAUAUAUGUAUGUAUGUAUAGAGAGAGAAAGAGAGGCAGUAGUUGGCAAACAUCUACAUCAAAUAAACACUCACAUGCGAAAAUAUUCUUCCAAGUCAUUGCCUUGCAAAUCAAGCUCGUCAUCAACAUCUCGUCCCUUUUCCUGAAGGUCUGCCAUUUUGGCUGUAAGAUCCUGGAUGUCAUUCUGUAGUAAUGCUAUAUCAGCAUCAUGCUUCGUUCGUUCAACCUUUUUUUUAUCAAGCUCUUUCUUCCCUUUUUUAAUUUUUGAAGUGAUACGAGUCAUUUCCUCCUUUAACUUCAGAAGCUCAGGUUGCUGCCAGGAGGGAGGCAAACCAGAGAAACAAUCCCAUAAACUAUUCAGUGUAUAGCGUAUUUCAUAGCAUAACAAAUACAAUCAACGAUAGGAUUAUGGGAACAACUAAAAGAUUUUAGCUAGAUGAUUUUCAGGUACUCCCAAAUCUUUUUAUCUCUAUUUUGUGUCUAAAGGAGUUGCUAUCUUUACCACCCAAGCUAUUCACAGAUUAACAAAACCAUUUUCCAAAUCUUAAAAUUGCAAUUUUAAACCCAGUUUUCUUCAAAAUAAAUAUGACCAGAAGCAACAAAGUUCAAAGAGUAGAACAUAGAAUCGACCUAAGUAAAAAGUUCAAUUGCUGGAGUUGAUAAUAGUAUGAUGACAAUGAUCUUAACUAUAACCCCACCGCAAAUGUAGAAAAAACACUUACACUCUUGUCAAGCUUGUUGCUUUUCUCAGCAAUUCUCUUUUCACGUAGUGCAAUCUCUUUCAGAUAUUUGGCCUGUUCUUUUUUCUUUUUACUAGCUUCACUUUCGAAGUAUUCUAGUUCUUUAACAACACCUUCACGACUUUUUUCCUCAUCUUCAAGAUCCUUAAUUGUUUCAGCAUAAUCGUUGUGUAUAUUAAACAACUUCCACAAGAAAUGUUCUCCCUUCAUAGAUUUCUGCAAGAGAAAAAAACAAAGAGAUACUUGAAAACUUCACCUGCCACAAUAAGUCUGAUGACUGAUCAAGAUCAAGAGAGAAAAUGCAUGAAAUGGUGGUCUAGGAAGCACACAUGACUCCUAGUUGAAAAUGAAGUAGAAAUGUCGUCCAGCAAUGUAAUCAUAUUUUUUCUUCAGUUGAAAAUAAAAAAAAUAUCUAUAGGUACUUAAUAGUGAUAUAAUUAGCCACCAAUUUCAACCACUGCAGGGGUUGUCGAAAACUCGGGUAGAAAGAUUAUUUAUCAAAGAAAUUAGAAACUAUACACCCACACAAAGCCUAAGCAAUUCCAAUGAAGGGGAAACAGAUACAGGGGACAGGUAGAGGUCACUAAAAGCGGAACCUAUAAUUUUUUGUCAGUAGCCUUUGGAUCUUCAAGAGAAAGUUCCACUUUCAAUCAACAAUCUCUAUCAAGUAUCAAACCAGGUCAAUGGAGCAAUGGAGGAAGGAAGAACACAGAAAAGCAGUGAAGUCGUGGAAGUGUUGAUGUAAGAAGGGUAAUAGGAAAACUGAAAGUGAAACUCUUACUUUUUUUACUUUUUAUAGUUAAUAGAAGUACCACCCUGCCUUGGUCCAAUUAGCCAUGUGGCAGAAGAAAGUACAAUAAAAACAUAAUCUUAAAGCUAAACCAAGCAAAUGAAACUACAUCAAACUAAAACAGGCCAAUUGGAACAACAGGCAACCUACACCUACACACAUACACAACAAGCAUAAACAAACAUAAAUUGAAACAGAUCCCAUUACCAGUUCUUGUUGCAGACAGAGAUGCUUCUCUGCUUCUUCCUUCUGUUCUUUCUUCUGCUUUCUCUCCAUAACCACAGUCUUCUUUUUCUGAUAAACAAGUGCUGAUUUUUCCUCAGCAGCACCUUUUUCCUCCUCAAACUGCUCAUAGUCCCUCUUGCACUCGUCAGAGCCGGAUAUCUGUUCCACCAGUGCAGUGAGCUCUUUGGGAUUCUUCGACGCAAUAGACUCCACAUCACCCUGCACAAUUUACCAUUGUCAAUUGACACCUGUAACAGAUAUAGGCCAUGCUUGGAUAAACUUCAGUUCAGAGUCUAAAAUAGCAUUGCUUUAGUGCCAGAGUGGAGCGGCUACAAGGGCCACCAUAGCGGAGCAUUUCAGUGUAACAGCUGUAGUGGACCAAAUAGCGUCUGUAGCAGACAGGAUAGUGGCGCUAUGAGUUGUUUCCAGAAAAUUCCUUUGAAUAGAGAAUUAGGGCUUUUUUAGGGGGAUAUUCUUGGGAUUUCAAUUUCCAAAACGAAAUGUACAACUAUAAUAGGAGUGAAAAUGAUAAAGAAGAAGGCUUAGAUUUUAAAGAUGAUGAUUGAUGAUUCCUAUCUAAGAAACUAGUAUUUGACCUUUGUUGAUAUUAAGUUGUUUGUUUUGCUUAAGGUCCCUAUUAUGACUUUUUACUGUUAAUUAUGAAUUAUGAAUGUCAUGAUUUUUUGAGAAUUUAUCUCUGUAUAAUAACUAACAAUAGAAACUAUCCCACUCUAGCAUUUUUCAGGGAUAUAAAAAACGCUGCCUCUCCAUAGAAACUUAUAUUCACCUCAAGCUUUUGGAGAAGUAAAACAAUAGAGCUUCAACAAAAGUUAAUUGCACAAAAAGGGGAAAAGAAGCGAAGCAGAACCUGAAAGACCAAGAAAUUGCGAGCUUUGACGAGAAUGCCGAGGGACUUAAGUCUGUUGUUGUAGGUGUCCCAAUUGACAAGGGAUUCGUCGAUGCGGUACUCGCUGGCGCCGGCGCUGGUGAUGGUGCGAGUGAACUUGAUCUCGGUGGAGUUGGCGAGGUGGUAGACGAGGCGGACGAAAGCUCUGCGGCCUUUCUGCUCCUUCUCGCGGUCGUCGAAGGCGUAGAUGAGGUCCUUGAGCUGCGCGCCACGGAGCUGGCCGGUGCGGACGCCGAGGACGAAGCUGAUGGCGUCCAUGAGGUUGGACUUGCCGGCGCCGUUGGGGCCAAGGAUGGCGGUGAAGUCGUAGAAGGGACCGAUCACUUGGAAGCCCUUGUAGGACUUGAAAUUCUCCACCUCGAGGCAGUGGAUUUUGCCCGGGGAGAGUAGCGACGGCAUCGUGAAGUUCGUGCGUGCGUGCUCGGAGUGAAACUGUGAAACCCUAGGUCGAAUCGAAGGUGCGGUUCCGGCAAGGGUGGAGUGAGGUUAGGGUUUGGAAUUGAAUGGGGGAGAGGGGAAAUUGGCGGGAGAAGAAACCCUAAGAGAGAGUAGAGUGCGUCGUUAGUCGUUACGUAGCCAGUAGAGAAAGAAUGACUUAAAGCUUUAACGCGAUAGAAAGAGGCUUUGAUAUACUCACUCAACCAAAAAAAUAAAACAUAUAAUUGACUUAUUGUUAUGAUUAUAGACUUAAUUAUAUAUUUGGUCUUUCAAUUAUAAUUUAAAAUUUAAUUUAGUUAAUCAUUCAUUAAAAUGCUUAAUUAGGCUUUAAACGUAACAAUCAUGUGAUUUUCGUUCAAUUAUAACUUUUUCUUUUGUGAAUGAAAGGGGCUUAAGAAACAAACUAGAAUUCCCAAUGUUUGCCGAGAAUGAGAAAAUAACAUUUUCAUAUGAUCACGUAAUAGUCCACCAGCUACAACUUUAGUAAUUAUAACUUAUACCAUUAAAUUCUAAUUUGGGGCGAGUUAAAUUUGUAAAUAGUGACGGCUUAAAAAUAGAAUUAACUUUCAUAUGAUCACGUAAUAGCCCCAGUUUAACUAUUAUAAUUUAAAAAAACCAUAGAUUUUCCUAAAUCAAUUUCAAUCAGAACCUAACCAUCCCCCAAUUAACACACUCAAAACCCUGACUACCUCAAAUCAACACAAUCAGAAUCCUAACCACUACCAAACCAACACAAUCAGAACCCUAAUCACCUCAAGUCAACACAAUUGGAGCACAAUCAUAAAAAAAAAUUGGAAAAAAGCAAAUGGGUUGUCGUCGUCUAAUUCUCCAACCCCAACACCCACCCAUCCCCUUCGUGAACACAACUUAAGCUCACAAUGGAGCAAAUUUGGUUCAUUGUUUUAGGAGGUGGAUGCAUCAUAUCUGGACUUGUGGUUUAGGUUGCGUGCGGAGGUUGGUGGAUUUGGUUUGGGUGGUGGGUGCAAAUCUGGGUUCCUGGGGGUGCGGUGGUGGUUGGUGGUGUGCGCAGACAAUGGAGCGCGAUUGUGUGGUUGGAGGUAUAUGCGUGGAGUUUGGAUCUUUGCGGAGGUUGAUGGUGCUUGUUUGGGCUGAGUGUGGAUUUGGGUCCACAGAGGUUGUGGUGGUUUCUGGUGGUGCGCGGUGGUGCUUGUUUGGGCUUUGCGGAGGUUGGCGGUGUCGUGGUUGCGGUAUGAUGCUGGCAAUGUCAUGGGUGGCGGUACUAGUCAUGGUUGUGGGUGGUUUUUUAGGGUAGAAGGUUAGAGAAAGCAAAAGAAAGAGGUUGACUGUAAGUCAACGUGAAAUUUUUUACAGAAAGGUUAUAAUUAAUGCGUUUUUAGAACUUAAUUCAACAUUUUAAUAAUUAAUAGAUCAAAUUGAACUUUAAAUCAAAUGUAUAAUUAAGCUAUUGUUGUAUUAUAAAGGUGAUUAAGUUUUUAGUCUUUUGAAUUUUUUAAAAUUUUGAGUUUUAGCUCUUAAACAAAAUUUAAUCUUUUAUUAUGUUACAUGUUUUUUUAAUGCCAUGUAAAGCUGGAAUAAGUCCCUGAAAAAUUGUAGCAAAGUAGUAAAUACUUCUGGACUAGUCCCUAACUUAUGUCAUUAACUUCAAUUAAAUACCUAACUUAUGAUAACAAUUGCAAAUCACACCAUGUCAUACCUUUUGCAUGUCUGACAUGAAAUUCCACCCAUUCUGUAUGUAAUCCCCAAGAUCUUCAUGCUACAAAGUUAAAAACCAUUUCCAAUUGUCUUUGUUCUCAAUGUCCACAACAGCAUAAGCAAUAACAUAGAUGUGGUUAUUGCCAUCAAGCCCAACAGCAGAGAGCAAGUUUCCUCCAAAUGCACUCUUUAGGAAACAUCCAUCUAGACCUAUGAAUGGUCUACAUCCAGCAACAAACCCCUUCUUACAGCCAGCAAGACAAAUAUAUAGCCUCUGAAAUUGUGGUGGACCUUCUGGACUUGGCACUGUGUUGAUCUUAACUGUUGAUCCAGGAUUGCUCCUCAACAAUUCAUGUGCAUAAUCAAAUACUUUGGCAUAUUGUUUCCUCUCAUUCCCUUCCACUAAUUGCUUUGCUUCUUUCAUGGCUCUCCACAUCUUUGUAACUUCAAUGUGCACUCCAAACUCUUGCUUGAAAUAUUCCAAAGCUUCAACACAUUUAAGGGUUGGCUGCAUUCUGAGUUUGCCCUCAAGUUUACUGACCACCCACUGUCUAUUUGCUUGUUUGUUGUUCACUUCUCUGCAGCAAUUAUGGUUAUGCUUAAAUGUCUUUAUCUGAAAAGAGUUUCUAACUUCAUUCUUUGCACAGUAGAUUUCCCAAUCACAAAAUGCCUUCUUGCAUUUUGCUCUAGCCCUCUGUUUAUCAUUCUUCUUCCACUUGAACUCCCUGCCCAUCAAUAUGCUAUACUCCCUCAAGGCAGAUUUAAAUUCAUCUAGAGUACCAAACUCCAUCCCUAAUUCCAACUUCUGUUCACCAACUCCACUACUUUGACUAUAUUGAGGAUAAACUUCAGGAUAUUAAGCUCCUCUGAAUGAUAACCAUCUGUCUCAACUUCAGCUUCAACUUCAUUCAACAUACAAGAGCCUUUCCUCCUCACUAUCAGCAACAUCUCUCUCUUCACCAUCAGCAUCUCUCUCCUCACCAGCUUCAGCAUCCCUCUGCUCACUACCAUCUCUUUGCUCACCAGCAUCAGUAUCCCUCUGCUCACUACCAUCUCUUUGCUCACCAGCAUCAGUAUCCCUCUGCUCAUCAUCAUCCCUCUGCUUACCAGCAUCCGUCUGCUCACCAGCAUCUGUCUGCUCCCCAGCACCAACAUCUGCAUCAAUGGUCAUAAAGUAAAAAUUAAUCAUAUUAAUUAAUUAUGGUAACCAUGUCGGACCAAGUACAGAUGAAUUAAAACUUACCUUCCUCAUGGCCAGCAACAGGUACAUCAUCUAAAUCAUCCUCAUUCUCAACAGCUUUUCGAAUUGGAUAACAUUUCAAGUACAACAUUUGUGGGACUUCUUCUAAAAUUGGAUCUACUUCAUGAUGAAAAUAAACAUUUAUCUCAUUCUCAUUUUCAAAAGCAUCCCUAACUAAGUGUAAUAUAUCUCCAUCAGUUGUACAACUCCUUAACCCAUGAUUAAAAUCUAAGUCCUUAUCAAUCAACCAAAAACAUUCUCCUAUAUUACUAUACUUCUUACAAGCUUUCACCAGAUCAUAUAAGAUAAAUGCAUUCAGGCAAUCUGCAGAUAUAUCCUCCCAAACGUCAAAUUCUCCGCCUAUAUAUUCAACCUUUCCAUCACUGGCACGUGGAGUGAAUCUUCCUCCAUGGUGCAAUACUAAAGUUAUAUUAUCAUUCAUUCUACACAAUCAGAAACCGCAAACAUGGUCAGAUAUUAGGAAAUAAAAAAACCUACCUCAAAAAGCGCGAAGACAUUGACAUUGUCAAAAACCGCGAAGACACAAUCAAAAACCAAAAACAUUGUCAUCUAUAAAAACAGAGCAUCAUAAACGAAAAUAAUAAACGAUCAUAAACCUCCCUACGAAGCGCGAAGACAAUGCCGCAAAUGAAACCCCUCGAACAUGUAAAACCCCAAAUCAAACCACCAAAACAAUGCAAACGAAUUGAAUGAAACCACCAACCUGACAAAAAGCGCGAACCCUCAAUCACGAGAAUGCAGGGGAGGGAAGAGCAACAGUGAAAGGGAAAAUGGGUUUACUUCAUUUUUGAUUUCUUUUAAACCUAAUUUUUCAAUUCAGUCCUUGCCUUGUCACAUAAUAUUGCUGACUUGGACUCAAACCUGCCACAUUGGAUGCUUACAUUUGCCAAAUAGACAUUUGACUAACGGAGGAAAUUAGAUUUUAACAGCAGAGACUUAUUUGCAUAACGGAGGUAAAGUUAGGGACUAUUAUGAAUUAAAAUUUAAGUCAGGGACUAAUAUGCAAAGUGGUUACAAUAUCAGAGACUAAAUUGCCUAUUCACUCAAAUAUAAUGAGACAUGGGGCGUAAAUAAUUUUGAUGAAGUCAACAAGAAAAUAACAUGAAAAAUUAAAACAAAAAAAAUAUUUGACGACGAACAUCCAUACAAUACUACCAGACAGGUAAAGAGAGAAGAAAAAGAAAAAAAUAUAUAAUUAUAAUAAAAUAAUAAUACAUAAAUUAUUAUUUAUAAUAAUACGGUAACCUCGUUUUGACCGACGCAAGCGGUACCAUGAUCUGGGCAACCGCAAUCCUCUCCUCGUCACAACAACUACACCUAAAGCUAAGAAACAACGACAACCUCGUUCUCCUUGCUUUCAAAUCCACCAAUACCACCAUCAUUUGGCAAAGCUUCGAUUCCCCAACGAACACCCUUCUUACUCUCCAACCACUCACGGAGCGAGCGAGCUUCGUUUCCUCGAGCAGCCAUAGUGUUACUAGAUGAACCUUCCAGUUCAUGUUUGGACCUUUGUUGGCCAUUGCUGGAAAGGAAGAAUUUCCAGAGGUCCAUUCCUAGAGCUAUGCCCCAAGGCUUUGAAGGUAUCUUGCAGAUGCUUCAGAACCUGCAGCUAAUGAUUCAAAUGGCUGAAUGAGAGCAUCAAUAUCAUCAUUCCCAUCAUCAAUGGCAACUUGCCCACUACUUGAUGUCGAUUGAUCAAGAAAUGUUUGCUCUGCAUUAGUUGUUUCCAAACUAGCUUCAAUGCCCAUAGAAAGUUGAUUUUCAGUAUCACGACGAAACGUACGACCUCUUCCACGGCGUUGCUCAUGUUCAUUACCAUGUUGAAUGUGGAAUGUGGAAUGUGCUGAAUCACAAGAGAGGAAGGGAUUUGAGAUUUUGGUGUCCCGUCAUAUAUACUUUAGUGCUAAGUUAGAUAGUGUACAUAGUAUUAAAAUUAUCAUAUCUCACUAACAACGAAUGAUUAUUUUACAAAACUUAAGAUAAAAAUAUGGACUAUUUUAGAUUUUUUAUUAAGUUAGAAUUAAUAUGCAACACAGUCGGAACUAAAUUAUUUAUUUACUUAGAAAAAAAAAUACAAAAUUUAUCUAAUCUUUUGGAUCAAUUUUUAACUAAUAAACAAUAUGAUAAUUAAUUUUUUGAAUCUAUUUAAUUAAAAAUACUACAAUUCCGUGCCUCUAUAAAUUUGUGGGUUGAUUAAAGGGAGUAGUUAUAAGAAUAUUUGUGGAUCAAUAUAAAAAAAGUAUAUAUAAAAACAUCAUAUUAUUCUCUAUUCUCAACAUAGAUUAUAAAGGAGAAAAGGGGGGAGAGGGUGGGUAUUGCCUCACACACACAAACACAACAGUGUCUGCUGCACCCUACAAUGGUUUCGCUACCAACAUGGUUUCGCUACUUUCACCACAAGGUCGGAUACUCCGUUUCCCUCGCCGUGAAGGUUCUUCUUCCCUUCCUUUACUCUCUCACCCUUUUUUUUUUCUUUUUUUUAUUGUAAUUUUAUUCUUCCUGAUAAUUGUCAAUGGUAGUCGUUUAUAUUUGUUGUAAAGUUUUCCUACUUUUAAUUUGCGCGAUUCCUGCUUAAUAAAAGGAAAAUAGAAAGCGGUGUGCUUGCUAUUACCCUUGUUUAUUAUUUGGUGGAGAAAUUUCAUUUGUGGGAAUAUCUGGAUUUUAUGAAGAGCGAAAGAGAUUAGAAUUGAAAUUGAAAUUUGCUUCGUUGUCAAAUGGUAUGGUGUUCUGCAUAGUGUGUUUGUAAUGUUUUCGUUUAGGUUCUGGUUUUUAAUGUUUUCAGUCUAGUCCAGAUCAUGCUCGAUGGUCGUGUUAGAGGAUUUUGCAACUGGUUGUUUCAUUGUGUUGUUAAGGAGAUCAUCACUUGUAAAUGAAUGCGAGUCGGUAUGGGUGUGAUGAUAGAAUCUCUCAUUUGGAACAUACGAGUACGUUCCGAGAAUGAUGUUUUUUUGUAAUUGUUAGUGGGAAUUAAUGAUUGCAAGUACAUUUAAAACUGUUUAUUUUGCUGUUUAAGUGUUCGGCAUGGUAACGAUGAUGAGAAAGUUCUGUAAUUUGGGUCUAGGGUAGGAUCCUUCUCAUAAUUUGUUCUAAUAACUUGUCUUGUUUAUUUACAAUGAGAUCUUUGCUCUUAGUUCAUUCAAAAGUUCUUACUCAACAUGAGACCUUGUUGAAUUCUCUGUCAAUAGGCACUCUAGCUUGUAUGUUAAUUAGAUUUGGGGAAAAAAGAUUAAUGAAUGGAACAAAAUUUGCUUGUCCUCAAAUCAGGAGCCGUGUAGUUUGAAAUAAAUCAUAUUUGGUGUUCUCGUAGCAAUAGAAUGGUGGCUGAAAUAUUUAAGCUGAGAAAUUUAACUUUUAUUUAUUACAACAAAGUGAAUAAGGGCUUGUUUGGAUAAACUUAUGAGGAAGGAAGGAAAAAUGAAAUAAGCUUCCCAUAAGCUAAAUUUAGCUCAUGCAUAAGUUAAAAAUAAGUUUUUGAGGAAGCAAAUAUGUCAGAGCUUCUACAAAUUAGCUGAUGCAAAAGCUAAUUUUUCAUUCCUAUUUUCUUCUCCUACUAGUGCUUAUGGAGAAGUUUAUCCAACGGGUCCUAAGUUUAACUGUAUGUCUAAACUACCUUGGAUAAGAAGAAAUCAUAACCUUUCAAACAAAACUCCUUUUGUUUUAUUUAUUUUCUUCUGUACAUUGGGUAUUGUUCAAGCAAUAGGUCUUCUCCACUCCCUUUUAAAUUUAUGCAGUGUUAACAGAGGUGUUGGUGGCUUGGAAACCAAUUUCUAUCUUAUUUUAUGAAAAUUAAGGGAAACAUUGGAUAAGAGGCAUUGGAGGGCAUGUGAUUUCCAAGAUUACGCUUUUAUCUUGAAAAGGCUAAUCUAUUGGUUGUCAAUCAUUUCAUCCUAAAGAAUGACAUUUAUAGGAAUAUUUUUCCUUGUAGUUUAAGUUCUACAACUGUGCCAGUGCAAGGUUUUCCUGUUUUCCUGUUUUCUAUAACUGUUUAUCACAUUGUCAGCACUUAUAAAUCCCCUCCUCUGAAAUGAUUUUUACUAUACAAUGUUUAAUGUGAACAGAACAAUAAAGGAGAUCCAAUCACAGCCAGAGAGAUAAAUGAUGCUGUUUGGAAAAACUUCUUUCUAGGAAAGCUGACAUACUUGCUCUGGAAUAAAGGAGAGGAGAUGGCCCCUACUAUUGAUGGAAAAGCAGUAACUCUUGUUCGGAAAUUACCAGCUGUAGACCCAACGUAAUUUCAUACACUAUCCUUUUGUGCAAAUCUAUUGACUGUUAUUGCUAGUUGUUUGAUAUUGGCCUUCUAAAGCUAGAGAUUCAAUAUACAUGUUUUACAUAAGAAGCUUCUAUUUGCUUUAUAUGCCUUUCUUAGACUCUCGGUAUGCUGUAUCUUCUUCUUGGAUAGCUGUGCAACCCUUGCUUACAAACUCUUUCAGUCACUUAUUUUCUUUUCAAUGUCUGUUGAGAUAGAUCCCACUUUUUUUACAUCUGGCCCAUCAUAUAUUUGUCGUAGUGAACUCUUGAAAAUCUUUUCUCUUGUUAAAUUAUAGUUUAUCCGCUGCCACUACUGAACAUCUGUGUAACACAAUUUAAGUUUACCCACUUUAUCUUGACAACAUUAAAUAGUACAUCAUUUCGGUGCUGUGUCCAUCCAAAAUAGCAGAAUGGCAUAGAAAUAGAUAUCAUCUGGAGCUUAUUAUUUAGUGUAUUAUCAUCUCCAUUUUUGUUAUGAUAGUCUGGGUUCUUUGACAGGAGUGUUUUUGUAGGAGAUGUUGUGGUUAUGAAGGACCCUGAGAAGCCAGAUAACUACCUACUCAGAAGAUUAACUGCAAUUGAAGGCUAUGAAGUGGUUUCUACUGAUGAAAAGGAUGAACCCUUUAUUCUUGAGAAGGAUCAAUGCUGGGUAGAGGCUGAAAAUGAAAAAUUGAAUGCCAAGGUAAAAGCUGCCUAACUUUGCUAUCCCUAGGUGGAUCAUUAUGCACCUCUGCCACAAUUUGAACAAUAUUAUUGUAUUAAUGUCAUAGUAAAAGUUUUAGAUUAAAACAUCAUUUAUCAAGCAAUGAGUUAUCAUUGAUAUACAAGUAUUCAAGUUGAUUACAUACUCUUAGUCAUUUAAACUUUCUGAAAUCAGUGUGUAAGAUUAAUUUGAUAACUAGAUUGUUACAGAAGAAUGAUAAAUAGACCCUCAAUAGAUUGAUUGGUUAAAAUAAUUUUAUAUGAUGAGUUAGUAGAGGUGAAUUCACCUAAUGAGGUAAGACUUUUGUUGUUUGUUGUUGACUUAGUGGAGUGUAAGCCAGUACUUACUUUUGUCAACAAUUCUGACACUAUUGACUGGAUCCGGACUUAUUUUUCUGUUAAACCCCCUCUUUUUAAGACAUAAAAAUGAAAGACUGUAGCUUAUCAUGGCAAUUCAGUCAAGCAACUUUUGGAGUUCAGUGUAUGAUAUGGCUAGAGGUCGUAUAUGUUAGCAAGUUUGACUUGAUUCCCCAAGUGGAAAUGUUCAAUCCAUGUUUUAAUUCAUUCAUGACUUUUAUUUUUCUGGUAAUACCAAAAUUGCUUAUUCCUAAACAAUAACCAUGGUUGUAACCUGUAGAAGAAACAAAAAACACCUCUAACAGAAGAAAAAGAAAUCACCCACUAACGAUUUUUAGUGAGACUCUCGAUAUUUGAUUAUUUUCUAUGUAGCACUGUAUGGUUAAGUGAGAACUGGGGAUAUACUUAAUUUGAACCUCAUAGAUUUUCUUACAGCUUUGGAAUUUUGUUAAGUGACCAAAUUAUCUUUAAACUUCAAAGUGAAUGUUUCCACAAAGGCUAGUAAAUCUGCUGUAAUAUUUUUGCUAUGCUUUUCCCUCUAUAAUUGCUUGUAGAACACUAGGAACAAUUCAUUGUUUAAUGCUCCCAACCCAAAUGGCAGGAAGCGAAGGAUAGCCGAACAUUUGGUCCAGUUCAGAUGACAGACAUUGUAGGCAGAGUCAUAUAUUGCCUGCGAAGUGCUGUAGACCAUGGCCGUGUACAAAACAGGUGAACUAAAUUUCUUAGGCUAACUAAACUAUCAUGAACAAAAAAUGGGGAUGCUCUUUUGAAUUGAUUGUUGAUAUAUUUUACCCCUUAACCAGUGAUUUCGGCAUGCGAAACGAUACACCAGUGCUGGAAGUGGAACUUGAUGUUGAUGAGAUGGCAAAGAGUCACAAAGCCUGAAACAUUUUUCCCAAGAAACACUAACUAGUUUACUUUACGCAUGCCUUAGUUUCUUCUUGUGGAUUUUCCUUGAAGCACAGAUUGAAGAAUAAAAAAAUAUGAUUUUUAAAUUGUUGCAAUGGGAUGAUGGUGUUAUGUGGAUGUCCUCUGCAUGCUAGGCAAUUGGCUGCGGCCUGUGUUAAAGCUUGAGUUCAACAUUAUUGUAUGCUAAGUUCUAGCAAGGACUCCUCUGCCCUUUGUUCUAUUCAUUUGGCUGUAAAAUUGACCAAGUUUUGGUCUUUUUUUGUUAAUGGUCGAGGAAGAUAAUAAAAGAUGCUGCGUUGUUAGAAAUAAUGCUUUCAGAUAUUUUCAUUUUGUGAAGACCUAGUGCCUAGACUGAGUGUUCACUUCUUGCCAUAUUGUCUUUCUAGGGAAUAAUCCUUGAUAUCCGUUCUCUUUAGUCAGUUGAGUGAAAAAGAACGUUUAACUAAAAUUUACCUGGAUCACACGCACAAACUUUUAAGUCACAAUUUAUGGUUAAUGACCUGCAUUAGAAUGAUGCUUGCAAAGGUGGAAUUGAUUUCUUGGAUCCUCUGUUGAGACUAUAGAUUAUCACUUCACAGACGUUUAUGGUAAUUGGUAAAAUUCCAACGUAAUAAAAAAAUACUCAUUUUUUUAUCCACACUUGAAAUUAAGACAAUUUUUUAUUUAUCAUUUUCUAAUACGCAAAGUGCUCUUAUAAAUAUUUUUUAAAUUAAUUAAGUUUCUUUGUGACAUUUUCCUUUUUUAUUUAUAUAUGUAUAUAAUUUUAAAAAAGUUAUCACCUAUGCUCAAUUUUACCUUUUUAUAUUAAAUUUUGUUCUUUUUGUUCUCAAAUAUAAACUGAUAUAAUGUUUUUUUUUCUUUAAAUUUAAGUUUAUUAUUGCGUGACUUAUAAAUUCUGUAUUUUUUUUCUUUUAAAAGUUAACCCAUCAUUUUUUUCAAUUUUAAAUUUUAAUUGCUUUGAAUUAGUUAUGACUAUAUAUAUAUUUAUGAUUUUAUAUAUUUUAUUUUAAUAAACAAAGUAAACCUUUAAUUGAUAUUUUAAAAUAAUAUCCAAUACCGUGUUAUAUUACAUAUUCUGGGUCAUUAAAUUAGUUCUUUAAUGAUAUUAAACGUGAUAAAAAAAAGUUGUUAUAAAUUUAUUCCUAUACUAUAGAUUAAAAUAUUUAAUUGUCAGCAUUACGUUUAAUUGAGUAAGACUGCACUUUAAAAUUUACUCAUAACACAACAAAACUUAAAUAACAUGAAUAUACACAAUGAAAAUUAAAACAAUUGGAAACACAGCCAUAUAAUAAUAUGACAUGAGACCACAACAGGAACACUAGAAAGUUGAAAUACAAGAGAGAGAGCGUAUCGAUCACGCAACACAAACUUUUGAGUUUCGAAUGUUGUCUCCGUGCUUUGUUGUGUUCAAUGUUUCAGAAUGAACCUCGGUAUAUUGAAUUCUUUAUGAAUUUAGAAUGACCCUUGGAUUUUGAGAAUUCUUAAUGGAUUUAGAAUGACAAUUGAAGUUAUUUAGCCUUGUAAUAACUUGGAAAGAAAAAAGCAAGAAGGAAGAAAGAAAUAAAGGAUGCUCAGGAAACUCAGAAUCAAUAUUGAUUAACUUGCACGAAAAAUUACAAAAACUAUAUCUCCUGUGAUUAUUAGCUAUACACAUAUAUAUAAGAGGAGAAACAAAAGAAAAUAACUAAAUACAGCAAAAUAGAAUUAUAAUAGAAUUAAUAGAAAAAUAGAAGCUAGUUAGAAACAGAAUAGCAGAAGUAGCAAUAGACGCCUUGAUCCAAUACCCCCCCCAUCAAGAUGGGAGGAAGAUGUUAUCAAUACUCAGCUUGACAAUGAUACUAAGAAAUGUAUUUCGGAGUAAGGCUUUGGUAAAAAUAUCUGCAAGUUGGUGGUACUUUCUGACAUGCAUGAGCCUUAAAACUCCUUGAGAAACCUUUUUCCUGACAAAAUGUAGAUCAAUCUCUAAGUGUUUGGUCUUCUCAUGAAAAGUGGGGUUGGAAGAAAUAUGGAUUGAUGCUUGGUUAUCACAGUAGACAACAGCAAAGGGAAUUCUGACAUUGAAAUCAGUGAGUAAAUUUUGAAUCCAUGUAAUUUCACUAGAAACAGAAGUCAAUGAUCUGUAUUCUGCUUCUGCUGAGGACCUACUUAUUGUCUUUUGGCUUUCCAGGAAACCAAGGAAUUCUCUAAGAAGAUACAAAAGUCAGUGGUUGAUCUUCUACUUUCAGGACAUGAUCCCCAAUAUGCAUCCACAUAUGCAUGUAACUUUGUGUCUGAGUUGGCUCGAAAAAGAAUACCUUGACCAACAGUGUUUUUAAGGUACCGAAGUAACAUGUUAGCAGCAUGCAUGUGGUUUGUAUAGGGGUUGGAGACAAAUUGACUUAAUUUGUGCACACAGUAACAUAUAUCUUUCCUAGAUAUAGUUAAGUACAAAAGUCUACCAACGAGCCACCUGUAAGAUCCUGGAUCGGCAAGUUUUGUUCCUGAGUUAGCUGGCAAUUUGUUAUGUGCUUCCAUAGGAAUUGAAGAAGGUUUGCAGGCAAGCAUUUCACAAUCUUCGAGGAUAGACAAUGUGUAAUCUCGCUGACACAUGAAAAUGCCUUCCUUUGAUCUAGAUAGCUCUAGGCCGAGGAAAAAUUGUAGGUCUUCCAAAGCUUUGAGUUUGAAGUGCUCUUUCAAAAUGGUCUUAGUUCUGGAUAUGAUGGCUUGACUUGGGCUGGCCAAGAUGAUGUCAUCAACAUAAACUAAAACUGCUAUGAAAUUAUCUCAUUCUCCUUUAGUGAACAAUGAGUAAUCAUACUUAGAUUGUUUGAAUCCACUUCUGAGUAAAGCAUUGCUAAAAGCAUUGAACCAAGAUCUUGAAGCCUGCUUGAUAUCAGAAUGGAGGCAUAGCAUAAUGUUCCAAAGGUCCUGAAAUCAGCAUAGUUCGGAAGUUUAGCAUAUAAAAUCUCAAAUGGUGACUUGGCUUUCAGAAUGGGGCUAGGGGUCCUAUUCAUCAAGAAAACUGCAGUUUUGACACAUUCACCCCAGAAUUUUAAUGGUAAAUAAGAUUGAAACAGCAAGGCACGAGCAAGAUUUAAAAUAUGUAGGUGUUUCCUUUCUACAACACUGUUUUGUUGUGGGCGUUCCAUACAGGAAAAUUGGUGUAAGACACCUUUAUGUGAAAAGAAAUCUGAAAGGUAAGUUCUCUUGAUGGUGGUUUGAAAUUGGUUUUCCACAUAUGAGAAAAUUUGUGGUACAAUGAAGAGACAAUCAGAUUUAUUUCUGAGAAGGUAAAUCCAAGUGAACCUACUUUUAUCAUCUACUAAAGUUAAAAAAUAUUUGAAUCCAUCAAAGGUAACUUCCCUAAAAGGUCCCCAGAUGUUAGUAUGUAUUAAAUCAAACAAUUCAGCACUAAAAUUGUUUUGGUUAGUGAAAGUGAAUCUGUUUUGUUUAGCAAUAUGGCAAACUUCAUAAUAAAAUUUGGAAUCAAUAUACGAUAUAGGAACUUUAUUGCAAAUCAGUUUGUACACAUGUAUAGGUAUGUGGCUCAAUUUGUGGUGCCAAGUUUCAUAGGUGACAACAUUACAAGAUUGUAUACUAGUAUAAUGAAAAGAAGACUUAGGGAAAUAAAAAAGAAGUAAUCCUUGAUGUUGCCUAGCGGUGCCAAUCCUCCUCAAUGUCUUGAGGUCCUGAAGAACAAAGCUGUUAGGUUGCAUAGUAAACUAGAAAGAAUUGUCAUUUAUCAAAGACCCAAGGGACAAUAAGUUAAAUCUAAAGGUUGGAAUAAAUAACACAUUGUGUAGGAAGAUGUCAUCAUUUAGUUUUAUACUUCCUAUCCCUUCAACCUUUACCUUGGUGGAAUUAGGUAAUAAAACAUGAGAAUCAUGUAAACAUUUAAAGGAAUUAAAUUGUUCUUUCGAGCAACAUAUAUGUGAGGUUGCUCCUAAAUCGAUAAUCCAAUAAUGGUAAGAUUCAUUGAAAUCAAAACUAUUGUUCAUGCAUAUACCUGAAACAUUUAUGGCAAGAGUAUCAACAUUGUUCUCUGUUUUCAAUUGAUUUGUUAAGAAGCUAAUCAACUGUUGACAUUGAGUAAUGGACAAAGUAUUUGUGGCACCUUGACUAGGGGACUCAUCAUGAUCAGUUACCUGAUUUGCAGUUUGCUGAGGCUUGUUCUUGAAGUAACUUGGAGGAUAGCCAAUAAGUUUGUAACACUUGUCUUUUGUAUGACCUAACAAGUUGUAAUGAGCACAUUGAGGUCUCUCUUUCUUAGCAUUUCUACUUUUACCAUUAGUAGGGUUCUUGGUUAUAGAGUUGAUAGCAAAGGCCAUAGUGUUAGAGUUUAGACACAGUAUGUGGUUUACAACAAUUUCUCUUUGUGCUUCUUCUUGAAUAACAAGAGAAAAAACAUUACCAAUGGAGGGAAGAGGAUCAGAGAGGAGGAUUUGACCCCGGACUUGACAAAAUUGGCAUUUAGGCCCAUUAAAAAGGAUAUGACAUAUUCAGAUUCAUUGUAAUCUUGUAGAGUUUGUAACCCGCCACAUGUGCAUUGGAAGGUUGGUUUAUAGCCUGAGAGUUCUUUCCAAACCGAUUUUAAUUUGGUAUAAUAGGUACUAACAUCAUCAUUUCCUUGUUGUAAUGACAUUAGCUGCCUUCUCAAUUGGAAAAUUCUUGGGCCAUUCUUUCGGGAAAAUCGUGUUUCAAAUCGUCCCAAAUUUCCUUAGUCGUGUUUGCAAACAAGAUGCUGCUAAUGAUAUCUUUAGAAACAAAAUUGUAAAGCCAGGAAAUGACAAGAUUGUUACCACGAGUCCAUGCAGCAUAUGUAGGAUUGACUGUGGUUGGCAUCGGGAGGGAUCCAUCGAUGAAGGCCACCUUGUUCUUCACCGAAAGAGCUACCAUCAUUGCGCGGCUCUAUGUGGUGUAGUUCUUGUGGUUAAGAGGCUGGGAGGUAAGGAUGAGUCUUGGGCCAUCCGAAUGAUGUAGAAAUAGUGGGUGAGAGAGAUCUUAACUGGAAUCUUUAACUGGUGCUGCCAUGAAUCCAAACCGAAAAGCCGAUGGGAGAGUGAUUAGGAGAAGAUACAAAGGAGAAGAUCAUAGGACCAUUGAGGAAGAGGAUCGUAGAGAAUGUUGUUCAUUUGAUAUCAUAUUGAAGUUAUUAGCCUUGUAAUAACUUGGAAAGAAAAAAGCAAGAAGGAAGAAAGAAACAAAGGAUGCUAAGGAAACUCAGAAUCAAUAUUGAUUAACUUGCAGGAAAAAUUACAAAAACUAUAUCUCCUCUGGUUAUAAGCUAUACACAUGUAUAUAAAAGGAGAAACAAAAAGAGAUAACUAAAUGCAUCAAAACAAAAUUAUAACAGAAUAACAUAAGGUAGUUAGAAACAAAAUAGCAGAAGAUGCAGAAUAGCAUAGGUAACACUAGAUUCCAUGAUCCAAUAAUGACCCUUGGCGUAUUGAAUUCUUUAUGAAUUCAGAAUGACCCUCAGAUUUGGCGAAUUCUUUACGAACUCAGAAUGACUCCUGGUGUAUUGAAUUCUUUACAAAUUUAGAAUGAUCCUCGAAUUCGGUGAAUUCUUUAUGAAUUCAGAAUGACACUCAGUGUGUGUUUGAAUAAAAAAAUUUAACUGAGAAAAGUAAUUUAUUAGAAAAUUUGAAUUUCUGUAAUCUAGAAUUCAUUGUUUGGAUGUUUUUUUUUGUGAAGAAUUACAACAAAAUUUUAAAUAACUAAAAAUUUGGAAUUUUAAUUUCCUUAUAGAGAAAUUGAAAUUCUCUUGUUACCAUCUUCUCCAAGAAAUACCGUCUGGACUCGUGGAACAUCGAUCGGGUCUAGAGGUAGAAGAACAUGUAAAACUAACACACCAAUCAUAUCUUUUCUUUUUUUUCAUUCAUUUUUUUUCACCCUUAUAAUUUUAAUUUUUUUUAUUCAAACACAAAAAUUUGAAAAUAAAAUAAUUUUAAUUGAAUUAAAUUCCUUCGUCCAAACACAUUCUAAAAUUUAAAAUUUCUCAUGAUUUUAAAUUCCUCCGUUCCACAAUAUUGAAUUCUUCACAAAUUUAGAAUGAUCCUCGGAUUCGGAGAUUUCUCUAUGAAUUCAGAAUAUGACCCUAGCCCAAUGGCAAUUACGAUAUGAAUUUUGCAUUCAAAGUUCGAAGCCUCGAUGACCCUAAUUUGAAUUCAAGAUGAAAUCUUUAUUCCAUGAUCUUGAAUUCUCUAUGAAUUCAGAAUGAUCCUCGGUGACCCUAGCCUAAUGGCGACUGCAAUGUGAAUUUUUAUUAAUAUUUUUGAAGUGGGAAUGAGUCUCGGUGACAGCUUAAUGACAGUUACGAUUAUGAUUUUUUUUUAAUUCAUAAUUUUUAAGCAGGAUUGAAGCCUCUCUGACCCUGAAUACGAUUGCAAGAUAAAGACUGAUGGAAUAUUCAGCCCAUAAUGAUCCUAAAUUCAUAUUUUGAUUCGUUGUGUUAAAUGAGGAUGGUUGGAACGAGUACAUAUGAACCCAAGCAUAACUGUGAUGGUCCUAAAUGCUAUUAUAAUUAUGGAAACAUGAAUCUAAGCAUGUGCCAUGACGCCUGACCCUGAAAGCAAUUUCGUAUUGUUAAAUUGGGACGAAAUGCAUUGUGCCUUAGUGAUUCUGAAUGCAACCUGUGCUUGGGUGUGCUUGAGUUUAUGAUGAUAAAAAAUACAAUAGUACAAUGCAUCUGAGGGUAGUCCUUUUGAUGGCCCUAAUGCAUGUAUGUGCCUUAGUGAUUCUGAAUGCAACCUUUGCUUGGGUGUGCUUGAGUUUUUGAUGAUGACAAAUACAAUAGUACAAUGAAUCUGAGUGUAGUCCUUUUGAUGGCCCUAAUGCAAGUAUGUUCCUUAGUGAUUUUUUAUGCACACAUGAAUCUAAGCAUGUGCCUUGAUGACUAACCCUUAAAGCCAUUCUAAAUGGGAUAGAAUUCACUGUGCCUUGGUGACUCUAAAUGCAAUUGUGACUGGAUCUUUUAUGAUGCUAAAUACAAUUCUACAAUGAAUCUAAGCACAAUCCUCAAUGGUUCUGAAAUGCAAUUACAAUAUGAAAGCAAACAUGAAUCUAAGCAUAUGCCUCGAAGGCUGGCCCUUAAAGUAUAUAAAACUGAGAUGCAUCAAUGGCUUGGGGAAAACCAGACUCGCAAAGUUGUUGUUCAAUGAUAAGACGAUGGAUGAACUUUUCCAAUAAAAGAUGUGGGUGUGUAUCUCUGAUUACUUUGAUAAGAGGCAGAUAAUUAUUAAAAUCAUCAGUUCUGCUUUGGCUUCAGCUCCAACUAGUGCUCUUGCUAACCAAGAAAAUGUUAACAGCUUAGAUAUUAAGCAGUUACAAAUUUAUCUUAGACACAAGCUUUCUGGUCAGAAGUAUUUACUAGAGAUGGAUGCUAUAUGGAAUGAUGACAGUGCAAAAUGGAUAGAGUUGAAAGAUUUAAUAAAAGUUGGUGGAAUGGGAAGCAAAAUCUUGGUGACAAUAAGAAGUAACUCAAUUGCUUCAAUGAUGGGCACUCUUCCCUCCUAUAUUUUAGUAUCAAAUGGGCAUUCACUUUAGGAAGUUCUCUGUUCUUAAAUUUUGAUUUAGAAAGGUGGGAAUUCGUAAGAGACCAUGAGAUAUGGAACUAGAAACAAAAAAAAAAAAAAUGAUGGCAUUUUACCUUCUCUUAAGUUGAGCUAUGAUCAAAUGCCAUCCUAUUUGAAGCACUAUUUUGCUUACUCUUCCCUUUUCCCUAAAGAUUUUGGCUUUGCUGGUGCUCAAAUUUCAAGUCUUUGGGCGGGACUUGGAUUGCUUCGAUCUCCAGUUGGAAGUCGACAGGUAGAGCAUAUUGCAGCACAAUAUAUAGAUGAGUUGCACACGAGAUCAUUUCUGGAGGAUUUUGAGGAUUUUGGCCACAUUUACUAUUUCAAACUACAUGAUCUUGCUCUGUAUGUUGCAAAAGAGGAUCUUCUAGUGGUAAACUUGCGUACUUGCAAUAUACCUGAGCAAGCAAGGCAUUUAUCAGUUGUUGAAAAUGAUUCACUUAACCAUGCUUUGUUCCCCAGGUCCAGAAGUGUGAGAACUAUACUAUUUCCCAUUGAUGGAAUGGGUGUCGGCAGUGAAGCUCUCUUGGAUGCAUGGAUAACAAGAUACAUAUACUUACGGCUUUUAGAGUUAGGUGAUUCCUCUUUUGAGACUCUACCUAAUUCAAUUGCUAAAUUGGAACUUUUGCGCUCUCAAACUUGAAAAUAAUCGCAGAAUAAAAAGGCUUUCUUAUUCUAUAUGCAAACUCCAAAAUUUGCUAUUUUUGUCACUCAGAGGAUAUGUGCAGCUUGAAACAUUGCCUAAAGGAUUAGGGAUGUUAAUCAGCCAUCAACACUUGCAUUUAACCACAAAGCAAUCUAUUCUGUCAGAGGAAGAUUUUGCAAGCUUGAGCAAUGUUCACACUUUAACUUUUGAGUAUUGUGACAAUUUGAAGGUUUCUCCCUAAACUGAAGAUUCUGUCUGUAAGACACUGCAAGAUGCUAAAUCUGUCGUUGAACUGUGAAAGUGCAAUCCAUAAAUUGAGGAUGAAAUUCCUGCAUCUUGAGCAUUGUCCAAGGCAACAGACAUUGCCUCAAUGGAUUCUAGGAGCCGCUGACACUCUGCAGACAUUGCUAAUCAUAAAUUCUCAUAGUCUUAAGAUGGUUCCCGAGUGGCUGACAACAAUGACUCAUCUUAAGAUGCUUCAUAUUGUUAACUGUUCUCUGCUGUUGUGUCUGCCAAGUGACAUGCAUCACCUCAUUGCCCUUUAAGGUUUGAGCAUAGAAAAUUUGAACCACAAUCUGGUAAUUACUGGUCCUUCAUUGCUCACAUCAAACACCUAUCCAUUGGAGAAACAAGAGAAGGGCACCACCUCCUUUUCCGAAUGCAGUCGCCGAUGCGGUUAGUAAAACUAAAAUGUUAGGCACAAAUAUGCAGUCAUGACAGAGGGCACUACACACGGAACCCUCCACCCUCAGCUUCUGGACGUUACUGUAAGCUAUCCACUACUAUGAUCCAAAUCAUUUUCCUUUGAGUUUGAAAUCUCACCCCACAACAUCUUCUGUUCUUAAUUUUGAGAAAAUAGACUAUGCACUGAUAGUAUAAAAUAUAUUCAUUCUAUCACAAGUUUCCGUGUAUGGUUAGUUUGUUAACUGCAUAACUCCUGGUCUUUCUGCUGUGUGCUUGAUUGCUUGCCUUUAAAUCUAGUUUGUGCUGCUUUGUUCAGCUAACAUCAUGUUCUUUUCCAACUAUGUACACAGAUUAAAUAUAGUUAUAUUUUUGAACUGCAUAUUUUGCAUUUGCCACCACAUAUUUAAAUAAGCAUUCCGUAGAAAACAAUCUAUUUAAAUUCCGCACAUACACGUGAAAUGUGACAUUGCCACCACAUAUUUUUAGACAUUAAAAAUCCUUUCGUCUACUCUUUUGACUUAUGUAACAUACUGUUAGAAUUAAUGUAUGUAAGAACUAAUAAAUAAAUAAAUAAUAAUUAAGAACUAAAUUGUAAUUGGGCAUAGGAGAAGUUUGUAGGAUUAAAUGUUAUUUGAUGGGAGUAAUGGUUAUAAAAGGGGUUAAUACCCACUAACCUGAAAUAAGGUCUCCUUUUAGAAAAGUGUUAUCUCUCAUCCAUAGUCACCCAUCACGAACCUAGAGAGACAAAAAAGUCUAAAAAAGUCAAAUCUUAUUUCUCUCCUCUUUCAGAAGGAAAUCAAAUACCUGAGAGAGAAAGUCUUCUUAUGGAGAAAGUACAAGUCUUCCUAUGGAGAAAAGUAUGCAUUAUUUGUUUAAUGUAUUGUUUCCUGUAAUUGAUAAUAUAGAAAAUCACUUAAGAAUUAUACAUAUACUUCUCUCAUUUCACCACUUACUAUACCCCUUUACCAGUUAUUUCAGCAUGCGAAAGGAUACACCGGUGCUGGAAGUGAAACUUGAUGUUGAUGAUAUGGCAAAGAGUCACAAAGCCUGAACUUUUGUUCUUGUGGAUUUUCCUUGAAGCACAGAUGAAGAAUAAAAUGUAUGAUUUUUAAAUUGUUGCAAUGGGAUGGUGGUGUUAUGUGGAUGUCCUCGGCAUGUUAGGUAAUUGGCUAGCUCUUCCCAAGCAGAAAUUUGAAGCUGUCUGUGUUAAAGCUUGAGUUCCACAUUAAUGUAUGCUAAGUUCAAAAUUGACCAAAUUUUGGUCUGUUUUGUUAAUGCUCGAGGAUGAUAAGAUAAAAGGCUGCAUUAUUAGAAACAAUGGUUUCAGAUAUUUUCAUUUUGUUGGCUGCUCAAUGACAAUGAUAAAGGGUUCACAUGCCAUUUGAAUUUCAAGGGCGAUAAUCUUUGAUAUCUGUUUUCUUUUUAGUCAGUUAAGUGAGUUCAUAAAAAAGAAUGUUGAAGUGAAACUUGAUUGAAUCACAGACGCACACAAACGAGUUCUUGUUUUUAUUCUGCGUCAAAAUUUGUGGUUAGUUAAUGACCUGCAUUAACAUGAAGCAUGCAAAGGCGGAAUUGAUUUAUUGGAUCCUCUGUUGAUAUUAUGGAUUAUCACUUCUUCACAAACAUUCAUUCUCGAUUUGGGAGUCAUGUAUUGCCAUCAUGCUAGCUAUGAAUCAUUAUGGCAAUUGCAUGCAUUACUACGAUAUGUUCUUACAUAUUUUGGGUCAUUCGAUUACUUUGUUAAAGAUCUAAAGGAUAGGUUUGAUUGUGUGAAAGAAAAAAGAAAUAUUUAAAUUAAAAUAGGUGUGAAAUUCGUAUUAUAUUUAAAAUUUUUCCCUUGAAUAGUAAUUUCUCUCCCACAAUACAACCACCCCUAAGUGUGAUAAAAAAAAAAGUUACAAGUAAUCUUUUAAAAACUUCCAUAAAAAAAAAUCUUUUAAAAACUAAAAUAAUAAUAUAUUUCUCUAUUGUGUUGAUGUCUUGAUUCUAUGUUGUGUAAGAUCAUCCAUGCAUUUUUCUACAUGUUUUAAAUGGAUUUCAUCGUUACACAAUUUUUUUUUUUUAUUUCUUUACAAUUUAAGUAACUCUUCUCUCCAACCCAACAACUUGAUUAUUUUUACUAAAUGGAUUCCACAAAAACCACACAUCCUUACAAUUCAUCAACACUAAUUAUUACUAUACUAUUAUUAUUAUUUGAUAAAAAUGUAAAAAAAAAAAGAAGUUUAGCAUCGGUGUUUACAUAAACACUUGAUGCUUGAUAAGUUCUUAACUAAAACGAGCUUGAUGAGUGGUUCUUGACAGACGCUGUUUCAUAUUAAGAACCUGGGAUGGAGAUGGCCUAAAUGUGAGAAUAUCACCUAUAAUAAUGCAAAAUAUUAACCAAGAAUUUCAUCAUGUGUAUACAAAAGGCUUUAUUAAAAAAAUGUUAUAUUUAUUUUAUUGAUUUCUACAUCUCAAUUAGCAAAUUCUCUCUCUCUGUAUAUGUACGUGUUUCUUCCUACAUUAUAAAACUCAAACACCACCCCCUUAUCCUUUAAGUCACAACGAAAAGGGAUAUUAUUUGAGUUGUAUGGGUGCAAGAAACUGGUGACUUUCUUAAAAUGAGAAGUAAUGCCAAUACACUCCUCCAUAAUUAUUGGUUAAAAUAUAUUAAAAAUUAUAAAAUCAGGAGAAAAAAUCAUUAAUUAAAUAAAAUAUAAAACCUAUUAAAUUUUUUAAUUUUUAAUAAUUUUUUUUAAAAAAACAUAUGUUAAAAAAAGAGUGUUAGAGAAUAAAACUCUAUCAUUUCUGUUCUUAAAGUGUCCGUUGAGAAAAAAAAGAAACAUAAACAUAUAUUUGCACUACUAUAGCUGCUAUAGCUGUGGUUGGGCCAUUGUUGGCCUUUUUUAAUUGUACUGAUGACAAAAAAAAAUGUCACACGAUUACAAGUUUACCCCUAAAAGAUUACAUAUUUCCGAGAACAUCCCUUAUCAAACAAAAGAACCUACGAAUCGCAUGAAAAGCGGCAUUGAGUGAGAGUGUUCCCUCUCCUCUCUUCUGCUCAAACAAUGUCGCAAACAACGCUGCACGCUUUCGUCGCCAAAAACCUUGGUUAGUGUUCCCUCUUCUUCUCUCUGCUUUAUGAUUCUUCUUUCUCGUUAUUAUAGAAUACAAAACUAAACAAAACCUUAGCCACGCUUAAGUGUUUCAGCUUCAAAACCCCGCCUCAUUUCUUUAGCUUAAAUUACAAAUUAAACACUAGGGGUUUUUCAAUAUCUGUUUCUAGUGACAUAAUUUUUUGUCCUUUUUCAAUGAAAUCCGUAGCUUUAUGAAUUAUGAUUGAAAGUUUCUUUUUUUUUUUCUGUUGUUUUUAGUGGUUUCUUAACCCCACCAUGUAUGUUGUUACUUGUGUUAUUGACGUGGCUAUUAAGGGGAUUUUGAGGCUUCAUUCUUUUGGGGAAAAUGAUAUUUUGAGUUUGGGUUGAUGAUAGAAUGUUCUGUGCGUUUGUGGUUUUGAAGCUGGCUCAUAUUGCCCACUAUCUAUUUGUUGAACAGUAAUGUUAUAUCUACACCAGGAUUUCUCUUGGUAAUUGAGAUGUUAAUGAACAUAAAACAUUAAGCAAACGAUAAACGAGGCAAACUAAUAAUUUACAUGUAAGUAACUGUGUGUAGAUAUAAUAUUACUACUUGUUUAAAUGAUCAUUGUGAGUGGUAAGCCAUAGCAAUUGUUCACUUCUGUUAUUAAUUGAAGCGCUCUUUCUCCAGUCUGGAAGGGCUUAUGACUUGUUAAUGGGCUUCUUGGUAUAGUUUGUCAAAAUAAGCUCUUUUUAUUUUAUUUCAAUAAUUUUCAUGGUCAAAUUUAUAAGUUAUCAUGUAAUAAGAGCUUAUUGAAUUAGUGCUUAACUAAAUUGUUUACCCAUAUACACCCUUUGUCCGUUGCAGUUGUUGAUAGUUUUUAUAUUUACAUCAUUUUCCACCAUGGUUAUCAGCAUUCUUUUUUGUGAAAGUAAACAAUCAAAGUGCUAUAAUGAAAAUGUUGGUCUUCAUUGACUGUAGGGAACAAGCUUCAUGUUGUUGAUGACUCUUUGAGGGGCACUCACCAAACUUAACAUUUGCCUUUUUGUUUUCUUGGAUGAUGGAACCAAUGUGGAUGUGCAUGUUUUAUCUGCAAGCUGCUUGUAGAAUAGUGUUAAGCCAUAAUGAUUGUAUCAUGAUUAGUUUGUUUCUAAGCUGGCUUUUCUAGAGUUGGCUCCAUGUUAAUAUUCAGAGCUUGAGUACUCGGUGUGUUAUCAUGGGUUUAUUUGGCUUGACUGCUUGAGACCAUGUUUUGUGUCAUUUUGCACUUUAAUUUUUUGAGGAGUGCUAGGAACAUACUCUCUAACUCACUCUUUGCUACUGGUUAGAAUUUAUUGGAAAUUACAAAAUCAGGAUUCAAGAGCAUCACACAUUUUUGUGGUUUUCAAUAAAUUCAAAACAAUAAGAGUGUGUUCCUCUAUUUUUUUUCUACCUGUUCUCAUACCUCUAUAUAUGUGGUGUUAAAUUAUUUUGGUGUUAUUGAAGGAUGUGGAAUGGCAGAAGGCAAGUGUCUCCCAUGUUCAGGUGUUUCUGGAAGAACUGCUGCUGUAUAUUCCUACUCUUCUCUAGGUCAUCGCAGAAUUCAUUCCCAUGUCCAAGUUAGAGGACUAAAGUGUGGCUUUAGGGGUGCAUCUUUUGUAUGUGAAGCAAAGAGGAACCCAGAUUUCUCAAGGCAAAACAAGCAUGGGUCCUCCAGAAGCAGAAAUCGGAAUAGUGAUGGGAGAGACAGCUUUGAGAGCUUUGACGACGAUAUGUUUUCUUUAAAAAAUGGACCACCUGUGUCUCUUUCAACCUCAGGAAAAUUCCAGGCCACUUCAGCCCCUGGUCCUAGGGAGAAGGAGAUUGUUGAGCUAUUUAGGAAGGUCCAGGCUCGGUUGCGUGAGAGGGCUGCCUCCAAAGAAGAAAAGAAAGUUGAAGCCUCCCGAGCACAAAGCAAAGAGAACAGUACUGUGGAUUCCCUUCUCAAACUACUGAAGAAACAUUCAGUUGAGCAAGUGAAGAGAAGUAGUGGAGGCAGAGGAAAAGAUUUUAGUUCAGACCAGUUGCAAGAAAGUAACCAAUACAAUGGAGGACGGAACUCUAAAAUUUCUGAUUUAGAUAGUUCUCCAAAGGAUGAGCCCCAAGAGGACAUUGUCUUCUCUUCCUCGGUAGCCAGGCCUCGGUCAAAUUUCCAAAGAAGGUCUCCCGUUCCUCGUUUAAAAUACCAGCAUGUCUCUAACGAUGAGAAUGAAAUGACUGUAGUGCCAGUAGGUAGUGAGGAUACAGAGAACAAUCAGGAUCAGAUAGAUUUGAAGCUUGAUGACGAAGCUGAAUCUGACUUUGAAUCGGAUGUUGAUUCAAAGGAUGAGUUUUUCUUCCCAAACAUAGGGAUGGCUGAAUUGUCUGAGGAUGAUGAUUCUGAGCAAACCUAUAAUGAUGAGAGUGUGGAGGAGCAGCCGGCAGCUCAACACAAGGAUUUGAGUGCACUGAAGCUGUCUGAAUUGAGGGCACUUGCAAAGACUCGUGGCCUGAAAGGAUUCUCAAAAAUGAAGAAGAGUGACCUCGUGGAGUUGCUAACUGAGAGCUGAUUCUGAUGGAAUGAUAUACGAGAAGAAAAAGGGACAAAACAACACAUGCCAUAGUAAAAUAGAUUUUUUUUUUCUUUUCUUGCUUUUGACUUGACAUUCUAUCCGAUGUUUCUUUGUGUUCUUUUUUUUUUGUCACACUCUAAUUUAAUUUUUCCAAGUACUUGAGGUUGAGAGUUUGUGGAACAUUAUACUAUUAGAGUAAUUAUGAUAUCUUUGCCUCGGAGAAUUUUUGAACUUGUAGUUAUAUUCCCGGGAUGAUAUCUUGUGGCAUUUGGUUAUUAUGUGAUCCAAUGACCUAUCUGGCUAGUGAGAGAUUACAUCAUUGUCGUAGUAUUUUGGUUAUCUCCUUUAUUCAUUUGUUUGUGAGAUUUUUUAUGGUCAUUCAUAUAAUGCAUGUGCAAGCAUAAAGUCGGAAGAAAUAUCCAUUAUGGUUUUAGGUUAAGAAUGUGCACCUGAAACCUUCUUAUGAACUUUGCUCAUGAUGGCUCGAAAACAAAGUGUCUUAGCCCAUGUUAGUUAAUUUCUCAAUGAUUUUGUUCGCAGCAGCAGGCACAUGGUUUGAGCCUUUGAGGCAUCAGGCAUGAUUACCAAAUACCAAAAGCCCUAAGGCAUCGACUUUGCUUAAAUGGCCGUUUGGAAUCUUAGUUACACGUGGAAACAAACAAGCCAUUAAUCUAUUGUCGUUUUGGACCUUAUUUCUUGAAGUUUUUAGUGAAAGAAUUAUGCUUUCUUUUGCUUAGCUUGCAGGAUGGGUUAUGAUUGAUCCCUUUUUUCAUCGCCUAAUGGUAGUUGUUAAUUUUGUUAGAAUGUUUGUGGGAGUGAUUUAAAUUCAAGGCAUGACAGUAUAGUUCUCACACUUCUGGACCUGGGGAACAAAGCAUGGUUAAGUGAAUCAUUUUCAACAACUGAUAAAUGCCUUGCUUGCUCAGGUAUAUUGCAAGUACGCAAGUUUACCACUAGAAGAUCCUCUUUUGCAACAUACAGAGCAAGAUCAUGCACCAAAUCAUGUAGUUUGAAAUAGUAAAUGUGGCCAAAGUCCUCAAAAUCCUCCAGAAAUGAUCUCGAGUGUAACUCAUCUAUAUAUUGUGCUGCAAUAUGCUCUACCUGUCGACUUCCAACUGGAGAUCGAAGCAAUCCAAGUCCCGCCCAAAGACUUGAAAUUUGAGCACCAGCAAAGCCAAAAUCUGUAGGGAAAAGGGAAGAGUAAGCAAAACAGUGCUUCAAAUAGGAUGGCAUUUGAUCAUAGCUCAACUUAAGAGAAGGUAAAAUGUCAUCAUUUUUAUUUUUUUUUGUUUCUAGUUCCAUAUCUCAUGGUCUCGUACGAAUUCCCACCUUUCUAAAUCAAAAUUUAAGAACAGAGAACUUCCUAAAGUGAAUGCCCAUUUGAUACUAAAACAUAGGAGGGAACAGUGCCCAUCAUUGAAGCAAUUGAGCUACUUCUUGUUGUCACCAAGAUUUUGCUUCCCAUUCCACCAACUUUUAUUAAAUCUUUCAACUCUAUCCAUUUUGCACUGUCAUCAUUCCAUAUAGCAUCCAUCUCUAGUAAAUACUUCUGACCAGAAAGCUUGUGUCUAAGAUAAAUUUGUAACUGCUUAAUAUCUAAGCUGUUAACAUUUUCUUGGUUAGCAAGAGCACUAGUUGGAGCUGAAGCCAAAGCAGAACUGAUGAUUUUAAUAAUUAUCUGCCUCUUAUCAAAGUAAUCAGAGAUACACACCCACAUCUUUUAUUGGAAAAGUUCAUCCAUCCUCUUAUCAUUGAACAACAACUUUGCAAGUCUGGUCUUCCCCAAGCCAUUGAUGCAUCUCAGUUUAAUAUACUUUAAGGGCCAGCCUUCGAGGCAUAUGCUUAGAUUCAUGUUUGCUUUCAUAUUGUAAUUGCAUUUUAGAACCAUUGAGGAUUGUGCUUAGAUUCAUUGUAGAAUUGUAUUUAGCAUCAUAAAAGAUCCAGUCACAAUUGCAUUUAGAGUCACCAAGGCACAGUGAAUUCUAUCCCAUUUAGAAUGGCUUUAAGGGUUAGUCAUCAAGGCACAUGCUUAGAUUCAUGUGUGCAUAAAAAAUCCUCUAACACGACCAUCGGGCAUGAUCUGCGACUAGACUGAAAAUAUUAAAAACCAGAACCUAAACGAAAACAUUACAAACACAUUCUGCAGAACACCAUACCAUUUGACAACGAAGCAAAUUUCAAUUUCAAUUCUAAUCUCUUUCCCUCUUCAUAAAAUCCAGAUAUUCUCACAAAUGAAAUUUCUCCACCAAAUAAUAAACAAGGGUAAUAGCAAGCACACCGCUUUCUAUUUUCCUUUUAUUAAGCAGGAAUCGCGCAAAUUAAAAGUAGGAAAACUUUACAACAAAUAUAAACGACUACCAUUGACAAUUAUCAGGAAGAAUAAAAUUACAAUAAAAAAAGAAAAAAAAAAGGGUGAGAGAGUAAAGGAAGGGAAGAAGAACCUUCACGGCGAGGGAAACGGAGUAUCCGACCUUGUGGUGAAAGUAGCGAAACCAUGUUGGUAGCGAAACCAUUGUAGGGUGCAGCAGACACUGUUGUGUUUGUGUGUGUGAAGCAAUACCCACCCUCUCCCCCCUUUUCUCCUUUAUAAUCUAUGUUGAGAAUAGAGAAUAAUAUGAUGUUUUUAUAUAUACUUUUUUAUCAUUUUAUCUCUAAAAUUGCCUUUUUAAUUUUUUAUAUUCUUAUAACUAUUCCCUUUAAUCAACCCACAAAUUUAUAGAGGCACGGAAUUGUAGUAUUUUUAUGUUUUGGGAAAUAUGCUAUUUUGGUUGCAUGGUGUACAUAGUAUAUUUUUUGUGGCAUUUGAUAAUAUGUUAACAUAAAGUAAACAUAGCACAUGAGCUUUAUUAUGUAUUUGAAAUAAAAAAUGAAACACAAAGGUUCUCUUGAUACAAAAAUUUAUAGAGUUGACAAUGAUUUUAACUUGGCUUGGAACGUCCAAGUUGUCCUGUCCUACCACCAUAUAGUAUUUAACUAACUUGUUAGUGUUAUUCCUUUUUCUUGAGAAAUUCAUAUGAACUUAAUUUAUCAUUUUAUGUGGACUAAAUCAUUACAUAUUAAUUAUUAUGUUACAUUCAGUUAUUUCUGAUCUUUGUAGGACCAAGUAUUUUUAUGCUAGUAGUAUUAUUUUAAUAUAUUGUGAGGAAGCUACAAGCUAACAAAUCACUUAUACAUGAUAAUUAACUUGUUCAGUUGUUUGGGUUCCACAAUGAGUUCAUGUUCUAUUUCUCGAUGAUUGAAUUCUGUCUUUCCCUGUGGUCCUACUUGAUGAUGCAACAGAUGGGACAUGAGUAUCAUCAUCAGCUCACCGCAACAUGAAUCAACAUCACAAACUAAAACUAAAAGUAGAAGAUGCCGAUAGCAAUACCACAGUAGCAGACCACAAAGGAGGCAGCAUUAGGAAAUGGACAAAAUAGAAUAACAGAAUAUCUUCUAGAUACUACUAACAAAGAUUUGUUCUUGAUACAAAAAUCAUUGUCAAUUUUAACUUAUACAAAAAUUUUAUUUUAUUUUAUUUUCUGUUUCUAUAAAUAUUUAUUUAAAAAAUUAUCCAAACUAAGCACUAAGAAGAUUUAAUUUUAAAGGUAGAGCAAUCUGUCUCUAAGAAACUACAGCUAAUUGAUAUACGAGGAACAGUGUCCCUAACAUUCAUCUUCAUACAUUCGAUCUCCACUUUGGCUAAUUGAUAUACAAAAUUAGGAAGUAGUUCCACACUUGCAACAUAAGUCAAUAGCGCCUUAUUCCGAAUCCUAAAUUAAGUCCAAGUUUGCAUGUUUCUUUUACUGUUACAUGUUUUAGAUCAAGUCCUUGUUCUUUUUCUUUUCCCUCGUUCAUAUGUUGUUAUGUUUGGCUUCUUCAUUUAAUUGUUGGUUUCAUGAAUUCGUGUAUGUAUGCAGCCCAUAGGUUUAUUUUUUGAAUAAAAUACAUAUAUAUAUUGUGACCACAUGUUUACCUUUGUAUUAUGAGUCAAAAGGCAGUGUUUCUUUCUUAUUUUAGGAUUAGAAUAUUAAAAUAUGUUGUUUUGGUAGUUAAAAAGAAAGUUUAACUUUUUAUAAGAUAAAGAAAUAAUGAUAACUCUAGGAUACAAGAGGCACGAAAGGUUUUUUUUAUUCAUUAAGUUUAUUUUUGCUUUUGCUAUUUUAUCUUUUAAGUUAGAAAUAUUAAAAUAAUGAUAAGAAAAUGUAAGGUUGUGUCCUUUGCAAUAUGUGCUUCUUUGUAUAGGUUAGUUUAGUUUUGAUUUUCUUUCUUAAAAAAAAAAAACAAGAAUACAAGGUCAUGAUUUAGUUUCACGGACAUGUUUUUUUUUUUUUUCAUUUUCCUUUUGUUAGAAAGUGAUGAAUAAUUUUCCUUGUAGUAUAAAAGUUCUGAUUUUACUUUUUUUCUUAAUUCAUAUUGUUUGUGUUUCCAAAUAAAAAUAACGUUUUUUUUUAAUUUAUGCAAUGGUUUGUGAUAUUAAUUGAGUAGCAAUUCUACCUUUUACUUAAAUCAUAAAAGUUCAUAAAAUAACCAUUUUUUAUCUAAGCUUUUGGUACAGAGUUAUUAUUUUAACAAAAUAAAUAAUUUUAUUUGAGUAAGCAACAAUGUUACCUGAUUUGGAAAAUUUAAAUAAUUUGCUAGCUUAAAUCUUUGUGCAAAGAUCAUUUCUCUCAUAUAAAAAAAGAUAAAAAUGACAGUAAAAAAACUAAAAUAUUUUCUUUUGGGGUAAAAUAAAUAUUUGUGAGAUUGUUUAGAUUUUGUGUAAUUAUUUAUAGGUAUCAUUUUCUUAACAGGGUUGUAGGGUGUUAAAAUCUUCUUUAUGCGUAAGUGACUCCCGAACGGAUCUUUAAUUUCAAAGACCAUUUCUUAAAAGGGUUUUCCAAUAUUUUCUCUCAAGAUAAAAAAUAUUGGUGGUAAUUCCAUUUUAAAUAUUUUUGCAUCGCUCCCGUGUUACCUCAUUACAACAACCCACACAAUAUGGGACUAGUUACAAGAUCCAUAAACUAGCCACAAUAGAUAACAAACCAUCACCAUACAUAACAUAUAAAUAAUGAGUAUUUUAUAAUCUUCACUCCUUGGUUUGAGUAAGAAAAACUUCUACAUUAAAUUAGUUUGUAUAGAAGGACUGGUACGUAACUAACCCAAAUUCCAUGUGUGUGCUCACAUUAAGGUUCACGAUAGUGGGUCAAUGGAAGGACAAAUAUGUCACUUCUUUUUAAUUUGAGGACUAAAAAUUAAUGUUUUUGAUCUUUCAAUGAUCAAUUUGUUACUACUUGACACUUCUAGGUACGAAAAUGGAUAUUUAUUCUUUUUUCCCUUAAACAGUUAGGCCCAACAAUUUUGGAUCGAAUGAUUAAGAUUGUUUGGUGAAAUUGACUAUGCUAGUGCUACAUACCCUAGCAUACUAAUUACAACAACAUCACACAACACAAGUAACAUAGAUUAUAAGAAGAAUAAGAAGAAGAAACAUUCAUGUUAUUCUAUAGUCACUGAAACAAAAUUGUGUUGAACGACAAGGUAGAACAAUGACCCUUUUUUGCAUUUUGACCUUCGAUUUUGAAACUCUUCAAUGUUUCAAGUUUAUUUAUUUAUUUUAAUUGAACAAACAAUUUGUUCAUAUUCAUGAAAUGGUUUAGUCUUAAUUCCAUGUUGAAGGCUAGGAAUUGCAUGAAUUGAAAUAAUUUAACUGAUGGAUGGGGUUAUGGUUUCGUCAUUAAUUUUGGGUUUGUUGGAUAUUGAUUUUUGCUAUUGAAAUCUAAUUAUAUGCCAUUGUGGGGUAUAAGAAAGGAAGAAGAACAAUAACAACAUUUUAUUAAAUAGCAAUAAUGUAGGAAUUACAUAAAAGUAGAUCCAAUUACAUUAAACUCCAAUGAAAGAUAAGAUAAUUGCUCAGAACCAUAGGGGAAGAAUCCCUUGUUGGAGAAAAAAUGGGAGAUAAGUCCCUACACGUCCAAAGUUGUCACAAGAGAGUUCAAUUUAGAAUGUUUUUUAUCUAUUUAAUUGGUCUCUUUAAAAGCCUAAAAAUAAGGAAUAGGUCCAAGCCCAAUUAAAAACAGAAUUAAAAUAUAUUUAAACAUAAUUCUGACACACCCCACACCGUUGUGCCUAUGCCUCACAUUGGUGUGGGUACGCUCACAAGAGUAUGGAAGGCGCACUAGAAGAGAAAAUGCAUGUCAAGAUUGCCCACAACAUUGUGGCUCAAUCUGUAGAAAAUGUAUGUUAGUUGUUCGUCUACCGGCAAGUAUACCGAUGUGCACAAGUAGUAUAUAAAACGAUAAGAUACACUAAUAACUCGUGAAUAGGCUAUUUUCUUACAAUUGUUCAAUACACUAAUAACUCACGAAUAACAAUUAACAUUAGCAACACCCAUACUGUUGUGGGGACUUGUCACACCUGUGUGGUUAUUUCUUGGGCUAAAUUCAAUGCUUUUUAAGCUCUUUUUUGCUGCUUAAAUCUCUCCAAGCCCCUUCAAUCUUCCUUUAAUGUCAUUGAUAGUACUCCAAGUUCCUCUUCAAAUUAGUUUUUCGGCAAAUUCCUUCAAAAAAAAAAAUCAAGUGCAGAAAGAAAUAAAAUUGAAAUUUAAACUAUGAAAAUAUUUAUUUAAAACUUAACUAAAAAUCAACAUAGAAAAGUUCAAAAGAAUAAGAGACAUCACAUAAUUAUGCCAAAAUGGCUACCAAAUGUAGGACUAAAUGAUAAUUAUCAGCAAGCUCCCAUAGUGUGACGAGUGAUGUGGACAAAGUCUAGAAGGAAUAGACUACUUGACAUGACUUUCUUUGGAUCAAAUAGCCUAUUGCGUAAAUUUCUUUGGAUCAAUUUUGAGUCAAAAUCAAGACCCAAAAAAUCAUUAAAAAAAAUAGACAAAACACAUGUAUGAUUUAGGUCUUAAUUUAGAUCCAGAUGCUGAUCCAAAAAAAUUAAGGUAAUAGACUAUUUGACAUGACUUUCUAGCUAUUCUUUCACACAAAAUUUGUAUAGACUGUAUUACAUGCAUGUCAUUUGUCUUUUCUCCUCUACAAAAUUUUGUCAAACGGAAUCUCAGCCCAAAGAUCAAACCAGAAGAAAUUGAAAUAAUAGACAUGCUAAUGAGGUGAUAAUUGUCACUAACUUUGGUUUUCCUCAUGUCGUCUCGCUAAGAAUGAGCAUGAAGACCAAGGUUUGAGGGUUUUUAUAGGGAAAAAGAGGAAUAUUCUUGAAGAGAAAACGAGGGAAGGUCAAAGAGAUGGCAAAAUGUGGUCCACCUUUGAUUUUAGUUUUUUUCUUUCAAUUUAAAAAAAUAAUACAUUUAUUAUUCAAAUUCUAAGAACAAUAAAUUAAUUAUUAGAUCAUACUUGAGUUGUCAAAAUUAAAAAAAAAUGUGCAUGAUUUUAAAUGUAAUUAAUGUUUUUGAAUCCAUAAGAAUCAAACUCAAGUAAUAGUUGGUUUAGAAUAACUCAUGAAUAUUGGUUUAACAACUAAGUUGCACCUCCUUAGUUAAUAUUUCAAAUUUUUAUAUAAAACAUUAUGCAAUUUUCUAAUAUAUCUCUUGUCUUUCAUAUUCAAUAGAUUAUGUCUCUUCUAUAAUUUUUUUUUAUUUUCUCGCUCCAAAAUAAAUGGUUAAGGAUUUAAAGAAUGGUUAAUGCUUCAUCAAUAUUGUAAAAUGAUAAUCUAAUGAUUUUUUUUGUUGAAAUGUAAAACAAAACGGACCAACGGGAGCUGAAAACAUUUAUCUUCUUAUUUAAUAGGUCAUUAAGAGCAUUUAUCUUCCUAUAUAUUAAGAGCAUUUAAUACUCAUUAAGAACAUUUAUAACAAUUUUAAAACCCAACUCAACUUGGUCAAUCGAACAGGUUAGACAAGGAAUCAAACAUAUUGUUAAAGCAUAACCCUUUUAUGAUUUUCAUGUUUUAAUGAAACAAACUUUAAAGAAAUAAAUUUUAUGUCCUUUAGACUUUUGCUACUAAUAUUUUGGCUUGAAGUGCUUUCAAAAAAUAAGACUUAUCAAGAAGCAAGAAGAAAAGUUGUGAAGCAUUAGCCUAUGUUAGUUAUUAUUCAUGAGUUAGUUUGGUAUUGAAUAUUUGCAAAGAAAUAGCAUUGUGCCUCCUAUUUAUGAUUCUUUUUGUAGGAAUUGUACAAAUUUUCUUUAUUAUGUGAUUUUAUAGGUUAGGAACUCCAAUUUUGUGACCUAAUGUUGAAUCCAACUCAUUUUCAGGCCAAAGAAGAGAAGGUUAAAGCAGCUGAUGACUCGUUUAGCGAAGCAUAUCCGCUCAGCGAGAUGCAUCCAUUUAGUGAGACAUCUUGCCCGCUUAGCGGAUGGGAAACCCUAGAAGAGGAGAAGUCAGAGAUCUGUGCGCUCAGCACGCAACCAGCCCGCCCAACGAGAAUGUUGUUUCUUCUCGCGCUUAGCGCGCCCACUCUCGUUAAGCGAAAAUUCACUAACUCUCGCUUAGCGAGCCAUGCUCGCUAUGCGAGCCUUCAGAAGUUUAAUAGUCCAAGAGCCUUUAAAACAUUGAGAUUGACGGAGUUUUGAAAAAGGGAGACGAGUUUAGAGCAACAAAGAGAUCUUAGUUCAAGAAAAGAGAGAGAUUUAGGGUUUAGAGGCUGGAGGAGACAUCCUCCACCAUCUUCUUCCAAUUUGUUUCACCAAAGAUAGUUUCUUUCUUAGUUUUGAAGCUUUGCUUGUAAUGGAAUGUUAAGCUUCUUUGUUGGGGAGUUCUUCUGAACAAUCUUGAUGUAAUAUUCUUGCUAUCUAUUUAAUGUUAUUUUUUUAUAUUCAUUGUUUCUAUUUAUACUUAUUUUACAUGCUUGUGGCUUGAUCACCCAUUUGUAUGUGUAGUUAGGUUUUUUAGUUUUGGUAAAUGCUUUAAAACCUUAGAACUUGAUAGUGCAAGCUAGAAAUCUGUAUGUCUAGGAAUGAAGUGCGAUGAUCUAGUCCAUUUUAUGUUGUAGGCUUAGUGCAACUCUUUUAGAGCAAGUUUGUUGAGGGAUUAAGGACGAAGUCUAAAGAGAGUUAGGCUCAUUCAUGUGAAGAAUUAUGGUUUGAGUAAUUUCUCAGCAUAAGAACACUAGAAUAACGUUAAAUAGAGAAAAACACAUUUUAGACAUCAAGAGAAAUUCAGUAGAAUACCCUCCAACGCUCUUAACUUGAUAGUUUUCACUUUCUAUAGCUUUAGAUAUUUAGUUUAUGUUCAAAUAGAAUUUCUAGUUCAGAACUCAACAUUUGCCUUAUUUUAAUCCAUAUGAGUGUUUACAUAUUGAAUGUACAUGGUCUAGGUAAAACAAAUUCUCUGAGGAUACAAUACUUGAUCUUGUCAUUUUAUACUACUUGUGCGAAUCAGUACACUUAUCGACCAGUGAACAACCUAUGACCUUGAUUCUUAAAUAUGAAGCAUAUCCAACAUCAGAAGCAUAAGGGCAAUUAGGAGUUCUAUGUCAAAGCCCAAAUAUCAAAAGUAGUACAUGACUAUAAGCAUGAUUAUGAAGGUAGUUUAAGUCAAGGGGUAGAUAUCAAAUGCUACACAUGACAAGGAUCAUAAAAAGAUGCAAUGUUAAAGGAAAUAAGUGAAGACAAACAUUUCUACACAGUCGAGAAGCACAGACCAAGAAUUAUGAAGAUCUAUGUCACGUAAUAGUUUACUGAUGCACAUGGCUUAGUGAAGCUUUCUUAAUCUAACGAGUCUAUUUGCAAAAGAAAGGCAACCAUGAAGGUGAAAUGUAGUCUCUCACAAUCUAUAACAAUCAAGAAAAGAUCAACACCAUUCUGCAAAAGACUUACUUUUCUAAAGAAGUGGCAAGCCUCACCAUGACUAUGCUGGAAAAAAGAGAAGUCAUGAGUUAUUGAGCAACAACAUGCACCAACAAACAUGUUUCAAAAUUCAAAGUUUUGAGCAAACUAUUACAACGAAAAGAAGGAGGAAGAACAAGUUGUGUGUUGGAGACAACUCACAAAGGAUAUCCUUGGCCUAUGAGACAAGGUGCAAUGGUAAUCUUCAAAGUGCCUAUAUAAGAAGGUUGAACCUAUAUAAGGAGAUUGAAAUACAACUAGAGUUCUUUGUUAGGAAGGAAAAUAGUAUAGAGAUGACAUAGAUCAAAACUCAUAUUGUAAAUAUAUAUCUUCAGCUUUUGAUACUAGGCUUCCUUAGCCCAAACUUUCUUGAUUUGGAGCCAAAUCUAUCUAGCCAUAAAGAGUUUGUAAACAUCUUCUCAAAGGGAGCUUACUGGUGGGUUUUUCCUGUGAGAUGUAUUAGGUACCUGUGCACAUAGAACCCAUUUGGAUUUGCCCUUGCUUAUGAUCACAAAGCUUAAAGCUAGUGCCUUCAUUAAGUUUUUUAGGAAUCCUGACUCAGGGGAGGUAUCUAAGGCUCUUUCUACCUAGGGAAUUAGGAUUACAAAAAAUUAUUGACUGAUUUUUACAUUAAAGCAUGAAUGAGGUAUGUAUGACAUGUUAAUGCAUGAAGAUACUAAAGAAUAUGUGAAAUUGACCCAUGCAAUAACUUCUACCAUUCGUGUAACAUCCUUUUAAUUGUGUUUUCUUGUUUUAAAACCACAUAAAAAGUAUAUACUUUCUUGCUUUAUCACUUGAUAUGUUUGUUACUUCACAAAUCUUCCUUGAAGUUUGUGUUUUUAGUGUUUUCUUGUAUUGUUUUUAAGCCUAAGUUAAUAGUUUGUUGCAUUACUUAUAUUGUACGAGUCUCUUGGGAAACAAUAUAUGGACUGAUCCAUGACAUUACUUGCCAAAAUAUCCCUGACAAAUAACAAGAAACUUAACCCAUUAAGCACCAAAACCAAAUUCAAAAAUCCAAAUCUAUUAUUUCAACAUUAAGGGCUUCAUUUGAACUUUUCAAAACUACUAUCACAACUCUAGAUCUAUUAUUCAAUUGCAUAAAAGAAGACAAAAAAUGCUUAGAUCUAAAAUGCACCAACCUUAUACACUUUGAUCUAAAAUGGCAAUGAAGAUCUUCUUGGGGUACUUCUUCUUCCUAUCCUCAAAUGCACCAUCCUAAUUCCUCUCUUAAGUACCACAUUGAUAAUACAUUGCCUCUUUUGCCCUACAAUUCCAAUACGCUCAAUCUUAAGCACAUUAUUCGCCCGCGUCUAGUCCAACCUUAUUCUAACUAAAAUGACAACACUGUUGACAUCGUCACUACUACUGACGACCUCAAAGUCGUUGUCAAUGAUCUAAACUUAUUUCAUCUUACUUUAUGCCAUUAAGGUUUAUGCUAUGUUGUUCUGCAUUGUGUUUCUUAUUUGUAUGUGUGAGAAUACAUGGUGAGGACUCAAGGGUGGGGAUGGGAGGGACAAGUUCGAGUAGUGAAUGGUUAGUAGGUUUGGGUUUCAAGAAUGAAAGAAAUAAUGUGUUAUGAGAUUGAAAGGUGGAGGAGGGAACAAUGUGUUUUGAGGAAAUGAUGCUUAAAUGGGUUUUUUUUUUAUUUGAUCAUUGCAAUUUGUGGCUGCUAUAAGGUUCCAUAAAUUGUUAAUCCUUUCAAGAAUACAUUAUUCAUGCAAUUUUUAAUCAAAAAAAUGUAAUAAAACAAAUGUCAUGUAAUUACUUAGCAUCCAAAAUAAAAGAAAAUGACUACAACACCAAAUGAAAUAAAAAGUUUGAGGACUAAGACUUGUCGCCGAAAAGUUCAAGACAGAAAUAAUAAAUUUUAAAAAAAUUAAGGAUGAAAAAACAUACUUUAUCCUAUUUUUAAUUUCUAGGAAUAUUUUUGAAUUUUUUAAUUUAAAACAAAAUAUUAAAUGAAUAGGAAUUAGAAAGAUAAAGAAACUUGUGUAGUAUGAAUUCUGAACAAAAAUAUUUUUUUAUAACCUUUUAACAAACAUCAAAAUAUAUAUUUUGAUCUCCGGAUUUCAGAAAUCAAUAAUAUUUCGUGAAACAAGUACUAUGGUUCAAAAUAAAUAGUUAUCAAAGUUAGUUUUUUUUUUCUUUUCCCUAAAGAGUUAGGCUCUAUUGGACCGUACGAUUAAGAUCGUUCGGUGAAAUUGAUCACGCUGGUGCCGCAUACCCUAGCGUUCCUGUUAUUCUAUUGUGGCUGAAACAAAACAGUGUUGAACGGCGAGGUAGAACGACGACCCCCUUCUGCGUUUUGACCUUCAAUCUCGUAAGUUCUUCUAUUUAUUAAUUUAUUUUCAAUUGAACACCGUGUGUUCAGAUACGUGAAAAGAUUUUAGUGUUGAUUCCAUGUUGAAGGUUAGGCACUGCGUGAAUGGAAAUAAUCUAAUUGAUGGAUGAGGUUCUGUGGUUUUUGAGUUUGUUGGAUAUUGAUUUUCGCCGUUGAAAUCUAAUUCUAUGCCCUUGUGAGGUGUAUUGGAUUGCAUGAUUGAUUUUUGUUCAUCUAAAGUUUCAAACUUUACUGUUGAAGUUGAGUUAAUGAUUAAGCUACUAACUUGUUAUCUCUUUGAUCAGUGGAAAAUUUGUUACAUAAAUUGUUGUACUCAUUUGAUAUCAACUGUCAUGGAAUCAUGCUCUUAUGAGGUGUCAAACUUCUUGCUUUAACCUAAUCCACUUCUUCCAGUGCUCUGCAACGAAUUAGGUGCUUUUAAUCCAUUGACACCCUCAAACUAAUUAGGGAUCAGAAAUCAGUGUCUAUGUACUUGUCCUCCCUUUUGUUCAAAGGAUAGGUCAUGUCAUUUGUUUGUAUUUGUAAUAACUAAUAACUACUGCUGAAUGCGAUUUUAGAUUUUACUGCUAUGCUCAUAAUAAUAUAGUUAACCCAGGCAUGAUUUUUUUUGUGUGUGUGAUCGUUGUGCUGUUUUAUUUUUUUAUUCCUCUUCCAUCUGGCUUGCUAUUUUUUUCUUUCUUCCUAAGGUAUAAAAUAAAAGUUAUUAACUUUUAAUACUCCCUGGACCAUCUAAUGUCUGUUUUUACAAAUUUAUGAAGUUUUUGGUUACUCUCACUUUCUUUGCUAAAGUGGCUACUAUGCCAGCUGCUAUAGUGUUUUUAGUGGUGGCCACCACCCACCAAGCAAUGCAUUUGGCCUUUAGAUAUUUGGUCUGUAAAUGAACUAACUAACAUCCUUUUCUUAUUUAUGAUUGCAUAUCAAAAUGGUCCUUCUUGAGAACCUGUGACACCUUUCUCUCGUCAUUGAAGAGAUGAGUACCUUUUUAUUUUUUACUAAAAAGCUAGUAUUAACUGAUAUAAUUAUUCCAUUUAUAUCUAAGUUCUAAAAUCAGGAUAAUAGAUCAGAGGGUAGAAAUUAUCUAAAGGAUCAUUCAAGGUUUUAAAUAUCGUUCUGUUACACCAAAAACGAGUGCAAUGGUUUUUCCCAUCAGCGAUACCGUUACAGGAUGGUAUUAUGGAGUGAAAAGAGUUGCGGCCACAACACGGCUUCGGAAAACACUGUUUUGUUACUUUUUUCUGCCUCUUUAGAAUUGAAACCUUUAGUUGGUAGCUUCACCCGUCAUCAAGAUUCAUGAGCAUAGAACCCCACCGUUCACCUACCAGACCACCACCGCUUGCAUCUUCCCAAUCUCUGCUCAGUAGUGAUUAAUUUGACUUCUGUGCAUGGAGGGAAGGGGGUUUGACUGUGUGUGUGCUUGAGUUGGGUGUGCCCAUGAAGGGUCAAGGGUUGGGGGAUUAUUGUGAAAGCUUCUUUCUUUCAAUGAUGUAUGGUCUAUAACAAUAUUUAGUCUCAAAUCUGUUCAGCAGUUCUGUUUUCUCUUCUUGCGUCUGUUUGUGCUAGUUAAAAAAUUGUGCCCCCUUGUCUUUUUUUAUUCACCAAGUUGGUUAUUGGUAGAUUUACUUUCCAAAGUUCAUUCCUUGAUGGAUAAUUUGGUGACAACUGAAAUGUAAUUGCUGAAUGCAUAAACUUGUUAGUAGACAAUUUUCAUUAUCAGGGGUUAAUUUGAUUAAUUACUGAGAAAUAAAUGAACUCUAUCUGUCUGCGGUUCAUCUUAUAUAGAGUUUUACAAGAAAGUAUAGGCAAAACACGUGAAGUUUAGCAUUGUUUUGGAUUUGCUUUCAUAUUAUUUGUUGAUGUUAUUGCAUCUUACUCUAUAUCUCUUCAUAUAAUGGAUAGCACUGUAAAAAAUGGUUUAUACUGAAUUAAUAGAAAGAAAAGGCUAAUAAUAUUUGAAAUGUUUUCCUAGUAUACUUGUGUUUAUUCUUAUUACACUUCUCUUUCUUUACCUUGAGGAUGCUUUAUUUUCAUUUGUGUAGAAUCAUGGCCAAAGCUGAAGGUGGCAAGGAACCAAUAAAUGAACAAGCAGUAGCAAAUAUGUAUGCUGCAAUGAGGUCUGAGCUCAACCAAAUUUACUCCAAAAUAACUGAACUGGAGAUGGAAGUUAGUGAGCACACAUUGGUUACCAAUGCCAUUCAACCACUUGACCAAUCUAGACGAUGCUAUCGUAUGAUUGGAGGGGUGCUUGUGGAGAGAACCAUCAAAGAGGUCUUGCCUGCUGUGCAGCGAAAUAAAGAAGGACUCGAAGAGGUUGUGGCAAGGCUUAACGAGGCGUUGGAAAAGAAGAAAAAGGAAAUUUCUGAGUUUGAGGCUAAAUAUAAAAUCAGGAUAAGGAAGGCUGAUGCUGAGGUGAAGGAUGAAUCUGGUAGGAAGGAAGGGUCUGCUCAGGGGGUUCUUGUGGGUCCUGCAGGUGGAAGUGAAUGAUUUGUCUAUUUUUAUUUUGUUUCCUCAAACUAGUAGCCAGAACUUGUCUUACAAUUGGGUGCAUGCAGUUUGAUGAUUUGUUUUAUAUGUAGACUAAGUGCGUGUCUGAAUUAGAUUCAUGUUCCGUCCAUAUAGAAGCAAGUAAAUGUAACUUCUGCAUCAUUUUGACGUGGUUUUGCUGCUUGAACGUGGAUCCAAGACGUGUUUCCAACCACGCUCAUUAGCAAGUAUACCUUGAUAUGACCUUAAGUUUAAUUGCUUUGGGCUGAAAAAAACUUAUCUUCAUUGGUUUGUGUUUAUGUAGAUUUUUGUAUGCAAGACUAGAGCAUAUAAUCGUGUGAUCAAGCUAUUUUGUCUCUCUUAUGUAUCGAUAUGUUUCAUUUGGGGUAAAAUGCUUUUCCUAAGCACCUUAUGUUUAAUUUGGUUUUUGAAACAAUGCAGAAAGAAGUAAUGGAAGAAGGUUUAAGGCAUUUUUUCAAACUAAUUAUUGAAAAAUGUAAAGAGAAAUUAUUUUCUGGUUUGGGAUAGUUUUUGUUACAAGGCAAAAACUAUUAUAUUAUGGUGACAAAAAUAAUGUGGUGUUUGUUGCCCGACAAAAAAUUAUAGUCUAAACUACUGAAAACAUAUUUGUGAACCUAUUUUUAUCAUUGCAAACCAGCUUUAACACAUUUCAAUAUAUAGUAAAUAGUCAAUUUAAUCUUUGGAUUUAUAUUUAGUUGACAUCUUGAAAUUAAGAAAAAUUCAAAUAAAUUCCUUCAUCAUUUCAUUCAAGUCUCUAAAAUUAACUAGUUUUCUCAUUUUGGUCCAACUCUAGGGACUUGAGUGUUAAUAAU